Molecule: long non-coding RNA, 126053 nt
Filed under: Populus trichocarpa (black cottonwood)
Lineage: Eukaryota; Viridiplantae; Streptophyta; Magnoliopsida; Malpighiales; Salicaceae
Description: long non-coding RNA (PTRI_LNC001059)
Source: RNAcentral
ACGUUGACUCACUUUCUCGUGGGAAGACAGAGUGAGACUAGCAUUAAAGAAUUGGGAAAGCUACGACAUCUACGGGGAGAACUUCAUAUUGGGAACCUUCAAAAUGUGGUGGAUGCACGGGAUGCAGCUGAGGCAAAUUUGAAAGGUAUAAAGCACCUUGAUAAGCUGAGGUUUACAUGGGAUGGUGACACUCAUGACCCGCAACACGUAACAAGCACACUUGAGAAAUUAGAGCCAGAUGGAAAUGUGAAGUAUCUUGAGAUUGAUGGUUAUGGAGGUCUAAGGUUUCCGGAGUGGGUAGGAAAGUCCUCUUUCUCAAGAAUAGUGUCCUUGGAGCUCAGUAGAUGUACAAACUGCACCUCCUUACCACCGCUCGGGCAAUUAGCUUCUUUAGUGCGUCUCUCCAUUGAAGGAUUCGAUAAAGUUGAGACCGUGGACUCUAAGUUCUAUGGGAAUUGUACUGCUAUGAAGAAGCCAUUUAAAUCCCUCAAAACAUUAUCUUUUAGAAGGAUGCCAGAGUGGCGCGAGUGGAUUUCAGACGAAGGCAGCCAGGAAGCCUUCCCUCUUCUUGAGUUUCUUUCAAUCAAAGAAUGCCCCAACCUUACAAAGGCCCUACCUGGUCACAACCUUCCACGUGUAACAGAACUUAGAAUUGAAGGAUGUAGGCAGCUCGCGACUCCACUUCCUAGGUUUCCUAGGUUGCACUCUCUCAAAGUUUUUGGAUCCACCUCCCUAGAGUCCCUACCCGAGGAAAUUGAUCAAAUGGGUUGUUCACCCUCUGAUUUAGGGAUUGAAAUCAGCUUCUGCGCUUCUCUCAAAUGCGUCGCCCUGGACUUGCUCCCCAAGUUAAAAUCUCUUCGUAUCUCUCACUGUCCAGAUCUCGAAUCACUAUGUGCACAUGAAAGACCUCUCAUUGAUCUCAACUCUCUCCAUUCUUUGAUAAUCUGCGGGUGCCUUAAAUUAGUUUCAUUUCCCAAAGGAGGGUUACCUGCUCCAGUCUUGACACAACUUUACUUAUAUGAUUGCAAAAACUUGAAGCAGUUGCCUGAGAGUAUGCCUUCCCUCCUCCCAUCCCUUAACCGUUUGGUAAUACAUGGUUGUUCAGAAGUUGAGUUGUGUCCAGAAGGGGGUUUUCCCUCCACAUUACAAUCACUUGAUAUCUGGAAUUGCAACAAACUCAUUGCUGGCCGCAUGCAAUGGGGCUUGCAAACGCUCCCUUCUCUUUCACACUUUACAAUUGGUGAAGACGAAAAUGUUGAAUCCUUCCCUGAAGAGAUGCUUCUGCCCUCAAGUCUUACAUCUCUUAAAAUCUAUAACCUAAAACACCUGAAAUCUCUUGACUAUAAGGGGCUUCAACACCUCACCUCUCUUAGAGAAUUGACUAUAAGUAACUGCCCUCUGAUUGAGUCAAUGCCAGAAGAAGGGUUGCCCUCCUCCCUUUCUUCUCUUGUAAUUAACGGUUGUCCUAUGCUGGGUGAAAGUUGUGAAAGGGAGAAAGGUAAAGAUUGGCCCUAGAUUUCUCACAUUCCUCAUAUUGAGGUACUUGCCUAAAUAGUUUAUUCUGUUUUCAGUAAUCAAAGGCAAUUUCAGUAAUACAAAUUUGGAUGAAUGAAAUACAGAUAUUGUCCUAGAAAGUUGUAUGUUUUUAUUUGUUGUAUGUUGAAAUACAGAUAUUUUCUUCCUCUUGUAAAUAAUAAUAAUCAUCAUUCUAUUUCAAUAUAUUUUUUGCUAUAAUUAAUGAUACUAUUGUUCCUCCAUCAAAUGCCGGCAAAUAAACAUCACAUGCUUCAGAUUUUGAACUGCCAGCGCCACCCUUAAAAGACAACGGGCCUAGCAGAGCUGAAAAGGACUAAAAAAUAUUUAAGUAAUCUGCAACAGAUUUUUCAUUGUUGAAAAAUUUAAGUUAAUCAAAAUUCUCUCCUUUUCUCUUUCUCUAAUCUAUUCCCCUUCUCCAAAAAUUCAAAAUUUAAGUAAUCAAAAUCAAAAUUCAAGUAAUCAAAAGGAUUGAAAUAAGUAAUUCAGGCAAAUUCAAAAUUUAAGUAAUCAAAAGGAUUAAAAUCUCCAUUCUCUCCUUUUCUCUUUCUCUAAUCUAUUCCCCUUCUCCAAAAAUUCAAAAUCCAAAAACUUUUGAUUUAUCUAUUUUGGAAUAGAUAUAAAAAGAAGAGAUAAUAUAAAAUUCAUCCAGAGAAAGUGGCCAAUGUCACUCAAGAGAAAGGAUUAAAGCACAGACAGUCAUCAGCUUGAGAACUCACAGCAAAGAGUUCAUUGUUUUGCAGUAGAUACGUAGCUAUAUUAACUACACUACUUCCAGCAUGCACAAAUGCGACUUCUUGAUGGUUACGCUGCUAAAGACAUUUACAAAUCCCCAUCAAUACUGGUGUUUAUUCCUCGUGAUGAUCCAGUGAGCUGACAAUAAAAGAAAACCUUGGCAUUACUAGUAAAUCGUCACUGCAAGCAUAAUGCAAGCAUGGAAGAGAUUCAGGUAGGAAUUACCCUUGUCUUCAUUGAGAGGCUUUAACCUCCCUAGCUCCUUCAUCAGCAGGCCCAUUGUUUGAUGCAUCCUCUGAAGCGUCUAAGCAAGGAUUGCUUUUACACUGCCUGACAGGCUGAGCAUUGGUCAAGAGACUAGAAAGUUGAGACCCCCUUUGCGAAAAGUUUGGUUUACCUUUCGGAGUCUCAGACAGGCUUCCCGUUGACAGCUUUGCUAGGCCCAUUGUCUUGUGCUCACACGGGAGCUUAGUUGAAAAAGGUGAUUCAGGUGUAUCAGGAUGCUUCCCAGGAAUAUCCAUCGGUCUAUGAAACAGCAAAUGAGCCACAGUCCGGUCUACGGGAUUGGUCUGUGUUUCCACCUCAGGCAUCUUAACCACCCUGCAGUAUACUCAUAAAAUCCAUGAGGAAAAUGACAGGAAAGUUUGAGAUUGCCAUACUCUAAACAAAUUGAUAAAGACUUGAUUAAUAAUUUUGUGCAAACAAAUUGAAUAAUUUGAAAUGGGAAGGACGAGAUGUAAAGGAACAAACCCAUUGGAACAAGAAACAAUCACAUUGUCGCUUACAACAAAAAAUCGAGUUUCAGAUCAAAAGAGCUUAUGGUUUUGGCUGGAAGUAUCCCAUUUAGACAUAGAUGAGCCGAUUAGAAGAUGAUUUGAGUUCUUAAAUUUUCUUGCUUAAAAUGUAAUGUAACAUGAAUCUGCAGAUGAUCAUUAAAUUUGAAGGGAAAUUUAAUAUUUUUGCCCUGUUUAUCUAAAGUUGUGCAAGUUCUCUGCAUUGAUGAUUUCAGUGAAUUUGUACAGAUCUUGUUUUCCUUCUAUUCGUCCUUGAAUAAACUUAUUGCACUUGUUUAACAUUCUUUGUCUCUCUCUCUUAGUUAAAUCUAGUAAAAUUUAUCAUGUAUGUUGUGCCACUCAUUUAGACUUGGAUGUGUGUGUUUAGCUCUCCUUUUCGGAUUAAGGUGAUUAUGCACAAAUUCACUGGAAUCAACAUUGCAGAAAACUUGCAUAGAUUUUGUUAAUAUUGGAAAAAUUAAAUUUAUUUCUAGAAUGAGAAUGGAAAACAGAAAAUGGUGAUGGCAUUAAAAGAUCCUAAUUUAACAUUUCCAUUGAGCAAAAAUGUUAAAAAAAAAGAGAGAGGAUAGAUUAAAUUUGAAAACAGAAGCAUGAGAAAUGCAUUGCCUUAACCAACCUUCUUUGACUGCUGGUUUUCUCUUUUGCAGCAACUUGUUCGUCCCUGCUACUAUUGUUUGUACUGCCAGUAUCACUAGCAUAAUGCCUUUGCAUUGCACUUUGAGCCAGCCGGAACAAGCUAUCCCGAAUACAAAGUCUAAUUCUGACAUCCAACUGUUGUAAAACAUUGGUUUGGAAUCGUAACCAAGCACAAAUUAUUUAGCAGGGAAUGCAAUAGUACGUGAAGCAUACCUUUGAAAUAAUAUCUUGAAGCCUGUAGAGUACUGUGUCCUCCAUUGAAUAAUCAUUAACCGCCAGAGAGACUGUAUUGGAAUCGUCUUGCUCAAUAGGCGAGUUUGGGUCAAAUGAAGCAAGUGUACUUAGAUCCUCUACUUCAAGGUCAGCUCCUUCAACAUGCUGAAUUUGAUUUUCUUGGGAACACUUUUGAUGAACAAGCUGCUGCUGCUGUUUCUGAAUGGCAAGCAUCGCCUGAAUUUGUUGCCGCCUCCUUAAUUUUUCAAUCUUUUCCUGAGGUGUCAUUCUCUGGGGUUUCACUGGACAGUCAGCUAACUUGUUUAUAGGAUUUGCAUUGCCUGAAGAAACUUCAUAACCAGAAAUUUUAGGUCGAUGAUUAAAUGACUAGAAAUUUUGUUGGAAAGUCAGAAAACUUUAACAGGAUUCACAUUACCUGAAGAAACUUCAUAACCAGAAGCUAAAGGUUGAUGCUUAAAAUCCCCAGACUGAAUGUGGGACAACCCAGGCAUAGAAUAUGGAUUUGUAAUACUCCCGUAUGCAGAAGGGGCCACAAAUGGAAUGGAAAUCUGCUGGUACUGCAACUGCUCGGAACCCUGUAGCUGCUUCUGUUGGCUGAGAAUUGAAGGGGGAGAAGAUUGCAUAAUUUGGGGUGCUAAAUGAUCCUUAAGUUGACAGGCUGGGAUUCCAGAUGAAGUCCAGUUUCCAUAAAAAUCUUGGUAUGAUUUCAGUUCACCUUUUUCUUCCAGUUUUUCCCGACCUUUCAAGAUCUUCUUUUGCCUGUAAGUCUGAUCACAGAACUAUAAACAUAUAAAUAGACAAAUUACUUAGAAUAGAUCAUCGUUUUAACCAUCUAGACCUGCAGGGGAGUGACUAAGGCACAGUUAGUAUUUUAAUUCAGUACAUGGUUUGUAAGGAUAAAUUCAAUGUUAUUUUUUUUUUUUUAACUGUAACUUAUGAUCCAAAGGGCUUCUAUUGUUCAGAAUAUAUUGAGGUAUUAGCUAAUCUAUGCCAAGCAAACAGAAUUUGCAUGUCCAGGAUAACUUAACUGAUGUCUCCUGAAUUUUCACAUGUUAUUCCUUUCUCCUUCCUACAAUGGAUUUACUUCAGGCAAUCGAUAUCAUGGUUAAGUAAUGGAUUUGACAUCCAGGAUAACUUAAUUGAUGCAUUAUUGAAGUCAUGACUAAAUCAUGUAAAUCCAUAUUCACCCAACAUCCAAGUUUAUUCUCAUUCCAAAAAAUAAAACUAAAAAUAAUAGCAAGAAAUAUGAAGAGACGAAGAGGAAUUUAAAUAAUAUAAUUUCUCUUUUCUGUCGCCAUUUUCCAUUCCAGAGAAGUACUCAGGAAGUUUUCACAAGUUCAAGUGUAAGGUAACUUUUACCCUUCCCAGCUCUAAUUAGGUUUCGCUGUCCCUCCAGUCUAAUUUAAGAUCUAACAUGUGGAAACCACACUGUAUUAGUGAAAGGAUUAUAAUAUCAAGAUUUUCCAAUUUCAAUUCACUGAUAUAACUUUUCUUGAAUCCUGGACAAAAGAACUUAGAACAUCAAAAGAUCAUAGCAGGAUUCUAAGAAACAAAGAUUGUAUUUGGUGCUUAUUGAGUCUAAAAGUUAUCCUGGAUGAAAAGGGUAAAAAUCAGUAACAUGUCUGGUUCAGUAUCAAGAUUUUGAAAAUAUCAAAAGGAAGAAAAAAAAAAGGUAACUUAUUCGCUAAUUCAUUUGGAAAAGCACCAUUUUCCUCUGUCAGUUGAGAGUUAGCCGCCGUGUUCUUUCCCACAACAGCCAAAUCUGUCUGCAAAAGCACAAAAAAAAAUUUAAAAAAAAAUGCUAAGCUUCUCUCAGCUCCAGCACUUGAGCAUGGGGCAUUAAUAAGUGAACUCAUUACUGAAAAUUGAGUCGCUAUACCUGCUCCUUCAGUAUAGGCUUGUUUUUACCUUCAUCAUAUUGCACCGCAUCAACUGACCCACAAAUAAAUUUGCAUUUUUCCAUCAGUUCCAAGCUACUUUGUAAGGAAAAGGGAGGGAAGUGCCUUCAAAGAUACCUUCUUCAUAGCUUCUUUAGAUAUGAAUCCACACGACUUUCGUAAUCACCAAUCACUAUGCGCAGCUUCUCUUAUCAUCACAAGUUCCCAAGAAAAAUUAUAUUCUUCCCUCCUCCAGCCCUUUCCCUACAUAUUUCCACCAGCUUCAUAGCAAUGCGGCCCGUGAAAACGACUCCCAAAUUAAAACACUUGAGAAGCUCUAAUAGUUUUCCACAAAGACCUACUUUUCUUAUUAUUUCUUCCUCGUCACAACCACUCACUUUCCCCUAAAUCCCAUACCACAACCACUCCUUAAUCUUCAACUAAAUCGAUAUCUCUUAUCACUUAUGAAAACUCCAUCUAAUUUCCAAAUGAAUCACACCAUUUGAACACUUUGCCAAUUCCUAAUUCCUUCAAAAUUUUCAUCCAUUAAAAAAAAAACUGCAAGUCAUACUUUUUCACUUUAACACAGUUGUCCUUAUAAUCAAUCUUCCAAUAUAACCAUACUCUUGCCUCUAAAUCUGGCACGCAAAGCUUCUACAUAACCUUCCAACGUUACUUCUUGCCUCCCAAACUCCUCAAAGUUCUGGUGCCAAUAUAAUGCUAUUCCAUCAAGGGAGUUUUUCAGAAUCUCCAAUCUUUUCAAGAUCAAAAUGUUGAUUGCAUCUAUACAACCACUUACGGGCAUCUUCCCCAUCAAAGCUGGGAAAGUCACAUAUGGGUUUGUGCAUCCUAAACUGAGAGUGCUCACCUUCACUAGGUAGUCAAGUUAUUGCAACUAAAGAGUUGUUUGUUUGUCUCGGGUAGUAUUAGCCUCCCCUGUGGAAAGUUGUAGUGUUUGAAGAAGGGAUGUUUGUUGAUAAGCUAUUCCACUAAUGAGACCCUUGAGUUCAUUAAACUUAGCUUCAUGGUUGCUUUUUGCGGUCACCAGUUUGUGAUUGUAACUCCAACAUUUUCAUCAUUUGUUCAUAAUCUUAUGCUUGAUCCUUGCUGACAGCUUCAAGGGAGCUCUCCAGCUUUUUGAUGUCUUGAGAUCUAGUGUCAGGAGCCAUAUUCCAAAGCUACAAUGGAGUCUACUAAUCAGAGGAAUCAAUAAACUCGCAGUUGAUGAAUAACAGAAGAAGAGAGAGAAGGACAUAAAUUGGUUAAGCCGAUAUUUUUCAUUCUUCUAUUUUCACGCUGGCAUUCUGUUACCAAUACUAACUGAAAGAGCGGCUAAUAACAACUUCCAUUUAUACCUUCGCAAUGUUUGUUUACCGGAAAUUCAUUCCAAAUUUUUUUAUGUUUGUUUAUUAUUAAAAAAAGUUAAUCAACAAAAAAAUUCUGGUUGUUUAUCGUUAGAAAAUUUCAACAACUUCCAAUUAUCAAGCAAUAGCCAACACGUGCCAGGAGUCUCAGCUAAAUAAUUGAAACACCAAUCUGGCCUUUUGGUGUUGCACGGUGCUGCUGCUUCUUGGCUCUUGAUUUCAUAGAAAUGCUGCUCCCUCAUCCCUGGUGUUACACAGGCAGCUGCUGGCUCCUCUUGUAUCUUUUGGGUUUUGGCUUAGUUUGGUUCCCGCCGUUGUUUGUUCUCCGGUCGUCGAAGCUUGCUGCAAUCAUCCGACUCUGUUCUCAUAGUCAGAUGCUUCCUCGGUUUUCUCCUGGCAUUAAAAUUACAGCUGACCCUCAAAUCUUAUUGCCUCUGGUCAUUUUCUUGAAUGGUGCUUGGUGUUGUCUUCUAGUGUUUGCAGUAUCGUAAUUUGCUGGAGUUUUUGUAGUAUUUGAAUUGUGGGUGAUUGAGCUGCAGAAUUAGAGGGAAUUGAAUCCGUGCUAUGGGUUAUCAUGUGAUAUCAUCAUUCAUCAACAAUUAAUUGAAUGGGUUUCUACAUUAAAUAUUUUUAGUUUCUUAAUCAAUAAUUUGAAGUUUUUAAUUGGACGUGAAAUUAUUCUUAGAGAAUAAUAUAAUUAAACUAAAUCUUGGUUAAUUGAUUGCUAGCAAAGGUGUAAAUUUACAUGGCUUGAAAAUGAAGCUUAUCUUCUACUUAAUUUUAUCAAAUAAUAUAAUUUUGAAAUAAAUUAUUUAUAGAGUAGUUUUGAGUGAUAUAAAUCAAAUAGGAAUUAAAUCAUGUUAAAACAUUUAAUUUUGUUGUCCCUUCAUAUAUUACUAACAGCAACAUUACGUAUCCUAACGCUUUAUAAAUUCCAAACCACUCAUUUGAAACUAACGCUUUGUAUUAUUUUUAUAAAAUAAAAUAAAUCCUAACACUGAUGUGGACUAAAAUGUUUUUCAUAUAAAAUAUGAGGAUAAAAAAACUUUCAUGAACAUUUAUGAAAACCUAUUUUUAUCUAAGUGGGCUAGGAAUCCGUAUGCAUGUAUGAAAAUGAGUUCGGGCUUAGGGUGAUAGAUAUGGGUCAGUAAAAUGAAUUAUAUUUUAAUAAAUUUUAUCUAUAUAUAUUUUCUAAUCCAAGUAAAAUGAAUUAUAUUAUUUGUUUAAAAUAAAGUUAAUCUCAAAUAAAAAUUUUACUUUCUAAAAUAAAAUAUGAAUUAUAUUAUUUUAAAAAUUUGCUUGAGUUACUUUAGGUUUUAUGGCAGCCCAAUAACGAUACUCUUAACAGAAUACUGAGUUAUUGGGCCUAAAAGGCUAAAAGGUCCUGCGUCAGGAUUUAAUUUUCAUGGGUCCUUUGUUAAGAUUUAGGACUAUUGGAUCUUGGGUUUCUAAAUAUAAUAAUUUCUCUAAAAGUAUUAAUAUUAAAUAUAUUAUAAUUUGUGUUCUAAAUAUUAUUAGUUCAAUUGUAAUAAAAAAGAUAAUAUUUAUACUCCAAAUAAUAAUAUUGUUGAUAUUAGAACUUUGAAUUAUAAUAAAAAUCAUAAUAUUCAAAACAUAAAUAAUACUAUUUUUCAUAUUAAUACUUUCAAUUAUAACAAUAAAAAAAAUAUUUAUACCGCAAAUAAUAAUAAUAUUUAAACCGCAAAUAAUAUUGUUUUUAGUAUUAAUACUUUCAAUGAUAAUAAAAAUAAUAAUCUUUGUACUACAAAUAAUAAUAUUUUUGAUAUUAAUGCUUUGAACUACGGUAAAAAUAAAUAUUAAUAUUUUCAAUUAUAAUUAAAAUAAAAAUAUUUGUACUGCAAAUAAUAAUAUUUAUACCACAAAUAAUAAUAUUUUUCAUAUUAAAGAUUUAAACUAUAAUAGAAAUAUUAAUAUUUAUAACACAAAUAAUACUAUUUUUAAUAUUAAUAUCUUCAAUUAUGAUAAAAAUAAUAAUAUUUAAGGCGAGGCUAUUGCCCUCGCACUGGGUCAGGCCCGAGAACCACGUGGUGUUGGUGUUGGUGAUGGCUUGCCCUUGUCCUGGGUGGGAGCCAGGCCCGCGCCCCCAUGUGGGACACAUGGCGCGUGGACUAGCUGCCCUUGUGCUAGGUCAGGCUAGCGCGCCACGUGGCGCUGCGGCCGGCUUGCCCUUCUCACAGGGCUAAUGGGUCCUACAUUUGGACCUAAUUUUCUUAAUUCUUUGUCAAGACCUGAGGCUAUUGGGUUUUAGGUUUCUAAAUAUAAUUAUUUUCCUUAUAAAUAUUAUUAUUUUUAUUAUAGUUGAAAGUAUUAAUAUCAAACAUAUUAUAAUUUGUGUUCUAAAUAUUAUUUGUUCAAUUCUAAUAAAAAUGAUAAUAUUUAUACCCAAAAUAAUAAUAUUGUUGAUAUUAAUACUAUGAAGUAUAAUAUAAAUCAUAAUAUUCAGAACACAAAUAAUACUAUUUUUAAUAUUAAUACUUUCAAUUAUAACAAUAAAAAAAGAUUUAUACAGCAAAUAAUAAUAAUAUUUAAACCGCAAAUAAUAUUGUUUUUAGUAUUAAUACUUUCAAUGAUAAUAAAAAUAAUAAUAUUUAUAGCACAAAUAAUAAUAUUUUUUAUAUUAAUACUUUGAACUACAAUAAAAAUAAAUAUCAAUACUUUUGAUUAUAAUAAAAAUAAAAAUAUCUAUACUGCACAUAAUAAUAUUUUUACUACAAAAUAAUAAUAUUUUUUAUAUUCAUGCUUUAAAAUAUAGUAGAAAUAUUAAAAUUUAUAACACAAAUAAUAGUAUUUUAAUAUUAACAAAUAAUAAUAUUUAUGGUGCUUGGGUUUACCCUUGCACUGGGUCAGACCCUGAACUGAGAGACUUCAACCACCAAUCAAAUUAGAAUAGUAGAAAUAUUCAUGCUUUGAAAUAUAGUAGAAAUGUUAGAAUUUCUGUGCCGUUGCAUUUCAUGCCAGCUAUGUUGUUGACACUGGACUGAGAGACUUCAACCACCAAUCAAAUUAUUCUUAUUGACUUUUUGUGCGGUUUUGCCGUCAAAGUUCAGAAACCUUGGCUAUUAGAAUAGUCAAAGUGUUUAUUUUUGUAUUUUAAACGUGUCGAGACCUGGCGUGUGAGCUGUUCUACUUGUGCGCCCGUGUCAGCACCCAAUGACAAUGGAUCGGGUGUAAGGAUUGAAUGGCAAUGGGUCUGCUUGUAGAUCCAAUUCGCUUUAAUCCUUGCCGGAUCUAAAUAAUUUAUGUUUUAAAUAUUUUUUAUUUUUUAUUUUUAAUAUAAUAAUAUAUGUUAUAAAUAUUAUUAUUUUUUUAUAAUUUAAAAUAUUAAUAUAAAAAUGUUAUUAUUUAUGUUAUAAAUAAUAUUAUUUUUAUUAUAACUCAAAUUAUUAAUAUAAAAAAUAUUAUUAUUUCUGUUAUAAUCAUCCUCAGAAUUUUUAAUAUAAUUAGAUAUGUUAUACAUAUUAUUAUUUUGAUUAUAAUUAAUAAAAAAUUAAUAAAUUAAAAAAAUAUUAAAAAAUAUUAUUUUUUGUAUUAUAAAUUUUUACAAUAUUUUUUAUAAAAAUAAAAAAUAAACCCACCACCACGUAGCAGGCAUCCACCUAGUUGGGUGCAACUGUGCAAUUGCCUUGUAAAAUUGCCUUAUUCAGUAGUAUUUGUAAUUUGGUGUAGAGCUGGUAUCAUUCUUUGAAAUCAUAGUUAUUACGUCAUUGAGUUAACUCGUGUGUUAAUUAUAGGAUCAAUCAUUUUACUUCAUUUUUUUCUUUAAAAAGAACAAAAUUUUCACAAACAGAUAAUCCUAUUGCAUCUUAAACUUCAAGUUUCCAGCAACUAAACAAUAUCUACAUUCAAUUAGAACUUGUGGUACAAUUACCUGACAGCGAAAUAAAAAAGGAGGAGGAGGAACCCCCCUGGAUCUAUUACCGGACAUAAUAAUAAUCAUCAUUCUAUUUCAAUAUCUUUUUUUGCUAUAAUUAAUUUUUAAAGUUGAUUUGAUUAGUAUUGUACUUUUCUCAUUCUAACAUUCAAAUCCUACUAUUGUUCCUCUAUCCUGUUCUGCUGCAAAUAAACAUCACAAGAUCCUUGUCUUCGAUCUAGGAAUUGCUGGUUCUACUAUCUUGUUCUGCUGGAGGAUCAUCACGUGCUUCAGAUUUUGAAUUUAGUAAUAGAAAAUCCAUUGCUAAAAAGGAUUAAAAAAAUAUUAAAUUAUUUAAGUGAUCUGCAACGGAUUUUUCAUUGUUGACGCGGCAACAUCAAAUCUGCAACUGAUUCAAAAAAUAAAUUAAACCCUUAAUUAUAUAAAAUCUCCAUCCUCUCCUUUUCUCUUUUUCUGCAUCUUCAAAAAUUCAAAUUUUUUUCUCCAUCUCUUUCUCUAGUCUAUUCACCGCCUUCAAAAAUUCAAAAUCCAAAAACUUUUUCAUAUUAAGUAUGAAUUUUUUAUAUCAAAAUCUAACUCAAUCAGGUUUCAAGUAUUCAUGAACGACUCCAAACAAUUUUGAUAUCAAGAACAAACCAACAUCAAAUCAGAACAAAUUGUUCAUAACCGAGAAAAGUAAAGCCCAGAACAAAGAAGAAAAUAUAAAAAACCGUUGGUUCCCUGAUGUGCUCCAGUUUCCGGCUUCCAUCAACGGUUUUCUUGUGUUUCACAAAAGAGGUUACUAUCUUGGGUAACGUCCAAAUUCCAUCUAUGGAAUGAUGCAGCCAAAACUUGGCAAAUUCUCGUAAUCGUUGUUCUCUGUAAUCUGUAAAGAAGCUAUCAAUAGCUAUGGCCAUAAACGGUGUAGGAGUUCUAAAUCCUAGCACCCACCCAGCAUUGUUUUGAAGAAGUAUAUCUUCUUUGCCUGUUCUUUACCCUUUUUUAUGUAUGUAAUACGUAUAUACAAGCAUUCAGAUUGCUUUGAUUUUUUUGUUAGGAAAGUAUUAUGUAAACUAGAUUCAUAAUUUCUAAUUUGUAAGAGAAUAUAUGAUCUUAUUUAAAUACAUUAAAAAAUUAAUUUCUUCAUUUCUCUUAAUUUUUAAGAAAAUCUUUCUUCUCUUAUAAUUAUAGUUAUUGUUUUUUUAAAUCUAAAAUCAAUGUCAUGGUUAAAUAGAAUGGUAUGUUGUCCUUAUUUUUAUUAAAUUAAAUUAAAAAAAAAAACUAAAUUUCUUAAAGAAAUUGCUGUUUACCAUGACCAUGAUAAAGUUGUUCUUUAACCAUUAAACCUUUUAAACCUCUAUGAUUUUUUAAUUUACAAAUUGUUUUCAAAUUAAGGAAAUUCUUAAGAAAAUCUAUCAUAUUAUAUAUUUUUUUAAUUUCACCCCUAUAAUUUUUUUAAUCUUUUAAAUUUAAUUUUUAUUAUUUUUAAUUACUAUUUGUUUUUACAGUUUCAUCUUUCUUGGAUUUUUUUUGCCUAUGAAAUUAUAUCCUUAUUUUUUUAUUGUUAUAUUUUUUGUUUUUGCAAGUCAUCCGAGUUUACUUGAUUUUUUUUCUUUUUUAAGCUGAUGUUUUUUUUUUUUUAGUUUUGUUUUGUUAUUUUUACUUUAUAGAGUUAGCUCUAAGUUACCAGAUUUAAAAUUAUUUUUUUAUAGUUUCACCUUUAAUAUUGAAUUAUUUGAUAAUACAGGGGGUACAGUUCUAGGGUUUUUUUAAUUUUUUUAAUUCUCAUUGUUUUAGUUAAUUUAUUGUAGUUGUAUUUUUUAUAUAUAUUUUGAACCAAUUAGUUGUAUCUCAAAUUUUUUAUUAUGUAAUAUUAUUUUUUUAAGUUAAAAAAAUACUUCCUCUCGCAGUGGAGCACGGACAAAUGUUCCAGGGUACAUUUUAUAAGAUAUGAUCCCAGGAUACGAUGUAGAUCUUGUUAAGUAGGUUGUGGAACUUGCAGGUUCAAAUGGUUUGAAGAUUCUGAAGACAUUAUUUAUCCAGAUUUCAAAGAAGAUAACAUAAUGGUUUUGGUGAAUUGUGCUCGAACUCUUUGCAUUUCAGGAUCCUCUACUGGUCGAUACAGGCCUUGACACGUCCUGGAUGACUGGAUGCUGCCGGAUGUGACCUGAACCAUAGCUUGAUGCCACCGACCUUUCUGUGGCUCCUGGCUCCAUGUUCCUUAUUCAAACCAUUCAUAAAGGUAUCUUAAAUAGUGCAGCCUGAGCUUUACCGGUUACGCUUUUUUUUAGGAAGAUUAUUGUUAAAUUAUUAUUUUUUUAAAUAUAUUAAAAUAAUUUUAUAUUUUUUAUAAUUUUUAAUAUUAACACAUUAAAAUUAUCAAAAAUAUUAAAAAAUCAAUAAUUUAAUAUAUUUUCAAAUAAAAUAUAUUUUAAAAAAACAUACAUUACCACUAUUCUCUCAAACAAAUAAUCCUAUUGCAUCUUAAAUUCCAACAAUGAGUACCCCGAUCAAACAAUAUUUACAUUCAAUUAAAACUUAUGGUAUAAAAUUACCUGACAGCGAAAUAAAGAAAAAGGAGGAACCCUGUAUCUAGGAAAUUUCUAUUAGGCCUACAAUCCGAGGCUGUAACUGGAUCUACACUGAAGAAAUUUCGUGGGAAAUGGGUUGGGAGAAAUUUCUGUGCUGAUGCCAGCUAUGUUGUUGACACUGGACAGAGAGACUUCUUCAACCACCAAUCAAAUUUGCUUGUAAUGUGAGGGAGUGUGGGAUACAAUUGGUUGCAGGCAAACACAAGUAAAUUUGUACAGAUCUUGUUUUCUUUCUAUUUGUCCUUGAAUAAACUUAUUGCACUUGUUAUCCCACUUUUUCGACGAUGGGAUCUCUUGGCAAAUAAAGCGAGGACAAACCGAGUAAAAUGUGGGACCUAACUCCAUUUUCCUGGAACACGCAACUCACGCAUACACUAACUCCCGCCCUUUUCCUCGCUGGAUCCUUGAUAUCUUCAAGGGGUGCAAGCGCCUUGUUCGAGGAUUGAGCAUAAAAGACUAAAAGAGUUAAAGAAAUACUAAAAGACAUAAAGUGAAGUUUUUUAUAAUAUUCAUAGCAAUGUUCAUCAGCUAAUUUAUAAUUUAUAAUUUAUAAUUUAUUUAUCUGCUAAUUAUCAAUGAAUGAAAAGUGAUAAAAGAAAAGGAGAAAAGGAGAGAAGAAAUAAAGUGAAGUUUUCUUCCGCAUUAUUAGCACAUCACGUGAAAAGAAAGAUUGGCAUCUACUAAAAGCAAUCCCAAUCAAACCCAUUUUUUCGACGAUGGGAUCUCUUGGCAAAUAAAGCAAAGGACAAACCGAGUCAAAUGGAGUCCACAGCAUAACAAGGGUCGAGAGAGAAAAGGCUUUUGCGAGUUCUGUGUUCUGUAUACUUCUCAAGGGGAAAAAAUAAUGUUUUGUUAGGGAUUUGUUUUUGAUAGAAUUGUUAGAGAUCUUAGCCGAUGCAUCUGGAUUAUAAUUUUUAGCAUUUAUACUAUUUUAUAGCGCUAAUAUCUUAAAAAACUUAUUUUCUAGCUUUUUUUAUGGUAUGAUGAAAUAUUAAAAAAUAUUUUUCAACUCAUUAUCCUUAAUACAAUUAAAUUUCAUAGAAUAGUCUAUUUUUUAGAAAUAUAGUUUACUAUAAGAUUUAUUUGAUAAAAGAAAUUCACUUUGUAACAAUGCACUAGAAACUAAAAAAAAAGAAGCUAAUGAUCAUUUAAAAAUAUAGUAUAUUGGAAUCAUCUUGCUCAAUAGGUGAGUUCGGGAGUUUGGUUGCUUAACAGGUGAGUGAAGGUUAAAUGUACCCAAUUAAAUAAUAUCUAUAUUCAAUUAAAACUUAUGGUAUAAUUACUUGACAGCGAAAUAAAGAAAAGUAGGAACCCUGUAAUAUCUAGGACAUUUCUAUGCUCUUUAAAUUAGGCGUCCAAACUGAGGCUAUAAUGAGCCCUGAAUCUACACGGAAGAAAUUUCAUGGGAAAUGUAAUUUCAGAAGACCAUGACUCAAAUCAGCGGCUGAAAUCCAAUCACUCAAGGGAUGGUGACACGUUGCCUUAUGUGGGAGACAGCUGGUCUCCAGUACGAAGAGAGACAACAAUAUUUUUUUUAUUAAAAGCGAGUGUACGAACUUCCACGUAUUUUAAUUUAUUUUAUUAAUUUUAAAUUUAAUAAUUAUAUAAAUUUUUAGUAAUUCUAAAAAAAUUUAAAUUCAUAACUAUUAAAAUACAAAUAUAAAACUUAAUCAAUUAGGUGACUCCACAAUAGUAUUUUCAUUAAAUAGAGUGUUUAUUUUUCUCAGUGUCUUUGUUCUCGUGACAGCUCAUGAUGAUGGGGGCUUAAAAAAAAUUAAAGAGAUUAUUUUCACUUGUGAUUUAUUUGAUUUAAAUAAGUAUUUAAUUAAAAUUAUAAUUAAAAAUGUUGUUUAAUAAAAAAAUAUUUUAAAAAUAUUUAAUUAAAAUUAUAAUUAAAGAUAUAUUGUAACUAAAAUUACUAUAAAAAAAAAGAUCCUAGUGAAGGUGGAGAGGAUGAGAAUAAUGAUUGGAUAUCUUAAUAAUUGUAAAAAGAAAGUAUCUUUUUAUGGUGAAGUUAUCGGUAAAUGAGAAAAUACUGAGUUUUGUAGCUCAGAAAAAAAACGUCAUUCAACUAAUAAAAUGAUCCAUCUACAUAAAAAAAAAAAAACAUCAUUCCCAGGUGUGGAAGAUAAAAUUAAUCAACAUAAUCUUAUUGGAUUGCAUUUUAUUAUUCAUAUCAAACAAUCAGUAUCCUUAAUAGUGAUUUUUGGAUAUUUUUAUUUUUGCAACUCAACUAUACUUUUUAAUAUAAUAAUUUUUUUACCUAAUUUUUUAUUAUUAUUAUUUCAGUAUCAUUUUGUUAUUUCUAACCGUUUGCAUUUAUGAGGUUAGUCCUGAAUUCAUGAAUUAUCGAUUUUUAAAAUUAAUGUAAGUUGAUUUUUAUUAUUUUUUAUUUUUUUAUUUUUUUAAAUUAAUUUAUUUAAAUUUUAUCAUUUAAUUUUUUUUUUCAAGAUUUCUUUUUAAGAGACUAACCCUUCAUUGACAAGCACUAAUGUACUCUGAAAAACAUAAUCUCAUUGCAUCUGACGCUUUAAAUUCCAACAAGGAGUACCUUCACAACGAAAUAAAGAAAAGUAGGAACCCUGCAUCUGGGAAAUUUUUAUGAGGCUCCAAUCUGAGGCUCUAACGAGCCCUGAAUCUACACACAAGAAAUUUCGUGAGAAAUGGGUUGAUGUCAGAGGGAGAUCAGGAAGCGUACUUUCAGAAGACCAUGACACAAAUCAACGGCUGAAAUCCAAUCACUCAAGGGAUGGUGACAUGUUGCCAUGAGUGGGAAACAGCUGGUCUCCAUCUGAAUGUUUAAAGAUGAUUGGGUAUCUUAGUAAUUGUAAAAACAAUUGAUUUUUUUUUUUGAUGAAGUUGUCGGUGUGGAUGAGAAAAUACUGAGUUUGUAGCUUAGUAAAAACAUGUUGAUGUUACUUUUUAUUAGCUCAUGGUUGGCCCGUAAAUUGUAAUGGGUCCCACAAUCACAAACCUAUGAUUCACAUGUAAUUUAUGUUUUAUAUAUUUUUUUAAAAUUAUUAUUUUUAUAUUUUUAUACCAUUUUCAUUUUAAAAAUUUUAAAUUUAAAAAAUAUUAUUUUAAUAUAUUUUUAAAUAAAAAAUACUUUAAAAAACAAUAAUAUCAAUCAAUGUUUUAUAAAUUCUUUACAAUCGCUUUUACAUUUUUUUAGAUCACAUCUAAGAAUGAGGGACACCACAAUAAAGUCCGUUGUUGCUACAUGAUUAAAGGUAAUUGUCUUGCAUUUACCUUUAAAACUGCUAUCAAGAAUUAAUUAAUUGCGUCAAUUCAAUUCUUUCUAUUGACAUUGAUACCAAACAUGUUAAUUCAUGAUAUAAUUAAGCAAUUCAAUACAAAUUUACUAAUAUAAUUUAUUUCGGCUUAAACCUUUGAAUAUAGCCAAACUCAGAGGUUAUGCAAGUGAAAUACCUUAAUAAUUAAAUUAAAAAAAGAAAACAAAAUAUAAUGUAUAAAAUAUAAUAAUACAAUGUAUAAUUUAUAAUUUAUUUAUUUGCUUUAUCAAUGAAAAGUGAUGGUAGGAGGGAGAGAGAGAGAGGAAAUAAAGUGAAGUCUUCUGCUGCCUGAUCACAUCACGUGAAGAGCUUGGCAUUUAGUGAAGUUUUUCCGAUCAAACCCACUUUUUUCAAAGAUGGAAUUUCUUGGAAAAUAAAUCAAACACAAACCGAGUAAAAUGGAGUCCAGAGCAUAACAAGAGCCGAGAUUGAAACAGGAAAUGCAGGAAAAAGAAGAUGGGCCCUUGUUUUCUCUUUUUAUGGCCGGCGACCGGAUAUAUAAAAGGGAGGAGAUGAAGCUUUCAAAUUAUUUACAAUUUUGCGGUCACUUAUUGUGUCCAUGUCAUUUUGUGUAAUCGCCCAGCUACCGGUACUAUUUUAACACUGUUAAAAGUCUAAAUAAUCAACAUUUCCCCAAUUUAUCUCUAAAAAAAAUUCACUUCAAUUAAUAGCAACUUUUUUUUAUUUCUUAUGUCAAUGUUUACCUCUUUUUGAUAAACUCGUAUGUUUUUGUACCAGAGGUCUCAAAUUAUUCUGUCCAGUUAUUGCUUAUUUAAAUUCAUUAAAAUGUUUUAAAUAACUUUUUUAAAUUUUAAUCCCAGAGUUUACAUACAUAAUACAUGAGUUAUAUACAUUAUGAUUCAAAAUAUUGUUAUAACUAAAUUUAAAAAAAAUACAAAUGAUCAAACCAUUGAUGCUGGUGAUGCUCUCGUCUCCAGAAUGGUCCGCUUGUACUUGGCUGAUGGAGCUGAGGGAAAGCCAUUGGCUGCAGAGUGCGCACUGUGAUUUUCGCGAAAUGAAUUAGGGCAGGGAGCUUUUUAGAAGCAAAUUUUGUUCUCCGUCAUUUUGUAAAUUCUCGCAGCUGCUUGUUAGACGCCAUAAAUAGUCUAAGCUUGUUGUUGAGAUUUUUUAUUUUCUGUAUAUGAAUUUAGAGUUAAUUUCUUGAAUAUUAAGUUUUCUGAUUUUUCUAUAUAAUUAAUUUUUUAAGUUGAUUUGAUUAGUAUUAUUGUACUCUUCUCAUUCUCAAUAAAAAAAAAAAGAAAAAAAAACCAGAAGAGUAUUUUCUUUCUAUUGAAAACAUUUGUGGUUAGAACAAAGUAAUUUUCACUGGAGUGUCGUUUUGGGAUGCAACAUGAACUUUACCUGUCUAAUUUGUACGGCAUGAGAAGAUGUUGCUUUCCAUGGCUUCCCCCUUAAAAAAAUUCCAUCACAUUUGAGAAUUUUGAUAUAAAAAAGAUAUAUCUCUUUUAAAGAAGAGAAGUGAUACCUAAAAUUUAUAAAUGAUCUAAACUCUUAAUUUUUAAUCGAUGUAAAAUGUUAGAGUAUCAUGUUCCUGAAAAAAUCUUUUUAAGUGUAUAAUAUGUUGCAUUGAUAGGUUUGAAUGUUUUUAUUACUGAAAUGCUUUUGAGAAGCGGCGUGCGUGCGGCUCCUUUGCAGGCCAAAAACCGCCCUCUACCUUGUUGUUUGGAGAGGAGCAUUAAGAGCUGGGGGUGGUGGUGGGGGCACAAGUCAGUUUUUUUUUUGUUAUUGUUGUAUUUUUUAAUUUAUAUUAUUAAAAUUAUAUAAAUUUAUUAAACUCAUUCGAAUAAAUAAAAUAUGUGUCUGAAUUGUUUUUUCUUUGAAAAUGCUUAUGUCUCCUUAACUUACUUUAUUUUACAAUAGAAAAAUGUAGGCCGGCUCGCGGGACCUUAUCUAGUAAUACAUAAGACCAGUAUCAUUUUUAGGCUUAAAUUUUGAUUAAAGAGAACAUUAACAUGUUUAGUAGUAGUGCAUACUGUUUAUUUUUGCGUUUCAAAAAUAUUCUUGAAAAAAAUUAAAAUAUAUUUUUUAUUUUUUUGCUUUAAAUUAAUAUUUUUUGUGUUUUCAAAUCAUUUUGAUGUGAUGAUGUCAAAAAUAAUUUUUAAAAAAUAAAAAAAAUAUUAUUUUAAUAUAUUUCCGAGUAAAAAAUACUUUAAAAAUUAACCACAAUCAUUAAAAAAAAAAAAAAAAAAAGAAGAAGCAAGAGCAGCAAGUUGGAAGCGCUUAUCUUGCUCCCAAAUCUUCUACAUAACCUUUCAAUAUAAUGCUAUUCCACCAAGGGAGUUUUUCAGAAUCUCCAAUCUUUUCAGGAUAAAAACAUCGAUUACAUCUAUACAAUCAUUUAUGGGCAUCUUCCCCAUCAAAGCUGGGAAAGUCACAUAUGGGUUUGUGCAUCCUAAACUGAGAGUGUCACAGGCUUAGACGCAAAGGCACGUNNNNNNNNNNNNNNNNNNNNNNNNNNNNNNNNNNNNNNNNNNNNNNNNNNNNNNNNNNNNNNNNNNNNNNNNNNNNNNNNNNNNNNNNNNNNNNNNNNNNGCAGACCAAGAAAGUUACUUGUGGGCAGUUACGAAGCAGUUACGAGGAAGUUGGUUUUCUUUAAAAUGUGCUGUCUAGAGUUAAUGAAUCUGUCAAAGUGCAUUUUUAUUUGUAACUUCCAUUGUAUGUAGGUGUAUUACAUAGGGCCUAAACAUGUGUAACAUGUAGAUCGGAUUGUGCAUAACACACAUACAUUGUUAUUGUGUAUUCCCUUUGUUGAUGGAUAAAUAUAGGUUGAGUUGUUUCCUGUAAAUUGCUUGUGUUGUGUUGAUCAUUAGCUUGUGUUCUUUGUCGCCAAAAUUGGUAAGAGGUGUGGGGAAAACCUCUAGGUGUGUGAAACACUUAGACUCUAGGCAAACACGAGUGGCUUAGAAAGAUGGUUGAGUCUAGUAACGGGACUAGACGCCCGCGCUGGGAUUAAAAUUGUGAUGAAAAUUUUAUCGUGACAGAGAGUGCUCACCUUCACUAGGUAUUAGCCUCCCCUGUGGAAAGUUGUAGUGUUUGAAGAAGGGAUGUUUGUUGAUAAGCUAUUCCCCUAAUGAGACCCUGAGUUCAUUAAACUGUAAUAUGUUGCAUUUAAUAGUUUGGGGCAAAAUUAUAUUAACCCUGAUUAUUUUUUAAGUGUAUAAUAUGUUGCAUUUGGGGCAAAAUUAAUAGUUUUAAAUGCGUUUAUUACUUAAAUGCUAUUGAGAAGCACUUACAGGGUCCUUUGCUGGCCAGAAACUGCCUUCCAUUGUGGUGUUCACGGCAGAGCAUUAGGGGCUGUCUGAUGGUGGGGCACAAGUCCAUUGACGAUUUUCUUCUUCACCUUUUUUUUUUUUUUUCUUCAUCUUCUUUUCUUUCUCCUCUCCUCAAAUACAAAAGUUUCCUUUUAUUUUUUUAAACAAUUUAAUUUUUUUUUUAUUGUUAUUUUUUUUAUCUUUUAUAAAUUUUUUUCUUUAAUUUUUUCUUUAAUUAUUUGAUUUUAUUUAAUUUUUACAUCAAAAUUUAUCCUUAUUCUUUUAAUUACUAUUUUUUUCUAAUUGAAUUUUUUUUUUAAAUUACAUCCAUCAACAUUUGAUUUCCAUUUAUUUUAAUGUCAAAUUCAAUUAAUUUUUUUUAUUACUAUUUGUUUUAUUUUAUAUCAUUUUUUAGUUGCCAUUUUUUUUAAAUUUUAUCUCUCAUUAUUUUGUGAAGAAGAAUUUAACUUCAUUAUUUUUUAGGGUUUAUCUUCUAUGAAAUUUGUCUUAACUCUUGAGCUCAUGACUAAGAUCACGAGUUUCAAAUAUUAACACAGAAUUACUCUCUAUUGUUACUCUCUAUUGUUCCGACCGGAUCGGGUCCGAUCCAAAGCUAAAUGCAUUGAACUGGGUCUGAUCCAGUUAAAAAAAAUUAAUUUUUAUUUUUAUUUUUAAUUGUGUUUUAUUCAAAAAAUUAGAAGGAGAUCGCUUGAUGACGUAACAUUUGCAGAAUUUGAUCGCAAUCUCAAUUUUGUUCCUGAUGUUGUUGCGCGCUUAAGAAAUCAAGAAAACUGUAGUCCUUGUCGGAUGUAUUUCGUACGUGAUGGAAUUGUAGAUAUUUUAAGGAAACAAUAAAAAAUAUUUUAUAUAAGUAUUACUUAUUUCAUGAUAUAAUAUCAAUAGUUAAACUUACAAUAUUUAAAUUAAAAACCAUCAAUAUAUAUAUAUAUAUAAUUAUUUUAUAACCCUAAUUUAAAAAAUAUUAUUUUAACUAAACAAAUUAAAUUAAUUUUUAUUAACAAAAUAAUUUUUUUUCAAACUAAAAGUUACCGCAAUAACAUAAUCACUCUAAACUAUCACUUUCACCACUCAGAAUAUUUGUCAUCUAAAACACUGAGCUGGAGCUAUUGGAGGAAGGAGAGAAAAGAAAUAAAGUCUCCAGCUGAAUGAUCACAUCAUCACGUGAAAAGCUUGGCAUUUUAAAAAAUGGAAUCUCGAGGUAAAUAAAUCAAAGACAAACCGAGUAAAAUGGAGUCCAGAGCUUAACAUGUUACCAGUUACAGAGCCGAGAGAGAAACUUUUUGCGAGUUCUUUACACUAAACUUUUUUGCAAUAUUGUUUUAACGGGUUAGUAUUAAAAAUAAUAUUUUUUUUUUAAAAAUAUUAUUUUAAUAUAUUUAUAAAAAAAUAUUUUAAAAAUCAACCACUAAUACACUAUUAAACACCCCUAAAUAUUUUAUAAAUUCUUCAUAGUAGCUUUUACAUUUCUUUAGAUCUCAUUUGACAAUGCUUUACACCACAAUAAAAAAAAAAUCAUGUUUUAUGUUUUUAUUGGCAAAAUGUAACUGCAACCGCAUUAAAGUUCGCUGUUGCUGCAUUAUUAAAGGUAAAUGUCUUGCAUGGAUUGACUACCAGUCAUAUUUUUUUUCCUUUGUUUUUUUGUAAGUUACUAAAUUUAUAAUGGUAUCAUUUUAAGAGAUUUUUUUUAAAAUACAACUAUAUUAAAAAAAUUUAUAAUUAUUUUUUAUUUCAGCAUAUCAAAAUAAUAUAAAAACAUCCAAAAAUUAUUAUUUUAAAGCAAAAAUAAAAUUAAAAAAUUUCAAAGUUUUUCAAAAGAGUUUCUGAAACGCAAAAAUCCAUAAAACUCAAUUAACAAAAGAAGGUAAAAACUGAUGCACAAAAACUACAUUUCACACUCAAUUUUUUAAUGGCCCCGUAAUAUAAAACACAUUUGGUUUGUUACCAAACAUUCUGUUACGUUUGUUUCACCGUAAACGUAAAAGCCAGCGAGAAACAGACGCAACUUUAAGUCUUAUUUGUUUGCUGAAAGUAGUUUCCUUUUGAAAAAUGGUUUUCUUGGAAAGUGGAUUUCUAAAAAGUGAAUUAUUUUUUGUUUGGUAGUGUAAUGAAAAAUAAAUUGAAAAACAUCUAGUGUUUGGUUAUGUCAUGGAAAAUGAGGUAGAAAAGAUCUUAUUAAUAUUUUUUUUCAAGUUUAUUAAAAUAAUAAAGAAUAAAUCUUACAAAUUAAAAAGGUGAAUGAGAAUGAAAUUGAAAAAAAAUUCUAAUUUCAUAAAUUAUCUCAAAUAAAAUAAAUAACAAUUAAAAUAAUGGAGAUCAAAUUUAAAAGAUAAAAAAUUGAAAGAUGAUGAAAUUAAAAUAAUAGUACUUACAAUUUCAUAAAUUAUUACAAAUAAAAUAAGUAACAACCAAAAAAAUGAGGAUCAAAUUUGAUAGAUAAAAAAUUUCAAUUAAAAAAAUAAUAGGAGAAAAGCAAAUAACAAUCAUAAAAAUAAACACCAAAGUUAAUAUAAAAAUCAAAUUUAAUCAAAUUCUAAGGAGUGAAAUUGAAGAAAAAAAAUUCAAAACAAAAUAUAUAGCAAUCAAAAGUUUAAGGACCAAAUUUGUUAUAAUUAGCAAAUAAUAUGAUGUUUUUAAUUUUUUCACAACUUUUGAAAAGUGUUUUAUGCCCGAAAAAAAGGAAAAAACUUUCCUGGAAACUAAACCAAAUUUUUCUUUGACCAGAAAAUAUUUGUGGUUGAUUAAUUUUUCUAAUAACAUAUAAAUACAAAAAAGUUCAAAAAAUAAUUUUAAAAAAACCACUUUCCACCAAAUAAACAAACAAAGCAUUAAUAAUACUACUUUUUGUAUAGUCUUAAUAGUAGGAACCUCUUAUUUGAACUCUAGGCGUUUAUUUUUUGAAAAGUGAUUUCCGGAAAAUCACUUUUUCAAAUUUUUUUGUGGUUGGUUGCCAUUAGAAAAGUUGAUCAACAGAAAAAACUUUACAGUCAAAAGAAAAUUUGGCUUGAUUUUCAUAAAAGUGUUUUCCUUUUAUUUUGAGCGGAAAACACUUUCCGGAAGUUGUGAAAAAUUUAGAAAUGUCAUAUUAUUUGCUGAUUAUAUCAAAUCUGGUACUCAAACUUGUGAUUGCUAUAUAUAUCUUGUUUUGAAUAUUUAUUUUUCAGUUUCAUCCCUUCCAAUUUAAUUUUUAUUUUAACUUUGAUCCUUAUUUUUAUAAUUGUUAUUUGCUUUUCCUUUAUCAUUUUUUAAUUGAAAAUUUUUAUCUAUCAAAUUUGAUCUUCAUUCUUUUGAUUGUUACUUAUUUUAUUUGAAAUAAUUUAUGAAAUGGUAAUUAUUAUCAUUUUAAUUUCUUCAUUUUUUUUUAAAGAUUUGAUCUCUAUUAUUUAUUUUAUUUGAGAUAAUUUAUGAAAUUAUAUUUUUUUUCAAUUUCAUUCUCAUUUAACUUUUUAAUUUGUAAGAUUAGUUUCUCGUUAUAUUAAUAAAUUUUUAAAAAUAAAACAUUAAUAAGUUCAUUAUCAUUUUCUUUGACAUAACUAAACACUGAAAAAUAUUUUCCAACUUUUUUUUUAUUAUAUUACCAACAUCAAAAAAUAAUUCACUUUAUCAAAAUUUAUUUUUUACUUUUCAUCAAAUAAACUACAUCUCCCACUUUUAUGCAUCACCUGCUGUCUGUUUUUUAUUCUAAGUUUGCAUGUAAAGUGUUUUUAAAAUUUAUAAAAGAAGUUACUGUUUACAUUGCUGUAGCCCUCGAGUAUACAAAGAGAUAUUCCUGGGAAGUAGCUUUAUGCCACUUCCCUUGAAUAUCCAAGAAGAUGCAUAAUUUUUUUAAAAAAAACAUUAAAAAAAAACAUAAUAAUUUACGAUGGAAGUCCUCAUAAUCAAUGCAUAAAAUGUUUUUUUUUUUGUUAAAAAUAAUUUUUAAUAUCAUAUAUUAAAAUAAUUUUAAAAUAUAAAAAAAUUCAAUUUUUUAUUGAAAAACUAAAAGUGCUUCAUAAGAAAGAGCGAAGGCGAUAUUCAUUAUAACUUUACUUCCCCACCUCUCUCGCCUACGUGCAGCAACCACUACUAGAUGUUCAUGGCGUCUUCUUCUUCUUCGUCUAGACCUGGUUGGGAUUACGAUGUAUUUCUAAGUUUUAGAGGUGAAGAUACUCGCAAAAAUUUUACGGAUCAUCUUUUCACUGCUUUACAGAAAGCAAAAGUCCGUACAUUUCGAGAUGACGACGAACUUCGUAUAGGUGAAGAAAUCUCCUUACAACUCCCCAAAGCAAUACAAGAAUCCAAGAUUUCUAUAGUGGUUUUCUCCAAGGGCUAUGCUUCCUCCACUUGGUGUCUUGAUGAACUUGAAAAGAUUCUUGAUUGCAAACACACAACUGGUCAGAUUGUUAUACCUGUUUUCUAUGAUAUUGAUCCUUCUGAUAUUAGAAAACAGACGGGGAGUUUUGCUGAAGCCUUUGAUAAGCAUGAAGAACGUUUUAAGGAAGAAAUGGAGAAGGUCCAUAAGUGGAGAAAAGCUCUCGUGGAGGCUGCAGAUUUAUCUGGGCUGGAUCCUCACAGUAUCGCAAAUGGGUACUUCUUUUCUUUCCCUGUAUCAAUAGCAAAUGCUUAUAACUUUUACUCUUAUUAUGUUUUGUAUUUUAAAUUUGCAUUAAAUUCAAAAGAUUUAUCUUUCAUCGAUGAGUGAUGACUUUUUUUUUCUAUGCGCAGGCAUGAAUCAAAAUUAAUUCAAAAGAUUGUCGAAGUAGUUUCAAGUAAAUUGAAUCCCAGAUUUUUGUCUGACGAUAGGCCGCUGAAGAGGUUGAAGACAACAAUGAUAUCUGGUGGUGGGCUGCUUGACGAUGCUGAGGAGAAGCAGAUAACAAAUACAUUUGUGCGGGAUUGGCUGGCCGAGUAUAAAGACGCUGUCUAUGAGGCCGAAGACUUCUUGGAUGAGAUUGCUUAUGAAGCUGAAGCUCAAACCUUCAUUAACCCACCUGGAAUAAUGGGGUUGAGAGAGAUAGAAGAAAAAUCAAGAGGCCUCCAGGAGAGUCUAGAUUACUUAGUAAAACAAAAGGAUGCCCUUGGUUUGAUCAACCGCACUGGAAAAGAACCAUCAUCAACUAAAAGACCAACAACUUCUCUGGUGGAUGAACGUCGUGUUUAUGGUAGAGAUUAUGACAGGGAAGCAAUACUGAAGUUGCUUGUAUCAGAUGAUGCAAAUGGAGAAAACCCAGGUGUUGUUCGCAUAGUGGGCAUGGGCGGGGUUGGUAAAACCACGCUUGCUCAGCUUGUGUACAAUCACAGCGAAGUACAGAGGUGCUUCAAUCUCAAAGCUUGGGUUUGUGUUUCAGAAGAUUUCAGUGUUUCAAAGUUAACCAAGGUUAUCCUUGAGGAGGUCGGCUCAAAGUCUGAUUCUGGGAGUCUGAAUCAGCUCCAGAUUCAGUUGAAGGAGAGGUUUCGGGAAAAUAAAUUUUUGCUUGUUUUAGAUGAUGUAUGGGAAGAAAAUUAUGCUGAAUGGGACACGUUGCUUACACCCUUGAAAUCUGGAGCACAAGGGAGUAAGAUUCUUGUGACAACACGCAAUGAAAGGGUAGCAUCAGUCAUGUCAACUGUUCAAACUCGUCACCUAAAAGAAUUGACGGAAGACAGCUGCUGGUUCUUGUUUGCCAAACAUGCAUUCGGUGAUGAAAAUCCCAUUGCGCAAGAAGAGUUAAAAAAAAUUGGUAGAGCAAUAACGAAAAAGUGUAAAGGCCUGCCUCUAGCUGCAAAAUCACUCGGAGGUCUGCUAUGCAACGAAAGAGAAGUCGAGGAGUGGCGGGAUAUUUUGGAAAGCAAUCUAUGGGAUUUACCCAAAGACAAUAUCCUCCCAGCUUUGAGAUUAAGUUAUCUUUAUCUCGUGCCACAUCUGAAGCAAUGUUUUGCUUAUUGUGCCAUAUUUCCAAAAGACUAUUCAUUUCGAAAGGAUGAAUUAGUGCUCCUGUGGAUGGCAGAGGGCUUCUUGGUCCGCUCUGCAGUAGAUGAUGAGAUGGAAAAAGCAGGUGCUAAGUGCUUUGAUGAUCUCUUGUCAAGGUCGUUUUUCCAGCAAUCAAGUGCCUCUCGCUCAUCAUUUGUGAUGCACGAUCUCAUGCAUGACUUGGCUACACAUGUGUCCGGUCAAUUUUGCUUCAGCUCCAGUUUGAGGGGAAAUAAUUCUUCCAAGGCCACCAGAAGGACUCGACAUUUAUCACUCGCAGUAGAUACGGAAGACACGGAUGGUGAAGAUACCGAAGAUGGAGAUACGGAAGGUGUUUUUUCAAGCACAAUAUUAGAAAACAUCCGUGAAGCCCAACAUCUACGCACAUUCCGAACUUCUCUAGACAAUCAGAUGUGUCCUCCCGAAUUUGAUAAGAUCUUUCAGUCAACACAUUGUCGCCUACGAGUGAUAUCGUUGUCUAAUUGUGCCGGUGUAGCUAAGAUGCUUUGUUCAAUUAGCAAGUUGAAGCAUUUGCGGUAUUUGGAUCUUUCCUGGUCAGAUUUAGUAACGUUGCCUGAAGAAGUGAGUGCUCUUCUCAAUUUGCAAACGUUGAUCUUGAAAAGGUGCCAACAACUUGCUAGUCUACCUGAUCUUGGAAAUUUGAAGUAUUUACGACAUCUGAAUCUUGAAGCAACAAGAAUAGAAAGGUUGCCUGAAUCUCUGGAAAGGUUAAUCAACUUGCGGUAUCUUAACAUCAAAUACACGCCUUUGAAAGAGAUGCCACAAUAUAUAGGUCAACUGGCAAAGCUCCAAACGUUGACUGACUUUCUCGUGGGAAGACAGAGUGAGACUAGCAUUAAAGAAUUGGGAAAGCUACGACAUCUACGGGGAGAACUUCAUAUUGGGAACCUUCAAAAUGUGGUGGAUGCUCGGGAUGCUGUUGAGGCAAAUUUGAAAGGUAGAGAGCACCUUGAUGAGCUGAGGUUUACAUGGGAUGGUGACACUCAUGACCCGCAACACGUGACAAGCACACUUGAGAAAUUAGAGCCAAAUAGAAAUGUGAAGGAUCUUGAGAUUGAUGGCUAUGGAGGUGUAAGGUUUCCGGAGUGGGUAGGAAAGUCCUCUUUCUCGAAUAUAGUGUCUUUGAGGCUCAGUAGAUGUACAAACUGCACCUUCUUACCACCGCUCGGGCAAUUAGCUUCUUUAGAGCGUCUCUCAAUUGAAGCAUUCGAUAAAGUUGAGAUUGUGGGGUCUGAGUUCUAUGGGAAUUGUACUGCUAUGAAGAAGCCAUUUGAAUCCCUCAAAACAUUACGGUUUGAAGGAAUGCCAGAGUGGCGCGAGUGGAUUUCAGACGAAGGCAGCCGGGAAGGCUUCCCUCUUCUAGAGGAGCUUUUAAUCCAAGAAUGCCCGAACCUUGCAAAGGCCCUACCAUGUCACCACCUUCCACGUGUAACAAGUCUUACAAUUCGUGGAUGUAAGCAGCUCGCGACUCCACUUCCUAGGUUUCCGGAGUGGGUAGGAGAGUCCUAUUUGUCAAAUAUAGUGUCCUUGAAGCUCAUUAGAUGUACAAACAGCACCUCCUUACCACCGCUCGGGCAAUUAGCUUCUUUAGAGCGUCUCUCAAUUGAAGCAUUCGAUAAAGUUGAGAUUGUGGGCUCUGAGUUAUAUGGGAAUUGUACUGCUUUGAAGAAGCCAUUUGAAUCCCUCAAAACAUUAUCUUUUAGAAGGAUGUCAGAGUGGCGCGAGUGGAUUUCAGACGAAGGCAGCCGGGAAGCCUUCCCUCUUCUAGAGGAGCUUUUAAUCGAAGAAUGCCCGAACCUUGCAAAGGCCCUACCUUGUCACCACCUUCCACGUGUAACAAGUCUUACAAUCGGUGGAUGUGAGCAGCUCGCGACUCCACUUCCUAGGUUUCCUGGGUUGCUCUCUCUCAUUGUUUUUGAUUUGCACUCCCUAGAGUCCCUACCCGAGGAAAUUGAUCAAAUGGGUUGUUCACCCUCUGAUUUAGGGAAAAUUAUAAUCCACCGCUGCGCUUCUCUCAAAGGCGUCGCACUGGACUUGCUCCCCAAGUUAAAUUUUCUUCGUAUUCUUGACUGUCCAGAUCUGGAAUCACUAUGUGCAAAUGAAAGACCUCUCAAUGAUCUCACCUCUCUCCAUUCUUUGGAAAUCGAGGGGUGCCCUAAAUUAGUUUCAUUUCCCAAAGGAGGGUUACCUGCUCCAGUCUUGACACAACUUGAUUUAUAUGAUUGCAAAAACUUGAAGCAGUUGCCUGAGAGUAUGCCUUCCCUCCUCCCAUCCCUUAACCGUUUGGGAAUAUAUGGUUGUUCAGAAGUUGAGUUGUGUCCAGAAGGGGUUUUCCCUCCACAUUACAAUUACUUUGGAUUCGUAAUUGCAACAAACUCAUUGCAGGCCGCAUGCAAUGGGGCUUGCUAACGCUCCCUUCUCUUUCACACUUCGAAAUUGGAAUGGACGAAAAUGUUGAAUCCUUCCCUGAAGAGAUGGUGCUGCCCUCAAAUCUUACAUCUCUUAGCAUCUAUGACCUCCAACACCUGAAAUCUCUUGACUACAAGGGGCUUCAACACCUCACCUCCCUUACACGUUUGAGAAUAAGUCGCUGCCCUCGGAUUGAGUCAAUGCCAGAAGAAGGGUUGCCCUCCUCCCUUUCUACUCUUGCAAUUUACAGGUGUCCUAUGCUGGGUGAAAGUUGUGAAAGGGAGAAAGGUAAAGAUUGGCCCAAGAUUUCUCACAUUCCUUACAUAAAUAUUUCCCAAGAUUAAAAGAAGGUUUUCUUUCAAUCGUCCAACAUAUUGAGGUAUUGCUACUAAAUAGUUUAUUUUCCUUUCAGUAAUCAAAGGCAAUUUCAGUUAAAAUUUGGAUGAAUGAAAUACAGAUAUUGUCCAUUUUGUCUGUUUUUAUUUGUUAAAUGUUGAAAUACAGAUAUUUUCUUCCUAUUGUCUCUCAUUCAUCUUCAUAUAUAAUAAUCAUUCUAUUGCAAUAUCUUUUUUGCUAUAAUUAAUGCUACUAUCAAAUGCGGCAAAUGCGGCAAAUAAACAUCACAUGCUUCAGAUUUUGAACUGCCAGCGCCACCCUUAAAAGACAACAGAUUUUUCACAAAAACUGACAAUGGCAAGGGCAGUAAUGGACUCGUUAAUCCAUCGAUGCUUCUCGAGAAGAUGACCAAUCAGAAUGCAAGCACAAAGGAGUGCCACAAACAAGGUAAUUGAAUGGAUUGGGGCUUGAUCAGGUUCCAUACCAUCCUCAAACCGAAAUUCAUCGUAUCAGAAUUGGACCCAACCCUAUAACUAUACAAGGAAAACGAAAACAAAAACAAAAACUGUCAAACAAACUGAAAUCAAUCAAAUUCAAGGUGAUCGAUCACGCAAUUAAUACACAGAGUAACUAGGGUUCCAAAUUACUUCUACAAAAGAAAUUAAUAAAAAAAAUGAAGUGAGAACCUAGAAAGACUCCUUCUCUGAUCUUUUUAGUUUUUACCUUGCAGUUGCAGCCUUGAGAUUCUCUUCAGAUAAAAAGGAAAAGGAAAGCGUUUGGAAUAAUAUAUAUAUAUUUGGUUCGAAGAAAGAGGGAGAGAAAACUUAAAAGCCAAGCAAGAGAAUAUGUUGUCCUUUCUGAGAGAAAGCCAAGUGUGAGGAGUGGAAUGGAGACGACGUCAACGUGUGUGGGCGUGUGUUCGCCUGGAGAGAACGAUUUUAAGUAUAUAUUCCCCCACUUCUGCUGCUGCUGCAUCUGACUAAACGAGAGAUAACCCGGAUUUAUUUGAUUUUGACUUGGAGAGACAGUUUGGCCGUUUGGGGGAUGGAGGGAAUCUUAAUGCAAGCAAAAACCGCGAAACUGCUUCCCUUCCUUUAUUUAUUUAUUCCUUUAUUCAUAUCACGUGAUUUCGAGGGUUCCACACAGGAUAUCACGUGAUUUCAAGGGUGCCGGAAUGUCUUUAAAAAGAUUGUUUUUUAAAAGUAUUUUUAAAAAACAAUAUAUUAAAAAUAAUUAUUUUCAACAUUGAUAAAUUAAAAUGAUAAAAAAAAACAUCAAAAAAUAAUUUUAAAUAAAAAAAUAAACUUUUGUGAAACGUUUUUUUGUACCUUGUCCCUAAACCUCAAUUUUCAUUGCCUAGCAGAGCUGAAAAGGAUUAAAAAAUAUUUAAGUAAUCUGCAACAGAUUUUUCAUUGUUGACGCGGCAAAAUCAAAAUUCAAAAUUUAAGUAAUCAAAAGGAUUAAAAUCUCCAUUCUCUCCUUUUCUCCUUUUCCGCAUCUCCAAAAAUUCAAAAAAUUUUCCCCACCUCUUUCUCUACAAAAAUUCAAAAUCCAAAAACUUUUGAUUUAUCUAUUUUAUUAUUACUUAACUUUGAUUAAAAAACUUUUCUUGAAGUUUACUUUCACCAAAGAUCUUUUAUAGAUAUAAAAAGAAGAGAUAAUAUAAAACAAGUAGAUACGUAGCUAUAUUAACAACAAUACUUCAAGCAUGCACAAAUGCGACUUCUUGAUGGUUACGCUGCUAAAGACAUUUACAAAUCCCCAUCAAUACUGGUGUUUAUUCCUCAUGAUGAUCCAGUGAGCUGACAAUAAAAGAAAACCUCGGCAUUACAAGUAAAUCGAUCGUCACUGCAAGCAUAAUGCAAGCAUGGAAGAGAUUCGGGUAGGAAUUACCCUUGUCUUCAUUGAGAGGCUUUAACCUCCCUAGCUCCUUCAUCAGCAGGCCCAUUGUUUGAUGCAUCCUCUGAAGCGUCUAAGCAAGGAUUGCUUUUACACUAACUUACAGUGUCACGACCCGAAUCCCGGAUCCAUGACCGGCACAUAGACAAGGUUCUCAUCCAAGGUUCCAUACCUAUACGAACCCAAACUUACACACAAACUUAUCCUAACUCAAUCAGAGUUCAACGCAGCAUUAAUAACAAAAUCAACUUCAUAAUAUAAUUGAAUUGUCUUAAUACAAGAGUUCAUAUAAUUCAUAGUUUUGGAGCACUAACUUGACAAAAAAAAAAGGUACAAAUUACAACCAAAAAGCAGGUUUGGAAGGUUCAACAAAAGUAACCUGCUAUCAAGCAAUAAGCCUGAAAAGAAUAAUAAUGAGAGGGUGAGUUCAACAACUCAGUGAGUAGAUAGCGUUCAAAAUACACACACGAGGUAAUACAGUAAUGAGAAAUAUAUAUACAAGUAUGACUCUAGGUUCUUAUAGAAAUGUUUCUCAAAUAGGCCAUAACAAGAAUAUCAUAUGGUAAAACUCGUCAGAAAAUCAAAAUGCAAUGAGCAUGAGGCUCCGUACUGUGGGAUGAUCAGUCCACACAGGUUGGUGACUCCCCCGACCAACUAAGGUUCAGAUACGAUGUGCACAAAGACUAACACUACCCUGUUAGCAUGGGUAUUCUGACUGACAUACCAUAGGUUCAUAAUCAUAAUCAAACAGACAUAUUCAUAUCUCAAAGCUCAACUCAUGACAUCAAUCAAAUGAGGAGCUAUCAAUUCAGAAGUCAAUUCAGAAUAUAUAUACUGGUUCAUAUCAAUAAUUCGGAUUCAACAAUUGAUCAUGCUUAUCAUAACAAGGAUAAUAAUCAACAUAUAUAUUAUCAAGAAGCAUGAUCCAAUUCAUAUUAACAAAUCAAAUAUUUAUAAUAUUUCUCAUGCAUAUGGAAAAUUAUCCACUCACCUGACUAGAAAGCAAACAGAAGUAAAAAUAAGACACCGAAGAAAAUCCUACUGACGUCCCGCCGAUAGAAUAUCAGGAUUAUCUGAAUACAAAGGAGGCAUAUUCAAGAACGACUCGAAAGAAUAUUUAACUUAUUUAAUACACUUAACUAGGUGUAUUCCGUAAUCCUAUAUGUUUUUGAACUAACUAGUCAAUUUUCUCAAAAACCCAAAACUCUAACGGUUUUUCCGAAAUCUAAUCCAUAACAAAACAAAUAAUAAAAUUGGUAAUAAUUUACUAAAUAACCCUCAAUUAUUCAUCAAACCAAUCUGAAAAAGGUAAUAUUACAGCUAGGGACUAAUCUGUAAUUUAUCAUAUUUUUAAGGCCAAAUUGUAAUUUUCGUCUAAUUAGAGGACCAAACUAAACAUAUCAUAAAUUCAUGAAUAUAGUGGAAUUAUGUCCAUAAUUCAUCCUCAUUUCUGUCCAGAUCAUCUCAUUAUACUCCAGGGACCAUUCUGGAAUUUUACCAAAUUUUUAGGGUCAAAUUGUAAUUUUUGUCAAAUUGGAGGACCAAAUUGAAAGUGUUAAAUUCUCUUAUCUAUACAGUAAUUCUGUCCAUAAUUCAUAUGUUAUUCUGUUCAGAAUACCGGAAUAUGCUCCAGGGACCAAUUUGUAAUUUUCCAAAGUUCAGGACUAAACUGUAAUUUUCGCAAAUUGAGGGACCAAAUUGAAUUUUCGUCAUCUUCAACCUCCAAUCCAGAAUUUUAACAGAAACCUACUGUUCUCCCCUGAUUUUUAACUCAAAAUUCACCAUUCAAACAAAAUUAUAACUCAAAAUCAUCACAAUCUUCCAUAAUCAACUAAAUCAUCAAUUAACCACAACAAUCAACCCCUAACAUUCAAUUUAAUUCAUCAGUUAAACUCAAAACACAAAUUUCAUAACCCUAACAUUUAUCAAAACCGAAAUUAAAGCUAAAGAAAACAUAUUAUACACAUUAAAGCAUAAUCUUACCCCUUUUUACUUAUUUCCUCCAACUCCUUUUCUUUUUCCCUUAUUUUCCUCUCUUUUCUCUUCUUCUUCUUUCUCACUUCACUCCUGUGGUUCUCUCUAAAUUUCAGAUUUCUCUCUUUCUUUUUUUUCGUUUUUUUACUUUGAAUUUACACUUUUUCAAGUUUUUAUUGAAAUUACCACUAUACCUCUCAUUUAUUUAUUCUAACUUUUAAACCUUCAAAGGUUUUAUUGUAUUUUUCAUCUCAUUAAUUCAAGACAUUACAUACAGGCUGAGCAUUGGUCAAGAGACUAGAAAGUUGAGACCCCUUUUGCGAAAAGUUUGGUUUACCUUUCGGAGUCUCAGACAGGCUUCCCGUUGACAGCUUUGCUAGGCCCAUUGUCUUGUGCUCACACGGGAGCUUGGUUGAAAAAGGUGAUUCAGGUGUAUUAGGAUGCUUCCCAGGAAUAUCCAUCGGUCUAUGAAACAGCAAAUGAGCCACAGUCCGGUCUACAGGAUUGGUCUCUGUUUCCACCUCAGGCAUCUUAACUACCCUGCAGAAUACUCAUAAAAUCCAUGAGGAAAAUGACAGGAAAGUUUGAGAUUGCCAUACUCUAAACAAAUUGAUAAAGACUUGAUUAAUAAUUUUGUGCAAACAAAUUGAAUAAUUUGAAAUGGGAAGGACGAGAUGUAAAUGAACAAACCCAUUGGAACAAGAAACAAUCACAUUGUCGCUUACAACAAAAAAUCGAGUUUCAGCUCAAAAGAGCUUAUGGUUUUGGCUGGAAGUAUCCCAUUUAGAUAUAGAUGAGCCCCAGUGGCGGAGCCACAGUGGGUCAAAAGAGAGCAAUUGUCCCCUUAUUUUUUUUAAAUAUUAAUAUAUUAGUGAGAGUGAAUUAUUGCUACAGCCUACAGGUAAGGAAAGUUUUUAACUUUUAUUAUUGUUGACUAACUUGACUUAUAUAUACAUAUAUAUAUAUAUAUAUAUAUAUAUAUAUAUAUAUAUAUAUAUAUAAUUACAGCUCCCCAACUUUUCCCCUUUUCCUUUUUGUUUCUCCUGUCUAACAAAACAAGGGUUUUUUUUCAGCUGCCGUUCUUGCCUCUCCUCGUCUCCUGAAUGCAAAUUUCUCAUGGAUUAAUUUUUUUUUGCGUUUUACUUUAUACUUUAUUUUUUCUAUUUAUUUUAUUGUUUAAUUUUAGUUUUAUUCUUUUAUAAUUAGUUAUUAAAAAUAUUAGGGUUUAUGAUAAUUUAGGGGUUUUGUUAUAAAUAUGUUCAAAAUAAAUAUUUAAAUCUGCUAAUUUAAUUAAUUAAAUAUUUAUUUUCUUAUUAUAAAUAAAUAAAUUAAUAUUCAUGCAAAACCACUAUUCUUGACAUCUCUUGCAUUGAUAGAGUAGUUUAUUGAAAUUUAAUAUUUUUACAUGAUUUGUUUGUAAGUAAAAUAUCAAGUAGAAAACAUGUUUUUCAAGCAUUGUCCCUCUUAUACAUACACUAGGCAUUGUUCCUUAAUUAAAUGUCUAGAAAUGAUUAAGUAUAAUUUAAUCAACAUACUUAUUAUAUGCAUAUAAAUAUGAAUUGAAAUAGGUUUUGAUUUUGAUGAAUUGACGUGUAUUUUGCUAUUAAUUUUAUAUGAAAGAUGUAUAAUUAUUGUGUAACUCAACUGACUUUUGUUUAAUAGUGAAUUAUUAUGUAGUUGUGUUAAUUAUUAUGUAGACACUAAUGAUAAAAAAAUCCAGCAGGUUCAUAUUAAAUUAACAUGUUACUAGACAAAUAUUUCAAGCGUAAAUCUAUUGAGGAUGAAGAGUCAAUCAAAGCUUCAAGUCAUGUAACUCAAUCAAGUUCAAAGAAAAGUCAUAUUGAAAUCAACCCCGACACUCUCCUUGUUGACCCUGGCUUAAGAAGACCAAUUUAUAAGUACCAUAUAAAUGAUAGGGAUGCAAUCCGAAGAGCUUAUCUACAAAAAGAUCCUUGUCAACCUUCACACUAUGAUUUUCCAUAUAUGUUUGAAUUGAUUUCUAAUGCAUGUCUAUAUAAUAUAGUAUUUGUUAAUAAUUUGCCUCCUCAUUUAAAAAACUCUGGCUCCGCCACUGAAUUGAGCCGAUUAGAAGAUGAUUUGAGUUCUUAAAUUUUCUUGCUUAAAAUGUAAUGUAACAUGAAUCUGCAGAUGAUCAUUAAAUUAGAAGGGAAAUUUAAUUUUGCCCUGUUUAUCUAAAGUUGUGCAAGUUCUCUGCAUUGAUGAUUUCAGUGAAUCUGUACAGAUCUUGUUUUCCUUCUAUUUGUCCUUGAAUAAACUUAUUGCACUUGUUUAACAUUCUUUGUCUCUCUCUCUUAGUUAAAUCUAGCAAAAUUUAUGAGGUAUGUUGUGCCACUCAUUUAGACUUGGAUGUGCGUGUUUAGCUCUCCUUUUUGGAUUAAGGUGAUUAUGCACAAAUUCAAUGGAAUCAACAUUGCAGAAAACUUGCAUAGAUUUUGUUAAUAUUGGAAAAAUUAAAUUUCCUUUUCUAAUUAAAUGAAAAUCUCUACUAAAUAAUAUGCUAUUUGAAUUGUCACUGCACUCAUGAAUGCUGCACCAGGGUAAAGCUACAAAUGUCAGUUUAAUAUCUGCCUCUACCUAGCUCGGCCUACAAUACCAAAGCUUCUCUCCUACAAAUGCCAGUUUAAUAUCUGCCUCUACCUAGGUUGGCCUACAUACAAUACCAAAGCUUCUCUCAACUAAACAUGAUGACCAGCACUCACAACCAUAACAGAACCAGUGGAAGCCAACUACUACAUAUUUGAUCAACAAGGUCAAAUUCAGUCAAGUUUUUAAGGAAAUCCAGUGAAAGAGGAACCUAAAAUUUUCUGUUUAGAUUUUCUUCUACUGCUAAGAACAAGCGCGGCCUUAAAUUGAAUUGUUUCAGUCACUACUCCUCCAUUGUAAAUAGAGGAUACCGCUUUCAAUAUUUAUUUCUAGAAGGAGAAUGGAAAACAGAAAAUGGCAUUAAAAGAUCCUAAUUUAACAUUUCCAUAGAGCAAAAAUGUUAAAAAAAGAGAGAGGAUAGAUUAAAUUUGAAAACAGAGGCAUGAGAAAUGCAUUGCCUUAACCAACCUUCUUUGACUGCUGGUUUCCUCUUUUGCAGCAACUUGUUCGUCCCUGCUACUAUUGUUUGUACUGCCAGUAUCACUAGCAUAAUGCCUUUGCAUUGCACUUUGAGCCAGCCGGAACAAGCUAUCCCGAAUACAAAGUCUAAUUCUGACAUCCAACUGUUGUAAAACAUUGGUUUGGAAUCGUAACCAAGCACAAAUUAUUUAGCAGGGAAAGAAUGCAAUAGUACGUGAAGCAUACCUUUGAAAUAAUAUCUUGAAGCCUGUAGAGUACUGUGUCCUCCAUUGAAUAAUCAUUAACCGCCAGAGAGACUGUAUUGGAAUCGUCUUGCUCAAUAGGUGAGUUUGGGUCAAAUGAAGCAAGUGUACUUAGAUCCUCUACUUCAAGGUCAGCUCCUUCAACAUGCUGAAUUUGAUUUUCUUGGGAACACUUUUGAUGAACAAGCUGCUGCUGCUGUUUCUGAAUGGCAAGCAUUGCCUGAAUUUGUUGCCGCCUCAAUUUUUCAAUCUUUUCCUGAGGUGUCAUUCUCUGGGGUUUCACUGGACAGUCAGCUAACUUGUUUAUAGGAUUUGCAUUGCCUGAAACUUCAUAACCAGAAAUUUUAGGUCGAUGAUUAAAUGACUAGAAAUUUUGUUGGGAAGUCAGAAAACUUUAACAGGAUUCGCAUUACCUGAAGAAACUUCAUAACCAGAAGCUAAAGGUUGAUGCUUAAAAUCCCCAGACUGAAUGUGGGACAACCCAGGCAUAGAAUAUGGAUUUGUAGUACUCCCGUAUGCAGAAGGGGCCACAAAUGGAUUGGAUAUCUGCUGGUACUGCAACUGCUGGUACAUCUAUAAUCAAAGUAAAAGGCCAAGAUUCAAAAUAUCCAAAAGAAAUAUUACCUACUUAUAUGCCAAAAAUGGCCAAAACUCUGAAUCCUGAAUAUGUGAAUCAAAGGUAUCUCUAACUGAUGCACCAUCAGCAGUCUCCUAUUUUGACUUGUGAUUAAUGACCUAGCAGUUCACUUCAACAACAUCAUUGAAAGGUCCCUAGUGAACAUAAGUUUGAAUUUCAGACCCAGCAAGAAGAAGUUCAUUUUCCAGUAGGCAUGCAUAUCACCUUUUUAUCAAUAUCCAUGGAAGACAAAAACCAAGCAAUAUCAAGUUUUUUUCUGCUGGAUAUCCAAUAAAAAAUACCUCAAAGUGUGAACAUCUUUAAGAAGGAGGAUAUCGCAUUGCACCCCAUCAACUGAUCCACAAAUAAAUUGGCAUUUUUCCAUCAGUUCCAAGCUACUUUGUAAGGAAAAGGGAGGGAAGUGCCUUCAAAGAUACCUUCUUCAUAGCUUCUUUAGAUAUGAAUCCACACGACUUUCGUAAUCACCAAUCACUAUGCGCACCUUCUCUUAUCAUCACAAGUUCCCAAGAAAAAUUAUAUUCUUCCCUCCUCCAGCCCUUUCCCUACAUAUUUCCACCAGCUUCAUAGCAAUGCGGCCCGUGAAAACGACUCCCAAAUUAAAACACUUGAGAAGCUCUAAUAGUUUUCCACAAAGACCUACUUUUCUUAUUAUUUCUUCACUCUAUAUAUGUCAGUGUGCCAUAUUCAAAUACUACUGAUCGAUUCUUCCUCCUCACAACCACUCACUUUCCCCUAAAUCCCAUACCACAACCACUCCUUAAUCUUCAACUAAAUCAAUAUCUCUCAUCACUUAUGAAAACUCCAUCUAAUUUCCAAAUGAAUCACACCAUUUGAACACUUUGCCAAUUCCUAAUUCCUUCAAAAUUUUCAUCCAUUAAAAAAAAAACUGCAAGUCAUACUUUUUCACUUUAACACAGUUCUCCUUAUAAUCAAUCUUCCAAAAUAACCAUACUAUUGCCUCUAAAUCUGGCACGCAAAGCUUCUACAUAACCUUCCAACGUUACUUCUUGCCGCCCAACAAGGGCGGCGGCAUGCAUGGGCUAGGGUAGGCUCUAGUACAGGUCAAGAUUUUAUCAAUAUUUUUGUAUUAGUUUUAUGUAAAGAAAAUAUGAUGCUUUAGUUUGGGUUAAAAUUUCAGAAUUUUUAAAGAAAUUCAGAAAUUUGAUAAAAAAAAUCAUAAUUUGACCAGUUUUACGUUAUUGAGUGUAAUUUUUAAUCUGAUUAUCAGAUUGAGCUAAAAUUUUACGAGGGAUCUUAAAAUAUAUUGAAUAAAAUCUGGUUUAAAUUUUAGAAUGAACAGAGUUUGGUAGUGCUAACAAAAAAAAAACAUCAAAUAAAAGCAAAACGACUCAUUAAAGGUAAAAUUGUUAUUUGCCAUUAAAAAAUAAAACAAAUCAGUUCUUCCUUCCUUUAUAUGUUGCCGACUGGGCAGAAGCAUAAUAGAAAAUGAAAGAAAAGAAAAGGCGAGAGAGAAAGAGAGAAAAAUAAGGGAAAAACAUAAAAAAAAUCCUAGAAAAAAAGAUAAGAAAAGUGAGAAAAUAACCGUGUAAACUUACAAAGUCCAACUUAUAAAAUAUUAAUCUAAGUAAGAAUCAAGUGAAGAAAAGAGGAAUUGAGAGAGAAACAAAAUUUAAUUACUCUAUUUUUAAUUAAUAUAAAAUUAUUAUUUUAUCCCGAUUAAGAGAUUGCUACAAACUCCUCAAAGUACUCAAAGAGGGACAUAAAUUGGUUAAGCCAACAUUUUUCAUUCUUCUAUUUUCACGCUGGCAUUCUGUUACAAAUACUAACUGAAAGAGCGGAUAAAAGAACAACUUCCAAUUAUCAAGCAAUAGCCAACACGUGGCAAGAUUCUCAGCUAAAUAAAAGAAACACCAACAUUUAAACGAUGUGUCUGGGUGGUAAUUGAAACGGUGUGUUUUGUGACACAAUACCCCUACAAUCGUCUAACAGCCAUGCGGUGCAUUUAGUAGGAUUCAAACAUCUUGCAACGGUCACUAGAUUCAAAUGCUCUCCAUCCUCGCCUCCUCCCCUUGAUGAUUCUUUUGACCCUGCAAGUUCUGUGACAAUCUCUCUCUCUCAAUUAAAUCUAGCAAAAUUUAUUCUUUCCAACUUUAUUUGUUUUGACUGAAAAAUAAUCUUUUAUUUUUGUACUUCACAGGCAUGUGGUGGCAAAAGUCGAGCACUAUAUAUAUAUAUAUAUAUUCCUGAAGAUACAUAUGGCUGGUGAUUAGCGGAUGAUGGUGCCAUUAAGACUCUUGGUGUGUACCCUCAUCCUUUCUGCUUAUAGUUGAGUCCAUUUGCAGCUUCAAUGGCUACUAUCAGUUGCUUUGGAACCUGAUAUCACUAGUCUCAUUAUGGUACAGACAAGCUCAGGAUGAUCAAUCCUUGAGAAUCCACAUCCAACCAGAAAUAAACCGAAUUUCGAGCAUAAAUGACUCGAACUCGCUGGAAUGCUUUGGCACCUCCUUCAAUCCUAGUUUGGGAAACAGAAACACUAUCACCAUUAGUUUUCACCGAGGAAGACAGCACCCCCAUUCUCUCCUGCUGUGCUGAUGAUGGGGCAUGAGAGAUAGUCCAAAGGAUUUGCCUCCCUCCUGCCGCAAGCAAUUAGAAUGGUUAUCACCAGACCUAUAAGGAUCAGUUUUUCUUUUCGGACUGAAAAAAACAUGAAGAGAGAAGUCACCAUAUGUGUACCUAGCCGCAGAGACAGCUGUUUCAGUGCUGGGGAAAACUCCAGGCUCUGAUAAAUCUUUGGCAGAUCGUUCUGUGGCGAACGAGGGCGGUGGUAUACUGCAAACUCAAAAGCAAUUUGUGACACAGAUUACUCAAAAUUAUGCCACAAGUGUCAAGGGUGUAAAUCUAUCAUGAAAUCAUCACGUCGUUGUUUUCCACUCGGUAUAAAAAAGAAGUCACACGCCUUAGAGGUUAAAUAAAUUUAUGAAGUUCACCAGCAUAAUUCACACUAAUUCCCCUCUCCAACUUGCACCUCAUCAAUUUUUAUACCUUUACUCUCGAACGAAAAUAAUAAUAUCUAAGUUAUUAAACCCAACUUGAAUUAUAAUUCAAGCAGUGGGUUAACAUAAAUCAAUACAAAGUGAUGUGACUUUUAAGAGUUUUUUGAAAAAACAAAUUAAAAUGAUGUGAAUCUUUUUUAAAUUAAACUGAGUUUUAAUUGAUUAAAUAAGUUGGAUUACACCAGUCAAAUCCUAUCCGAUUUAAUUUAAAAUCCAAUCCAAUCUCUUAACUUACCUUGAGUUGGGUUAACACUAUUAUUGACAGACCAAAUUCUCAAUCUUUAUUUAUUAUAAUCACGAUCCAACUCAUUAAUUUUAAAUGGGCCUACAAAACCUUCAACUUGCCAUAAAAAAUAAAACUUCAUACUCAUACUCAUUAGCGGUUCUGCAUCCUAUUUUAUAAAAGACACUCCAACAUAAUUAAAGUAGUAUUUAAUAUUUUGGUAGUAAUUAUUCUUUAAAGUAUUUUUUAUUUAGAAAUAUAUAUAAAUAAUUUUUAUUUUUUAUUUUUAAAAAUUAAUAUUUAACAUUAUAUAUUAAAACAAUCUAAAAACAUAAUUUUUUUAAAAAACUAUUAUUAUUUUAAAAAAACUGUAUCACCAUACAAACAAAUCCAAAAACACAAUUAUUUUAAAAAAAUUAUAUCACCGUAAAAACAAAUAAUUUUUAAGAGUGACAGUGAGCAACAGAAAUAAACCAUGGCAGAAACUAAAAACACCUUUAAUGAAAAUUGCGCUUCGAUUCACAACGUUUUCAUCCUUGACCAAUGCUCGACAAAGUAGACGAUGGGUCAAAAUAGGGCUAAUAUGCUGUGUAUGUUUGAUAAUGCAGUGAAUAUAAUUUUCUAAAAAUAUUUUUCGAUUAAUAAAAUAUUUCUUAAAGAAAUUUUCAAUAAUUUUGUUAAGAAAUUUGCGUGGACAGACAUUUUAAAGAAUGAUGCUAAAUUUGGUGUUACAUAGGCAGCUGCUGGCUCCUCUUGUAUCUUUUGGGGUUUGGCAUCGUUUGUUUCCUGCCGUUGUCUAUUCUCCGGUCGUCGAAGCUGACUGCAAUCCUCUGACUCUGUUCUCAUAGUCAGAUGCUUCCUCUGUUUUCUCCUGGCAUUAAAAUUACAGCUGACCUUCAAAUCUUAUUGAUGAUAUGCCUUUGGUCAUUUUCAUGAAUGGUGCUUGGUGUUGUCUUCUAGUGUUUGCAGUACUGAAUAUGAAAUGAGCUACGCCUGGUUACUCAAUUCAUUAACCUCCCUACUUUUAAUUAUAUAUAUAUAUAUAUAUAUAUAUAUAUAUAUAUAUAUAUAUUUUCUAAUCCAAGUAAAAUGAAUUAUAUUAUUUUUUAAAAUAAAUUUAAUCUCAAAUAAAAAUUUUACUUUCUAAAAUAAAAUAUGAAUUAUAUUAUUUUAAAAAUUUGCUUGAGUUACAUGAGGUUUUAUGGCAGCCCAGUAACGGACUCUUAGCAGAAUACCAGGCUGUUAGGCCUCCCUUUUCAUCAUUUUGAGCUUUACCGGUUACGCUUUUUUUGAGGAUGAAUAUUCUUAUUUAUUUUAUUUUUUCAACUUAAGGAUGAACAGUAUGUUUAUUAAAGACUGCAUUAACAGCCGGCUGCUAUUUUGAGUUCUGCGGGGCUUUUUGGAAGUGCCUUCCGUUUAGGGAAAAUUUGGAUUUUUUAUUUAAUUUUUUUUUACAUAAUGUUUAAAAUAAUUUUAAAAAAUAAAAAAAUUAUGGUAAUGUAUUUUUACUUACUUUAAAAAUCAUCCACUUGAUUAAUGGGCAUUAGCUGUUUAACACCACAUGGUAAAAACUUCGGGUUCCUUCCCUACGUACCCUUUUCCUCACUGGUUCUACAAUGUCUCUGGGUGGGUCCAUCUGUGCAAGUGCCUUGUAAAAUUGCCUUAUUCAGUAGUAUUUGUAAUUUUGUGUAGAGCUGGUAUCAUUCUUUGAAAUCAUAGUUAUUACGUCAUUGAGUUAACUCGUGUGUUAAUUAUAGGAUCAAUCAUUUUACUUUGUUUUUUUUCUUUAAAAAGAACAAAAUUUCUUGUAUUGACCUCAGUGUAUUUAGAUAAGAUUUUAUCAGUACAGUUGGGUAAUUAAGAAUCUAGUUGAGUCAAAUGGUUUUUGAUCAUAUUAAUGUUUUUUCUAGUUGAAUUUUAAACAUGAUCUAGAUUAGACUCUAGAUUAUGAAUUCCAUGUAUUAACUCACCAUCAAAUUUAACAGCUUUGCUAUAUUUUGGAAUAACAUAUAUAUAAAUAAAAAAAUUAAUAUAUUUUGAAGUAAAAUAUAUUUUUAAAACAUAUUUAAAAAAACAAACAAUAUUUUACUCACAAACAGAUAAUCCUAUUGCAUCUUAAACUCCAAGUUUCCAACAAUGAGUACCCCCAACUAAACAAUAUCUACAUUCAAUUAGAACUUGUGGUAUAGUUACCUGACAGCGAAAUAAAAAAGAAGAAGUAGGAACCCCCCUGGAUCUAGGAAAUUUCUAUUAGACCUGCAAACUGAGGCCGUAACGAGCUUUGGAUCUACACACAGGGAAGAGUAAUUUCAAUAGACCAUGAUCCAAAUCAACGGCUGAAAUCUAAUAACUCAAGGGAUAGUGACACGUUGCCAGGAGUGGAAGACAGCUGGUCUCCAGUACGAAGAGAAACAGCAACGUUUUUGUUGUUUAAAAUGGAGUGUUUGUCUUCAUUGUUUCAUGGGAAAUGGGCUGAUGUCAGAUGGAGAAAUUUCUGUGCCGAUCCACUGGAGAGAGAGACUUCUUCAACCACCAAUCAAAUUAUUCUUAUUGACUUUCUGUGCAGUUUGGCACUUUCCUUCGCUCAUUCUCUCUUUGCACCACAAACACUUGGUAUUUUAAAAAGAGAAACUAAGCACGGUUUUGCUGUCAAAGUUGUUGUUUUCGUAUUUUAAAAGAGUUUUUUUAAAAAAUUAAUUUGUUUUUUAUUUUUUAUCAAUUUUUUAAUUGUCUCCAUAAUAGAAAGAUACCAUCCCCACAAUACAAAACUCUUAAAAAAAAAGAUACCUGUCGUUGUGCUGUUUUAUCGAUAUCACAAGCCACGCGAGUAGCGUGAUUAGAGUGAUUUUGUAUGGGACCCAGUUGUGACAUCAGCUGCUUUUGUGUUUUUUCUUUCAAUCACAGCUUGAUAGUAGGCAUGGCAUGAUUGAUGAUUGAUGGGGGGAGGGGAAAUGGGAGCCACACGAUCCAUUUCAUGGUUGGUUGGUUUUUUUAUUAACGUGGUUUUACUGUCGGUUUGCUUCUAUUUUAACUAAUUUUACAAAUCUAAAAUAUAACUAGUUAACCUGCUGUUGUAUUAUUUUAUUUCACGGUUGUUUCUUGCUUGUGGAAGAUCAUGUCAUAACGGAUCUUACGGGAUCGAUACCUUGCUCGGUGUUGAUUUACUACAAUGGCUGCACGUGAACCCGUCCACCAGAACAAAUCCCAACCAGUGUCCGUCUAUCACACUCAAAUUAAUUUGAGAUUUCUGUUCCAGUGCCUCCAGAGAAGAGUAUAGUUGUUAAUCAUCUUUUAUUUUUGUGUUUUAUAAUUUUUUUAGGGUAAAUUCUCAUAUAACUUAUCAUAAUAUCUAAUCUCUACAAACCGACUGCAUCAUUAAAUUUAAUUUUCUUGAAAUAUUUUUUAUGAACAAGCUCCCAUUGCUGUUUCUGAUGACAAGCAUUGCUUAAUUUGUUAUUGCCUCCUUGAUUUUAAAUAUAUAUUUAAAAAUUAUAAAUCAUUUACAUAUAUAAAUUUGGAUACCGAGGUUAAUCAUGUUGGAUAAUAUCACUUCCACCUCCAUAUCCAAACAAGUAAGGUUUUUUUUAUCCAUCAUUAUGGAACAAAAAUCCCUCCAUAUUCACUUUUAUUCAGGUAAAUGGAUGUGAACGGGUUCAAUUGUCAUUUCUAAAAUUAAUUAAGCCCAAGUUAUCGAUAAAUGUAUUAGGAAAUCAAGUUUUUAUUAUUUAUUAUGAUUUUUAAUAUAUUUAUAUAGUAAAAUCCCUCGUAUAUAUAUUGAAUGCUCUUUCUCCAUCAAAGCUAAUGGAAAUGUGUAUAAAUUAUCAUUUUCUCCCCCAUUUAAGUUUUUGACAAUCAAUCGAUGGUUUGAUAGCAUUUAAUAUAUAGAUCACUGACCUGCUGGUGAGCAUUACCAAGCAUGUUCUGCAGCCGAAGCUAGAAAGACUACCUGCUGAGCAGAAGCAACAACUGGUGGAUAAGUAUAAGAUGGAAGACAAACAGGUAUUAUAUAGCUCUGAGGUGUGAUGGCAAAGAUUGAAUAACAUUAUAAAGGGGACAUACUCUUGCUUUCAGCAUCCUCGUGUGGAUUUAACUAGCACUCAUCUCAUUUCACAUUCACAGGCCUCCCUGUUCCCAGAAAUUAGCUCAAUGCUCCUUUUAGUUCCUCAAGAUUUAAUUUUGGUGGAAUCUAAUUAAUAACAGAUAAAAGCAACAUUCAUAAGCAGAUUGUUUCAGAGCUCUUAACUGCAAGUUCAGGGGAAAUGCAUUUAAGCCUGGAACGGUGCGGGGCCUGUAUCUACGUUUAUGCCUAAGAAUAGUUUCUCUUAAGUUAUGAUUAGAAGUAUAAAUUUGAAGUCACAAGCUAGCAGUGAUGGUGAAUUGUGUUUGAACUCUUUGCAUUUCAUCAUCCUCUACUGCCAUGACACGUCCUAGAUGACUGGAUGCUGUGGAUGUGACCUGGACCAUAGCCAUGACAGUCUCCUUUCCUACCCUUUUCCUCGCUGGUUCCUUGACAUCUUCGGGUGGGUGCAGGUGCCUUGUUAAAUUGUCUGAGUCAUUAUCGGUAAUUUUGUGCAGAACUGUUAUUAUUCUUUGAAAUCAGACCGGGUUCGAGGAUCGAGUAUAAAAGAAUUUGGAAUCAUUUUAUUAAAAUGAUUUUUUUAAAAACAAAUUCCUUAGUAUUUAUUUAAUCAAGUUUAAAUCAGAUUUUUAUCUGGUCAAAUAAAUCAUUAAAAAUUCAAUUGAGAUAAUAAGAUUUUAUCAUAUCACCAUUUUUUCUAAUUCAAUUUUAAACUUGGUUUAUAUCAAUAUUUGGAGGAUGUGCUCUCCAUAUGAAAUCAGUAUGCAGGAAAGAGUUUAAAAACUAUACUAUAUAUAGAAAAAAUAUUUUGAAAUAAAAUGAUAUAUAUAUAAAACCCUCAAGGUCUAGGGUCCACCGGUGAAAGCAUGAAGUGAAGGGUUCUUCUGCAUUAUUAGCACAAGUGAAAAGAAAGAUUAUAUUGGGCAUAUAAUAAAGUUAUUCCAACCAAACCCUCUUUUUCGACCGAUGGGGUCUCUUGGCAAAUAAAUCAAGGACAGACCGAUGGGGUCUCUUGGCAAAUAAAUUAUAAUUAAUUUUUUUUUGGAGUGAUUUUUUAUCUUUUGAUUAUGUAAAAUUUAGUAUUUUGUUUUUCCUUUAGCUUCUGCAAUUUGAUAUUUACGUUCAAUUUCUAUAAUUUGUGUUGUGUUUUGGAGUAAUCAUAUAAUUUCGAGAAUAUAUUUAUUUAGUUUCUGCGAUAUCUAUUCACUUUCUGUAAUUUGAUACUUUAUUUUUCGUUGCUUUUGCUUUCUGUUUUUUUAUUUGUUAAUUAUGGCUACCGAAAUAGAUGAUUCGUUUCAGUCUGUGAGAGGUUGGAUGAAAAUAAUUAUUCGUACUAGUAAUGAGAAAUUUCUUUAAGGGUAAGAAGAUGUGGGUGUAUGUUAGUGGAACUUAUAUGAUACCCAAGAAUACCGAGAAAAGUGAUGUUAUUUUGAUAGAUAUAUGGGAAGCAAAUAAUACAAAGAUUAUUAUUUGAAUCAACAAUUCUGCCGAGCAUUCUAUAGGUAUAUAGUUGGCGAAGUAUGAGACAACAAAGAAGAUUUAAAAUCAUCUGCAAAGAUUAUUCAUGCAAUCAAAUUUUAUAAAGCAAUAUAAUACCCCCAAAAGUCAUGGUAGUAAUGAAUAUUUGAUUUUUUUUUAAUGAAAACUAGAGAACUAUAUUAGAAGAAAAAAACCUGCUAUUUAGGAUUAAUUAAUUGCUUUAAUUCAAUUCUUUCUAUUGACAUUGAUACCAAACAUGUUAAUUCAUAAUAUAAUCAAGUAAUUCAAUUCAAAUUUACUAAUACAAUUCAACUCCACUUAAGCCUUUGAAUAUAGCCAAAUGCAAAGGUUAUUAAAGUGAAGGAUCUUAAUAAUUUUUAUGCUUUGCAACCCUAGGAGCCACACAAAAUAUAAUGUGUUUAGACCAUAUUUAUUUGCUGAAAAGUAAUUUCUUUUUAUAAAGAGAUUUUAUCAUAAGUGAAUUAUUUUUUUAUAUUUGAUAAUACCAUGAAAAAUAAGUUGGAAAAUAUCUUUUAAUAUUUAAUUAUGUCAUGAAAGAUGAGGUGAAAAAUAAUUUUUUUAUUUUUUAUUUUUUUUCAAGUUUAUUAAAAGAAUGAGAAACAAGUCUUACAUAUAAAAAUAUUAAAGGAGGAUGAAAUUGGAAAAAAAAUUUAUUUUCAUAAACUAUUUCAAAUAAAAUAAAUAACAAUAAAAAGAAUUAGGACCAAAUCUGAUAAAUAAAAAAAUUUAAUUAAAAAAAGAUAAGAUAAAAGAAAAUAAAAAUAAAAAUAAAAAGAAUGAGAAUCAAAGUUGAUAUAAAAAUAAGAUUAAAUCAAAUUAUACGGGAUAGAAUUGAAAAAAAAACAUUCAAAACAAAAUGUAUAGCAAUCAAAAGAUUAAGGACUAAAUUGGAUACAAUCAAUAAAUAACAAGAUAUUUUUAAAUUUUUUACAAUUUCUAGAAAAAUUUUUCAGUCCAAAAUAAAUAUAAAAUAAUUUUCUAGAAAUCAAAUCAAAUUUAAUAUUUUUUAUUUUUAAAAAAUGAUUUUUAAUAUAAAAUAUCAAAAUAAUUAUAUGUAAAGUAAUAUAAAUAAUGUUUUUUUCAUUUUAAAAUAUUAAUAUAUUAAAAUAAUAUGAUAACAUAAAAAAAAUAUUAAAUUAAAAUAAAAAAAAUAAUUUUAAUAUUUUUAAAAUACGUUCAAAAAGAAAUUCCAAACACUAGCAAUAUGGGUGCUUCAUAAGAAAGAUCGAAGGUGACAUUCAUUAUAACUCUACUGCCCCACAUCUCUCUCCUACCUGCAGCAACCACUAAUAGAAUGUUCAUGGCGUCUUCUUCUUCUUCUUUGCCUAGACCUGGUUGGGUUUACGAUGUAUUUCUAAGUUUUAGAGGUGAAGAUACUCGCAAAAAUUUUACGGAUCAUCUUUACACUGCUUUACUCCAAGCAGGAAUCCAUACAUUUCGAGACGACGAAAAACUUCGUAGAGGUGAAGAAAUCUCCUUCCAACUCUCCAAAGCAAUACAAGAAUCCAAGAUUUCUAUAGUGGUUUUCUCUGAGGGCUAUGCUUCCUCCACUUGGUGUCUUGGUGAACUUCAAAAGAUUCUUGAUUGCAGACACACAACUGGGCAGAUUGUUCUACCUGUUUUCUAUGAUAUCGAUCCUUCUGAUAUUAGAAAGCAGACGGGGAGUCUUGCUGAAGCCUUUGGUAAACAUGAAGAAAGUUUUAAGGAAGAAAUGGAGAAGGUCCAAAAGUGGAGAAAAGCUCUUUUGGAGGCUGCAAAUUUAUCUGGGUUGGAUCGUCGCAGUAUCGCAAAUGGGUGCUUCUUUUCUUUCCCUAUAUCGAUAGCAAAUGCUUAUAACUUUUACUCUUAUUACAUUUUGCAUUUUAAAUUUGCAUUAAAUUCAAAAUAUUAUCUUUCAUCGAUGAGUGAUGACUUUCUUUUUCUAUGCACAGGCAUGAGUCAAAAUUAAUUCAAAAGAUUGUCGAAGACGUUUCAAGUAUUUUGAAUCCCAGAAACAUAAACGAUAGGUUGCUGAAGAGGUUGAAGACAACAAUGAUAUCUGGCAAUGGGCUGCUUGACGAUGCUGAGGAGAAGCAGAUAACAAAUAAAGCUGUGCGGGAUUGGCUGGCCGAGUAUAAAGACGCUGUCUAUGAAGCCGACGACUUCUUGGAUGAGAUUGCUUAUGAAGCUCUACGGCAGGAGUUGGAAGCUGAAGCACAAACCUUCAGAGAUCAGACGCAGAAGCUUCUUUCUUUCAUUAACCCACUUGAAAUAAUGGGGUUGAGGGAGAUAGAAGAAAAAUCAAGAGGCCUCCAGGAGAGUCUAGAUGACUUAGUAAAACAAAAGGAUGCCCUUGGUUUGAUCAACCGCACUGGUAAAGAACCAUCAUCGCAUAGAACACCAACAACUUCUCACGUGGAUGAAUCUGGUGUUUAUGGUAGAGAUGAUGACAGGGAAGCAAUACUGAAGUUGCUUCUAUCAGAGGAUGCAAAUAGAGAAAGCCCGGGUGUCGUCUCCAUAAGGGGAAUGGGCGGGGUUGGUAAAACCACGCUUGCUCAGCAUGUAUACAAUCGCAGCGAAUUACAAGAGUGGUUCGGUCUCAAAGCCUGGGUUUAUGUUUCAGAAGAUUUUAGUGUUUUGAAGUUAACCAAGAUGAUCCUUGAGGAGGUCGGUUCAAAGCCUGAUUCUGAUAGUCUGAAUAUUCUCCAGCUUCAGUUGAAGAAGAGAUUGCAGGGAAAGAGAUUUUUGCUUGUUCUAGAUGACGUUUGGAAUGAAGAUUAUGCUGAGUGGGACAAGUUGCUUACCCCCCUGAAGUACGGAGCACAAGGGAGUAAGAUUCUUGUCACAACACGCAAUGAAAGUGUAGCAUCAGUCAUGCAAACUGUCCCAACUCAUCAUCUAAAAGAAUUGACGGAAGACAGCUGCUGGUCCUUGUUUGCCAAACAUGCAUUUCGUGGUGAAAAUCCCACUGCUCAUGAAGAGUUGCUAGAAAUUGGUAGAGCAAUAGCGAGAAAGUGUAAAGGCCUUCCUCUAGCUGCAGUAACACUCGGAGGUCUGCUACGCACCAAAAGAGAUGUAGAGGAGUGGGAGAAGAUAUUGGAAAGCAAUCUAUGGGAUUUACCCAAAGACAAUAUCCUCCCAGCUUUGAGAUUAAGUUAUCUUUAUCUCCUGCCACAUCUGAAGCAAUGUUUUGCUUAUUGUGCUAUAUUUUCAAAAGACUAUUCAUUUCGAAAGGAUGAAUUAGUGCUCCUGUGGAUGGCAGAGGGCUUCUUAGUCCACUCUGUAGACGAUGAGAUGGAAAGAGCAGGUGCUGAGUGCUUUGAUGAUCUCUUGUCAAGGUCGUUUUUCCAGCAAUCAAGCUCAUCAUUUGUGAUGCACGAUCUCAUGCAUGACUUGGCUACCCAUGUGUCCGGUCAAUUUUGCUUCAGCUCCAGGUUGGGGGAAAAUAAUUCUUCCAAGGCCACCAGAAGGACUCGACAUUUAUCACUCGUAGAUACGAGAGGCGGUUUUUCAAGUACAAAAUUAGAAAACAUCCGUCAAGCCCAACUUCUACGCACAUUCCAAACUUUUGUACGCUAUUGGGGUCGUUCUCCUGAUUUUUAUAAUGAGAUCUUUCAUAUAUUGUCAACACUUGGGCGCCUACGUGUGCUAUCCUUGUCUAACUGUGCCGGUGCAGCUAAGAUGCUUUGUUCAACUAGCAAGUUGAAGCAUUUGCGGUAUUUGGAUCUCUCUCAGUCAGAUUUAGUAAUGUUGCCUGAAGAAGUGAGUGCUCUUCUCAAUUUGCAAACGUUGAUCUUGGAAGAUUGCCUCCAACUUGCUAGUCUACCUGAUCUUGGAAAUUUGAAGCACUUACGACAUCUGAAUCUUGAAGGAACAGGAAUCGAAAGGUUGCCUGAAUCUCUGGAAAGGUUAAUCAACUUGCGGUAUCUUAACAUCUCAGGCACGCCUUUGAAAGAGAUGCUACCACAUGUGGGUCAACUGACAAAGCUCCAAACGUUGACUUUCUUUCUCGUGGGAGGACAGAGUGAGACUAGCAUUAAAGAAUUGGGAAAGCUACAACAUCUACGGGGACAACUUCAUAUUAGGAACCUUCAAAACGUGGUGGAUGCUCGGGAUGCUGCUGAGGCAAAUUUGAAAGGUAAAAAGCACCUUGAUAAGCUGAGGUUUACAUGGGAUGGUGACACUCAUGACCCGCAACACGUAACAAGCACACUUGAGAAAUUAGAGCCAAAUAGAAAUGUGAAGGAUCUUCAGAUUGAUGGUUAUGGAGGUGUAAGAUUUCCGGAGUGGGUAGGAGAGUCCUCUUUCUCAAAUAUAGUGUCCUUGGUGCUCAUUAGCUGUAGAAACUGCACCUCCUUACCACCGCUCGGGCAAUUAGCUUCUUUAGAGAAACUCUUAAUUGAAGCAUUCGAUAAAGUUGUAACUGUGGGCUCUGAGUUUUAUGGGAAUUGUACUGCUAUGAAGAAGCCAUUUGAAUCCCUCAAAAGAUUAUUUUUUUUAGAUAUGCGAGAGUGGUGCGAGUGGAUUUCAGACGAAGGCAGCCGGGAAGCCUUCCCUCUUCUUGAUGAGCUUUACAUAGGAAAUUGCCCCAACCUUACAAAAGCCCUACCCAGUCACCACCUUCCACGUGUAACAAGACUUACAAUUAGUGGAUGUGAGCAGCUUCCUAGGUUUCCUAGGUUGCAGUCUCUCUCUGUUUCUGGAUUCCACUCCCUAGAGUCGCUCCCCGAGGAAAUUGAGCAAAUGGGUUGGUCACCCUCUGAUUUAGGGGAAAUUACAAUCAAGGGCUGGGCUGCUCUCAAAUGCGUCGCACUGGACUUGUUCCCCAAGUUAAAUUCUCUUUCUAUCUAUAACUGUCCAGAUCUCGAAUUACUAUGUGCACAUGAAAGACCUCUCAAUGAUCUCACCUCUCUACAUUCUUUGAUAAUCCGGGAGUGCCCUAAAUUAGUUUCAUUUCCCAAAGGAGGAUUACCUGCUCCAGUCUUGACACGACUUAAGUUACGGUAUUGCAGAAAGUUAAAGCAGUUGCCUGAGUGCAUGCAUUCCCUCCUCCCAUCCCUUUCGCAUUUGGAAAUAAGAGAUUGUUUAGAACUUGAGUUGUGUCCAGAAGGGGGUUUUCCUUCCAAAUUACAAUCACUUGAGAUUUGGAAAUGUAACAAACUCAUUGCAGGCCUCAUGCAAUGGGGCUUGCAAACGCUCCCUUCUCUCUCACGUUUUACAAUUGGUGGCCACGAAAAUGUUGAAUCCUUCCCUGAAGAGAUGCUUCUGCCCUCAAGUCUUACAUCUCUUCACAUCUAUGACCUAGAACACGUGAAAUCUCUUGACUACAAGGGGCUUCAACACCUCACCUCUCUUACAGAAUUGGUGAUUUCUAGCUGCCCUCUGAUUGAGUCAAUGCCAGAAGAAGGGUUGCCCUCCUCCCUUUUUUCUCUUGAAAUUAAAUAUUGUCCCAUGCUGAGUGAAAGUUGUGAAAGGGAGAAAGGUAAAGAUUGGCCCAAGAUUUCUCACAUUCCUCGCAUAGUUAUUUUCCCAACAUCAGCGGAGCAAAAAAGUAGCAGUUAAAAGGAGCUUUUCUUUCAAUCGUCCAACAUAUUGAGGUAUUGCUACUAAAGAGUUUAUUUUCUUUUCAGUAAUCAAAGGCAAUUUCAGUUAAAAUUUGUCAUGUUCCACUAUUAAUUCUAUGCUUAUUUUUGGCAGGAUCCAAAUCCAUCUUUCUACUUACAGUUCAUGAAGGCUCUGUCACCCUUCCUUCUUGCCAGAACGAUAUGCACAGGAUAAAAUUGAUCUGCUUGCUCCCUCAGCUAUGACUCAUUGUGAGCUUUUCCAUUUGAUGUUCUUUCUCAGUUACUCUGUAUUUCUCCACCAUUAUUAAUUCUUUGCAUUUUCAUGUCAGUAUUACCAAUUGCCCAUUUUCACUAAACAAGAUUGUUUUUCAAAUAUCAUUACGUAGCUAUUUGUGUAUUUUACAUAUCCUUUUCAUGCUCUUGGUCUAAAUCCUCUAUUGUUUCUUUGCAGCAUUCUGAUCCAAAUUUUCCUCUACAAGCAUGGGCGGCUCAUAAGUUUGGAUGAAUGAAAUACAGAUACUGUCCAUGUUGUAUGUUUUUAUUUGUUGGAUGUUGAUAUACAAAUUUUCUUCCCAUUGUCUCUCAUACAUCUUCUUUCUCAUUUUAAAAUGUUUAAUGAGUUCUUUAAAAUAACUAAUUUAUAAUUUUAUUAUUGACCAUGCUUUAUUGUAGGUCAAGUUAAGUUUUUCUUAAAAAUAAAAAAUUAUUUAAAUUGUGAAUGUUUUAAUUUUUUCUGGUAAAAAAAAUUUAAAUCGUGUGGUGAUAUAUUUGGUGUGAGUUGAUUCAAUUUGCAGUUUAAAAAACAACCUAGAUAACCAAUAAAAAUAUAAUUUAACUUAUAAAAAAUUUCAAGAUUACAUAUAUUUUUUUAAUAUUAAGAUAACAACAAAUUAAAUUGAUUUGGGUCAACUCAAGUUAACUUGUUAAAUUCAUAACUUGAAUUAUGAGACUAUGAUAACUAUGUAGAAAAUAAAUUAUUAAGUCUAAUUUUCAACCAACCAAAUAUUAAAAGAUAAAAUUAAAAUAAAUAAAUAAGCCAUUUGGAGAUUGACCUGAUGCGACUUAAUUGAUUUAGCUUGUUUGAAAGCAACCCUGACAACCAGUAAAAAUAUAGUCUGACUUAGAAAAAAUUUCAAAAUGACACUUUUUUUUAAUAUGAAGAUAACAAAGUAAUAGAUUGAAUUGGGUUAACCAAAGUUAACUUGUUAAAAUUUUUAUCCAGGUAUGAGACUAUGAAGUCUAAUUCCUAAUCAACCAAAUAUUGAAUGAUAUAAUUGAAAAAAUAAUCAAUUAAAAAAAUAAUCUAAAAAUAUGAAUUGAGUUAACUUGUCAAGUCCAUAGCCUUGGUUAUAAUAGAGAUAUAAUCUUAUAGAAAAAAAAUAAAAAUAAAUUAUGAAGUUCAAUCUUAAUUAGCCAAAUGUUGAAGGAUAAAAUUAAAAAAAAAGAAAUCAAUUUUAAAAAGAACAUAAAAAUAACUCAAGUCAAUCCACCAAACCCAUAACUAGCUCGUCAUGAGAUCGAAAUAAUCUUAUAAAAAAAUUACAUGAUUUAACUCAUUAAAUAUGUGACUUUGGUUACAAGACCGAGACAACCUCUUAAAGAGUGAAUAAAAAUAAAUUAAAAAGUGCAAUCCCUAAUUGACCAUGUCAAACCCGAUGUGAAUGAUGCAAUUUCUAGAAAUUUGAAUUAAAAAAUAACAUAAAAAUGAUUUAGGUCAAUUAGGGUUAAUCGGUUAAGCAUCAUUUUUAGACAAUGAGGCUAGGAUAACAUAAUAAAAACAAAAUCAAAACAAACCAUGAAGCUUAAUUCCUAAUAAAACAUAAUAUUAAAUAAUAAAAUUGAAGAAAAAAGAUCAAUAAAAAAAUUGAGUCAAUCGGGUUAACUUGCUAAGCUUGCGAGUUAGGUUAUGAAACAUAAAUAAUCCAAUAAAAAGCAAAUUCACUAUUGAAGGACUCGUGACCCAGAUCAUGAAAUCAAGAUAACCUCUUAUAAACAAAAUUAAAAAACAACUCAAUUUAAUUUGGAUUAAAAUGCCAAAACCCCCGUCUCUAAUCAUGAGACUAGGAUAACCCUGUAGAAAAUAAUUUGAAAUAGAUUAUGAAGCUUUAUUCCCAACUGACUUGAUAUCGAAUGAUAAAAUUGAAAAAAAAAUUCAAUUAAAAAACAUAAAAUACAACUCGAGUCAACUUAGGUUAACUUUUUAAGUAUUAUUUCUGGGUUACGAGGUUAAAAUAAUCUAAUAUAAAACAAACAAAACAAAACAUGAAACUUAAUUUUUAAUUAAUCUAAUAUUAAAAGAUAAAAUUAUAAAAAUUAAAAAGUUAGCUAAAAAAAUCAAGUUAACCGAAUUAAUCCAUCAAAUCCACAAUUUUUAUUAUAAAAGUGAGACACCUUAAUAAAAAAACAUUCAUUAAAAAAAGCACUCAUUCAAAUAAUUGUAUAAAAUAUAAUAAUAUAAAGUAUAAUUUAUGAUUUAUUUAUUUAAUUUAUCAAUGAAAAGUGAUAGAAGGAAGAAGAGAAAAGAAAUAAAGUGAAGUCUUCUGCUGCAUUAUCAUAUCAUGUGAAAAGCUUCGCAUUUUGUGAAGUUUUUCCAAUCAAACCCCUUUUUUUAAAAGAUGUAAUUUCUAGGAAAAUAAAUCAAAGACAAACCGAGUAAAAUUCCAAAAGAAGAGAAAGAUGGAAUAGCGUUUCAGUUGCGGCUUGUAUACGUGUUUCAAAAAUAAUUUUUUUAUUUUAAAUUAAUAUUUUUUUUAAUGUUUUUAGAUUUUUUAAUUUGUUAAUAUUAAAAAUAAUUUAUAAAAAAUAAAAUAAUUUAUUUUAAUAUAUUUUUAAAUAAAAAACAAUAGAAACCCGUGACCCCUUAAAUGUACUCCUAAGCAUAACAAUUUAAGAGUUAAAGAGCCGAGAGAGAAAAAGCUUUUGCCAGUUCUUUACACAAAUUCUUUCCCCUUCUGUCAGCUGAACAAAAUCCCCUCUUCUUCUUCUUCUUGUUUGUUUACUCUUCCUUCGUUACUUUGCAAAGAGGAGAAACCAUGGCCGGGGCUUUAGUAGGAGGAGCUUUUCUUUCUUCUUUCCUUAAUGUUUUGUUCGACAGGAUGGCCUCUCCCCAGGUGGUUGCCUUCUUCAGAGGCCAAAAAGUCAACAAUUGGCUGCUAACGAGGUUGGAGACAGCAAUGACAUCUCUCAGGGUGGUGCUUGACGAUGCCGAGGAGAAGCAGAUAACAAACCAAUCUUUCCUGGGAACUUGCUUAGUUAAAGGAUUAUCCAUACGAUACUAUUUUUAUAUAUAUAGCAGUUUGUAAUGAAACGGUUGAAGACUAGCAAGACGACGACACAAGAGAACAGUUGGGUUCCGUAUGAUCAAGGAUCUGAUGGAGUGGUGAUUUCUUCAAAGAAGUUAGAUUCGGUGACUGUAAUUUCUCGAGGGAGAAUUGAUGAAGACCCUGAUAAUGGAAGAGAAAUACAGCAAGGGGAUAAAGAUUGACACCCUAUUUUGACUUGGAUAGGUGUUGUGACAUGAUGAGUUGCUGUCAAACAUAAGCAAGGAAUGGGGAGAAAUUUGGAGAACAGAAAUUGCACGAGGGCACAUGGAGAUUGUGUAGGAGUACCCGUGAUCCAACGAGGUACUGUAAUGAGACAACAGAUGCAAGGAGAAGAAGUGUUCCCGGAUGAAGCUCAAAGUAAAGAUUGUGAAAAGGAUGUACAACAGGAAGUCUCUUGUGCUCUUGAUGAAGACAACAGGCGAGGACCUUUCCAAUACAUGCAAGGAUAGAAAGAGAGCUAUUGCAGAGGCACCUAAUUGAGGGGGUGCGAACGCCUAUGAUAAAAGACGACCGCCUAUGAUGAAAGGCGAAGACACCAAAAAGAGUUGGUGUAGGUGGAGCUGUCAAGCAGAAAGGCGCAAAAGCUCCAAACAUAGAAAAUGAGAUGGAAGAUUGCGAGGAGUGUACCACAACUCUCUCUUUCUAUGUGUUCAAUGGAAGUGAUCUCUCCCAUAGUCCACAUGGUGGUAGAGAAUCUUAGAGCCACAUUGAAGCAUCUCCGAUGAAGGAGGAUGAGAACGCAUCAUGACGAGCGGAGACACCUCAGACAGAAAGUGUGCGGGCCACGAUAUGAGCCUAGUUCAGACCGCCUUAUGAUAACAGGCGAAGACACCUUAAAAAAGGUGUGAGAGCCACGAUAGGAGCCCCAGUUCAGAAUGCUCCAAAGCCAAUGUAAUGGUUGGAUAUGAGUGGACAAGUGUAUGGAUAGCCAAUGAAGUGGCUAUGAUGAGUAUGGAGACAAAUGCCAGAUUGACUUUCAUUGCCUCUAGGUUAAAGAUCAAUGAGCUAGAUAACAUAUGCCUUGGACAAUAAGUGGAUGACUUAUGGAGCAUUAAGACGCGACUGAUAAGAAUGAGCAGAGUACAUGCGCAAGUUCCGGGAAUAAGUUGACUCUUGUCAAGGUGGUGAGCUCGGUAAUGGCAUUGUAAUACUCAGAGUAUGAAGAAAGAUAUGGAUCAACCUUUAAUGGGCUGCCCCCAUGGUUAAAGGUGGAGAACUACCUGGACUCUUAGAACUAAAAGCGAGAGACUCAUGGAAAAGUAAGGUGUGGUUCCUAGAGUGGAACAGAGGGCAGACACAACUUCGGGAUGAGUAGAAUCUUGGAAGAGUGGUGAGCUCGUGAUCACAUUGAAAUACUCAGAUAAUGAAUGUCGCACUCGGAAAUAGAUAAUUCCAUUUGAGGGGGUGUUGUAAGCCUUGAUGUGAGGCUUGAUAAAUCAUUUCGGAUUGAGCAUGGUUAAUACGCUCGAAGGGGAAUUUUAUCCCAGAGACAAGCGUUAACACUCUUCAGAUGUAAUGUGACAGACCAUCUGGUUGUAGUGAUCCUUUUGUGUAAGAAAAGGUGUGCUUUGGUGACUCUGGUGAUUGAAAGGUUUGGCGAGUACCUGUAAACUUGGCCAAAGAUGCUCUCAGAAUGGUAAGCUUGGAAGAGUUGCAAGAUGCAAGCAUGUGCUGAAGAAGCAAGAGGACAAUUACCCACAUAAAUGGCAAAGGGGGUGAUUGUUAGAAUAUUACCAAUUAUGUGGCUGCCAUUGUCAAAGAAGAUGGCUGCCAUUGUCAAAGAAAAAAGGCCAACUUGUGAGAGUCAAAGAGAGUUGUUGAUGCAGCAUUUGCAGCCUUUUAACAUUGUCAAAGAAGGAGGCUAUAAUGGUGGGUUGUUGGUGGCAGCUGCUAAUGUCAAAAGAAGCUGCAACAACCAUUAACAAAGAGUAGCCACCAUUGUUGACAAAGGAGCAAGAGGAGUUGUUAUUGAAGCCUAUAAAUAGACACCAAGAGUGCAACACAAAGUGAGAGAGAGAGUCUUGUAGUAGAGCUACAAAAGAGAGAAGAAGAGAGAAAAAAAGAGAAGGGCUGCAACCAGCAGCCCUGCUGCCUUAUGCAGCUACUGCCCUAUGUAGCAAUGUGAGAUGGGAGUUGAGUGGAUGUGAUCCUCCUCCGUGUGUUGUAUUCUUUCUCUAUCUCUAAUAAUAUCGAUCUCUCCAGUGGAUGUAGGCGAUUUGCCGAACCACGUUAAAUAUUGUGUUAGUGUGCUUAGUCUCCUUUAAGCAAUGAUCAUGAACACCACCGUUCCGCAAGGGGGAGCAGAAAUCCCCAACAAUACAGAAGUUGCUUCUACCAGACGAUGCCAAUGGAGAAAACCCAGGUGUGGUUCCUGUUACAGGGUUAAAUUCGUCAGGCUGUAGGUUGACGAAAGUAUUGCUGGACAGUAGCUAUGAGGUGGCAGCCCGCAUGACGGUAGUGAAAAUCGGCAGCAUGCAACAGCAACGCAGCAGUGUGCUGACAAGAGCUGGAGACUUGGACUAUGGAUUGUCCAAGGCUCGAUGAAACAGUGCUGGAAUGACGUGAUGGGACAGUGUCGAAUUCGGCAGCAUUGAUGAGAUCAACAGCGUCGACAAAAUUGGCAGCAGGGGCUGACGAUAGGUCUAGGCGAUGGACAGUCCAUGACUGGACAUAAUACACUACUGGCAUGAAUGGCAGCACGCAUAGGUAGUGGCAACGUGCAUGGGCAGAUUCAGCAACAGUGUGCGUCAACGAUUCGACAGGACAUGGGUUGAUGUUCGACAGGAAUCCUAACUUAGACCAUGGACAGUCCAAGGCAUACAAACACCUACUCUGGCAGCGUGGAAGUUGGCAAAAGGGACAACUGGCUUGUUGGGUGGCAGGCUAUGGAAGAAGCAGCAAUUGCAGGCAAUUUUCGACAGUUAUCAGCAGUUUUCCAGGAGGCCAAACUGACCAGAACGUGGCCCAUGUCUUGGGAGGCAGUUAUGUUGUAUUAUUCCAUGUAAUAGGUUGUACAUAGGGUGUAGCAUGCAAUGUUCUGGUAGGCAGCAGAACACUUGUGCAUGGCACACACGCUAAUAAACUUGUGUAUCCUUUGUUGACGAGACUAAUGAAGGUUGGGAAUGUUUUCCUGUAAUAUCUUGUGUGCUUGGUUCUGUACAGCUUUGCUUGUGUAUUCCGCUUGUCUAUGUAAUGGGAGUGAGUGUGGGAAACCUCUUGGUGAGGGAAACACGAGUGAGGUGAGGGAAAGGCUGAGUCUAGCUAGUCAUCAACCUCCUGUCACGACCCGAUCCCCGGAUCCAUGACUGGCACAUAGGCAAGGUUCCCCUCCAAGGUUCCAUACCUAUGCGAACCCAAACUUACACACAAACUUAUCCUAACUCAAUUAGAGUUCAACGCAGCAUUAAUAACAAAAUCAACUUCAUAAUAUAAUUGAAUUGUCUUAAUACAAGAGUUUAUAUAAGUUCAGAGUUUUGGAGCACUAACUAGACAUAAAGGAAAGGUACCAAGUACAACCAAAAAGCAGGUUCUGAAGGUCCAACAAAAUGACCUGUUAUUAAGCUAUAAGCCUGAAAAGGAUAAAUAAUGAGAUGGUGAGUUCAACAACUCAGUGAGUAGAUAACGUUCAAUACACACACACAAGGUAAUACAGCAAUGAGAAAUAUAUAUACAAUUGGCUUUAGGUUCUUAUGGAAGUUUUCUCAAAUUGGCCAUAACAAGAAGAUCAUAUGGUAAAACUCGUCAGAAAAUCAAAAUGCAAUGAGCAUGAGGCUCCGUACUGUGGGAUGAUCAGUCCACACAGGUUGGUGACUCCCCCGACCAACUAGGGUUCAGAUACGAUGUGCACAAAGACUAACACUACCCUGUUAGCAUGGGUAUUCUGACUGACAUACCAUAGGUUUAUAAUCAUAAUCAAACAGACAUAUUCAUAUCUCAAGGCUCAACUCAUGACAUCAAUCAAAUGAGGAGCUAUCAAUUCAGAAGUCAAUUCAUAAUAUAUAUACUGGUUCAUAUCAAUAAUUCGGAUUCAACAAUUGAUCAUGCUUAUCAUAACAAGGAUAAUAAUCAACAUAUAUAUUAUCAAGAAGCAUGAUCCAAUUCAUAUUAACAAAUCAAAUAUUUAUAAUAUUUCUCAUGCAUAUGGAAAAUUAUCCACUCACCUGACUCAAAAGCAAACAGAAGCCAAAAGCAGACACCGAAGAAAAUCCUACUGACGUCCCGCCGGUAGAAUAUCAGGAUUAUCUGAAUAUAAAGGAGACAUAUUUAAGAACGACUCGAAAGAACAUUUAACCUAUUUAAUAAACUUAACUAAUAAUGUAUUCCGUAACCCUAUAUGUUUUUGAACUAACUAGUCAAUUUUCUCAAAAACCCAAAAUUUAACGGUUUUUUCCGAAAUCUAAUCCAUAAUAAAACAACUAAUAAAAUUGGCAAUAAUUCACUAAAUAACCCUUAAUUAUUCAUCAAACUAAUCUGCAAAAGCUAAUAUUACAGAUAGGGAAUAAUCUGUAAUUUAUCCUAUUUUUAAGGGUCAAAUUGCAACUUUUGUCUAAUUGAAGGACCAAACUGAAAUUUAUCAUAAAUCCAUGAAUAUACUGAAAUUCUGACCAUAAUUAGUCCUCAUUUCUGUCCAGAUCAUCUCAUUAUACUCCAAGGACCAUUCUGGAAUUUUACCAAAUUUUUAGGGUCAAAUUGUAUUUUUUGCCAAAUUGGAGGACUAAAUUGAAAGUGUUAAAUUCUCUUAUCUAUACAGUAAUUCUGUCCAUAAUUCAUAUGUUAUUCUGUUCAGAAUCUCGGAAUAGGCUCCAGGGACCAAUCUGCAAAUUUUCCAAAGUUUGGGGACUAAACUGUAAUUUUCCAAAAUUGAGAGACCAAACCGAAAUUUUGUCAUCUUCAACCUCCAACCCAGAAUUCCAACAGAAAACCCACUGUUCUUUCCUUAUUUCUAACACAAAUUCACCAUUCAAACAAAAUCAUAACUCAAAAUCAUCAUCUUUCAAUUCAAUCUCUCAAAUUCAACCAAAUAAUCAAAUACCCACAACAAUUAACCCUACAACAUCCAAAUUAACUCAUAAAUCAAACUCAAAACACAAAUUUCAUAACCCUAACAUUUAUCAAAAUCAAAAUUAAAGCUUAAUUAACACAUAUUUAUACAUAAUCUUACCUUUUUACUUAUUUCCUUCAAUUCCUUUCUAUUUCCCUUCUAAUUUCCCUCUUUUCUCUUCUUCUUCUUUCUCCCUUUCUCUCCUGCCGGUUCUCUCUCAAAAUUCAGAUCCCUCUUUCCUCUUUUUUUUUUACUUCCUAUUUAUAUAUAUUAUCUCUUUAUACAAUUAUUAUUAUACCCCUCAUUUAAUUUAUUCCUACAUCUAAGCAUUCAAGGGCCUUGUUGCCAUUUCCUAUCUUUUAAUACAAAACAUUACACCUCCGAGGACAGAUUUCUCUCUAAGGUCUGUUUUUGGGAUAAAAAAUUGACCCUGUGACAGUUCCCAUAGUGGGAAUGGGCGGGGUUGGUAAAACCACGCUUGCUCAGCUUGUAUACAAUCACAGCAGAGUACAAGAGUGGUUCGGUCUCAAAGCUUGGGUUUGUGUUUCAGAAGAUUUCAGUGUUUCGAAGUUAACUAAGGUUAUCCUUGAGGGGUUCGGUUCAAAGCCUGCUUUUGAUAAUCUGGAUCAGCUCCAGCUUCAGUUGAAGGAGAGAUUGCAGGGAAAGAAAUUCUUGCUUGUUUUAGAUGACGUUUGGAAUGAAGAUUAUGAUGAAUGGGAUAGGUUUCUUACCCCCCCUGAAGUACGGAGCACAAGGGAGUAAGAUUCUUGUCACAACACGCAAUGCAAGAGUAGCAUCAGCCAUGAGCACUGGUCCAACUCAUCAUCUAAAAGAAUUGACGGAAGACAGCUGCUGGUUUGUGUUCGCCAAACAUGCAUUUCGUGGUAAAAAUCCCAAUGUUUAUGAAGAGUUGCUAGAGAUUGGAAGAGAAAUAGGGAGAAAAUGUAAAGGCCUUCCUCUAGCUGCAAAAACACUCGGAGGUCUGCUAUGCACCAAGAGAGAUGUCGAGGAGUGGGAGAAGAUAUUGGAAAGCAAUCUAUGGGAUUUACCCAAAGGCAAUAUCCUCCCAGCCUUGAGAUUAAGUUAUCAUUAUCUCCUGCCACAUCUGAAGCAGUGUUUUGCUUAUUGUGCCAUAUUUCCAAAAGACUAUUCAUUUCGAAAGGAUGAAUUAGUGCUCCUGUGGAUGGCAGAGGGCUUCUUAGUCCACUUUGUAGAUGAUGAGAUGGAAAGAGCAGGUGCUGAGUGCUUUGAUGAUCUCUUGUCAAGGUCGUUUUUCCAGCAAUCAAGCUUAUCAUUUGUGAUGCACGAUCUCAUGCAUGACUUGGCUACCCAUGUGUCCGGUCAAUUUUGCUUCAGCUCCAGGUUGGGGGUAAAUAAUUCUUCCAAGGCCACAAGAAGGGCUCGACAUUUUUCACUCGUAGUAGAUACGGAAGACACGGAUGGUGAAGAUACCGAAGAUGGAGAUACGGAAGGUGUUUUUUCAAGCACAAAAUUAGAAAACAUUAGUGCAGCCCAGUUUCUACGCACAUUCCAAACUUAUCCACACUAUUUGAGGUGUCCUCCCGAAUUUUAUAAUGAGAUCUUUCAGUCAACACUUGGGCGCCUACGAGUGCUAUUCAUGACUGGUUGUAGAGAUGCAACUUUGAAGUUUUGUUCAACUAACAAGUUGAAGCAUUUGCGGUAUUUGGAUCUUUCCUUUUCACAGUUCUUAGUAACGUUGCCUGAAGAAGUGAGUGCUCUUCUCAAUUUGCAAACGUUGAUCUUGCAAGAUUGCUCCAAACUUGCUAGUCUACCUUAUUUUGGAAAUUUGAAGAAUCUUGAAGGAACAAGAAUCGAAAGGUUGCCUGAAUCUCUAGAAAGGUUUAUCAACUUGCGGUAUCUUAACAUCCAAUAUACGCCUUUGAAAGAGAUGCCACCACAUAUAGGUCAACUGACAAAGCUCCAAACGUUGACUGACUUUAUUGUGGGAAGACAGAGUGAGUCUAUCAUUAAUGAAUUGGAAAAGCUACGACAUCUACGGGGAAAACUGUAUAUUCGGGUCCUUCAAAAUUUGGUGGAUGCUCGGGAUGAUGUUGGAGCAAAUUUGAAAGGUUUAAAGCACCUUGAUCAGCUGUUUCUCAUUUGGGAUGGUGACACUCAUAACGUGGAACACGUAACAAGCACGCUUGAGAAAUUAGAGCCAGAUGGAAAUGUGAAGUAUCUUGAGAUUGAUGGUUAUGGAGGUAUAAGGUUUCCGGAGUGGGUAGGAAACUCCUCUUUCUCAAAAAUAGUGUCCUUGAAGCUCAGUAGAUGUAAAAACUGCACCACCUUACCACCGCUCGGGCAAUUAACUUCUUUAGAGGAUCUCUCAAUUGAAGAAUUCGAUAAAGUUGUGACUGUGGGCUCUGAGUUCUAUGGGAAUUGUACACAAGAAGCCAUUUGAAUCCCUCAAAUGUCUAUUUUUUAAAAGGAUGCCAGAGUGGCGCGAGUGGAUUUCAGACGAAGGCAGCCGGGAAGCCUUCCCUCUUCUUGAGAAGCUUUACAUCCAACAAUGCCCCAACCUUGCAAAGGCCCUUCCUAGUCACCACCUUCCACGUGUAACAAGACUUGUAAUUAAAGAAUGUAAGCAGCUCGCGACUCCACUUCCUAGGUUUCCGAGGUUGCAGUCUCUCUCUGUUUCUGGAUCCCACUCCCUAGAGUCCCUACCCGAGGAACUUGAGCAAAUGGGUUGUUCACCCUCUGAUUUAGGGCGAAUUACAAUCCAGGGCGAAUUACAAUCCAGGGCUGCGCUUCUCUCAAAUGCGUCGCACUGGACUUGCUCCCCAAGUUAAAUUAUCUUUCUAUCUGUGACUGUUCAGAUCUUGAAUCACUAUGUGCACAUGAAAGACCUCUCAAUGAUCUCAAUUCUCUCCAUUAUUUGUUUAUCGAGAAGUGCCCUAAAUUAGUUUCAUUUCCCAAAGGAGGAUUACCUGCUCCAGUCUUAACACGACUUGAGUUAGAAGAUUGCAGGAACUUGAAGCUGUUGCCUGAGAGUAUGCAUUCCCUCCUCCCAUCCCUUUCGCAUUUGGAAAUAAAAGAUUGUUUAGAAGUUGAGUUGUGUCCAGAAGGGGGUUUUCCCUCCAUAUUACAAUCACUUGUCAUUUGUAGAUGCGACAAACUCAUUGCUGGCCGCAUGCAAUGGGGCUUGCAAACGCUCCCUUCUCUUUCACACUUUACAAUCGGUGGCCUUGAAAAUAUUGAAUCCUUCCCUGAAGAGAUGCUUCUGCCCUCAAGUCUUACAUCUCUUAAAAUCCAUUCCCUAAAACACCUGAAAUCUCUUGACUACAAGGGGCUUCAACACCUCACCUCUCUUAGAAAAUUGCAUAUAAAUUACUGCCCUAGGCUUGAGUCCAUGCCAGAAGAAGGGUUGCCCUCCUCCCUUUCUACUCCUCUUUAUAUUUACUUUUGUCCUAUGGUUGAGUCAAUGCCAAAAGUAGGGUUGCCCUCCUCCCUUUCUACUCUUAGAAUUAACGAUUGUCCUAUGCUGGGUGAACGUUGUGAAAGGGAGAAAGGUAAAGAUUGGCCCAAGAUUUCUCACAUUCCUCACAUAAAAAUUAUGUAUUGAUGGCUAUUGAUUUUUCCAACAUCAGCGGAGCCAAAAAGGAGGUAUUGCCACUAAAUAGUUUAUUUUCUUUUCAGUAAUCAAAGGCAAUUUCAGUAAAAAUUUGUCCUUUUCCACUAUUAAUUCUAUGCUUAUUUUUGGCAGGAUCCAAAUCCAACUUUGCACUUACAGUUCAUGAAGGGUUUGUCACCCCUUCCUUCUUGCCAGAACAAUAUGCACAGGAUAAAAUUGAUCUGUUUGCUCCCUCAGGUAUGACUCAUUGUGAACUUUUCCAUUCGAUGUUCUUUCUCAGUUACUCUGUAUUUCUCCACCAUUAUUAAUUCUUUGCAAUUUCAUGUCAGAUUACCACUUGCCCAUUGCAGAGUGGAGCACCAUGGUUUCACAAAACAAGAUUGCUUUGCAUUGUUUAGCUAUUUGUGUAUUAUACGUAUCAUUUUCAUGCUCUUGGUCUAAAUCCUCCAUUGUUUCUUUGCAGGAUUCUGAUCCAAAUUUUCUUCUACAAGCAUGGGCGGCCCAUAAGUUUGGAUGAAUGAAAUACAGAUAUUUUCUUCAUAUUGUCUGUCAUUCAUCAUUCUAUUUCAAUAUAUUUUUUGCUAUAAUUAAUUUUUAAAGUUGAUUUGAUUAGUAUUGUACUUUUCUCAUUCUAACAUUUGUGGUUAGAACAAGGUAAUUUUCACUGGAGUGUCAUUUUGGGAUGAGAUGAUUUUGGUUCAAAUUCCAUAAAUUGUUUCUUAAAAAAAAAUAACAAUUUAAACAAGACAAGGAGAAUGAUCUAUAGGAGCGGUGAACCUUUGGCUUCUUUCCUUUGAAUCCAAAUUCAAAUCCUGUUCUGCUGCAAAUAAACAUCACAUGCUUCAGAUUUUGAAUUUAGUAAUAGAAAAUCCAUUGCUAGAAAGGAUUAAAAAAAUAUUGAAUUAUUUAAGUGAUCUGCAACUGAUUUUUCAUUGUUGACGCGGCAAGAUCAAAUCUGCAACUGAUUCAAAAAAUAAAUUAAACCCUUAAUUAUAUAAAAUCUCCCUUCUCUCCUUCUCUCCUUUUCUGCAUCUUCAAAAAUUCAAAUUUUUUUCUCCAUCUCUUUCUCUAGUCCAUUCGCCUUCUUCAAAAAUUCAAAAUCCAAAAAAUUUUGAUUUAUCUUUUUUUAUUAUUAUUUAACUUUGAUUAAAAAAAAUUUAUUCCAUAUAAAGCUGAAGUUAAAAAAUAAUUUUGGAGCGUAGGAAAGGCCCUUUCUAAUAAAAUUUAUUUCAUGGUGUUCAGGAAUAAUUAAUAAUAUUUUAUUAGUUAUUUUUAAAAUUUAUUUUCAUAAAACAAAUAAAUACAAAAAGAAAAAAUAAUAUAAAAUUCACCCGCGUUUUGGAAUCACAAUUCAGAAGCAAGUGAAAGUGGCCAAUGUCACUCAAGAGAGCAGGCACUUGCAAAUCUACUAAUGAUUUGUUUGGCAUGGUGUUGGUAAAUUGUUUUUGAAAAAAUUUAAAUUUAUUUUUAUUUUAAAUUAAUAUAUUUUUUUAUGUUUCUAUAUUAAAAUAUUAUUUUAAUAUAUUUUAAAAUAAAUAAUACUUUGAAAAAUAAUCAAAUAAAUAUGGGAGCAUCACCCUUUCGCACAAUCAACAGAAAGGAUUAAAGCACAGAAAGUCAUCAUCUCGAGAACUCACAGCAAAGAGUUCAAUGUUGUAGUAGAUAUGUAGCUAUAUUAAAAACAUUAAUACUUCCAGCAUGCACAAAUGCGACUUCUUAAUAGUUAAUAUUGGAAAAAUUAAAUUUCCUUUUCUAAUUAAAUGAAAAUCUCUACUAAAUAUUAUGCUAUUUGAAUUUUCACCUCAUGACUACAAGCUGCACUGCACUCAUGGAUGCUUCACCAGGAUAAAGCUACAAAUGUCAGUUUAAUAUCUGCCUCUACCUAGGUCGGCCGACAAUAUUACCAAAGCUUCUCUCCUACAAAUGUCAGUUUUUAAAAUCUGCCUCCACCUAGGUCGGCCUGCAAUAGAAUACCAAAGCUUCUCUCAACUAAAUCAAGACAUGAUGACUAGCACUCGCAACCAUAACAGAACCAAUGGAAGCGAACUACUACAUAUUUGAUCAACAAGGUCAAAUUCAGUCGAGUUUUUAAGGAAAUCCAGUGAAAGAGGAACCUAAAAUACUACAUGAUUGUGGAAUAGAAAGUUUAACGGCCUUAAUUGAAUUGUUUCAGUCACUAUUUUUUCAGUCACAAAGUAACAAUUUCUGUAUCAACUCUUCUCUUCUUCUUCUUCUUCUAUCACAUCUCAAUGGAUUGCAACAGAUUGUAACAGCCCCUGUAGUUUCUCUGUUUUGAAUUAUUCAAAUAAGUUGCACAGAUUGCAACAGCCCUUAAAGAUAGGAAGCAGUUUUGAACUGCUCUAUAGUUUAGGAUUUCAAAACAAAUGUUCGUUAUCAUGUAUGUGUAUUUAACUGCUGCAAAAUGUAAAUGAAAAAUAUGAUUGAUUUCAUCAUUCCUUUAUGGUAUCAGAGCACUAAACCGAUCCACUUUAUUUUUAUCUUUUCUUUUCUUUUUCCUUCCCUUGUUCAUUACCACUCAUGGCUACAGAGUCUAAUCCUGCAACCAUUCUCAACACCAAUGAAUCACACCAAACUCUCAUCAGCAUCAAUGUUGCUGCUCAAGCCCCUCUCAAACUCAACUCUACCAAUUACCUCUCUUGGAAACUUCAAUUCCAAACCUUAUUCAUUGGAUAUGAUCUUCUUGGCUAUAUUGAUGGCUCCAAACCAUGCCCGCCAGCUACCUUGACUCAAGCCAAUACCACCAUUUCCAAUCCCAAUUACACUCUAUGGAUCCGCCAGGAUUAAUUGAUUCUCAACGCUGUUAUUGGCUCCAUUUCACCUACUAUUAUACCUUUCAUUGCUCAAGCCACCACCUCUAGCCAAGCCUGGACAAUUCUAGCAAAUACCUAUGCUAAACCCUCUCGUGGUCGUAUUAAACAAAUCAAAAACCAACUCAAAAACACCACCAAAGGCUCCCUUGGCAUCACUGAAUUUAUGCAAACUAUCAAAACGCGAGCAGAUGAUCUUGCUCUUCUUGGUGCCUCCCUUGAUGCAGAAGAAAUCACGGACAAAAUACUUGAUGGUCUCGGUGAUGAUUACAAGGAAUUAGUUCGUGCUGUCCAGGCCAGAGAUACCUCCAUCACAUUUGUAGAACUUCACGAAAAACUUCUCAAUUUUGAGGCCUCCCUUCAACAUCUCCCAUCUGAGCCACACCAUUUUCCAGCUACAGCCAAUCCCACAUAUCGAACCAACACCAAAAAUUGGCGUCCUUCUCCACCUCGUAACAAUACCACAAACUAUUGGCGCCCAUCCUACAACUUUUCCAACCGCUCACCUAUUGUACCCAUUACAAGACCCAUUUCAGCACCGGCCUCUCGUCCUCACCACAAACCAUACCUUGGUCACUGUCAAAUUUGCAGGAUUCAGGGUCACACUGCCAAUCGGUGCCCUUCCUAUCGCCUUGUACCCAUUCAUCCUUUACCCACUUCCAGCACUCCCCAACAAGGAACACCCUGGCAACCACAAGCUCACCUUGCCACCCAUCCCUCCACCACGCCAUCCUGGCUUUUAGACAGUGGUGCUUCACACCAUGUCACCUCAGAUCUAAACAACCUCUCCCUGCAUGCUCCAUAUAGCGGUACUGAUGACAUCAUGAUCGGAGAUGGAUCCACUCUUCCCAUCACUCAUACUGGUUCCACCUCUCUCACCACUCCUCUCCAUACAUUUCAAUUACACAAUGUUCUUUGUGUUCCCUCUAUGGAAAAGAACCUCAUCUCUAUUUCACAAUUCUGCACUUCUAACAAUGUUUCCAUAGAAUUCUUACCAUCAACUUUUCUUGUUAAGGAACUUCAUACCGGGACAACACUGCUACAGGGACAGACUAAAGAUGGUGUCUAUGAGUGGCCCUCUUCCUCUCCUUUCAUUGCUUUCUCAACAAUAAAGCCCACGUCCUUCGACUGGCAUCAUCGCCUAGGCCAUCCAGCUUUUUCAAUUCUCAGACAUAUUGUCUCUAGCAAUCAUUUAGGCUUGUCUUCCUCCUUAUCUUCCAAUUACUCAUGUAAUGCGUGUCUUUGCAAUAAAAGCCACAGGCUGCCCUUCUCCAACUCUACAAUUGUCUCCACCAAACCGCUUGAAAUUAUAUUCUCUGAUGUGUGGACCUCGCCAAUUUUCUCUCAUAAUGGCUUUAAAUAUUAUGUAAUAUUUAUUGAUCAUUUCACUAAAUAUAUCUGGUUUUACCCACUCAAAAACAGAUCUGAUGUCAAAGAAGUUUUCAUUCGAUUCAGAGCCAUUGUCGAAAAACACUUUAAUUCCACCAUUAAAACACUCUACUCUGACAAUGGUGGUGAGUAUAUCUCUCUAGCUAAUUUUCUUUCCACCAAUGGUAUCUCUCAUCUCACAACUCCCCCUCACACGCCUGAACAUAAUGGUUACUCUGAAAGACGACAUCUUCACAUCGUUGAAACUGGUCUAGCCCUACUCACGCAUGCUUCUUUACCCCAUUCCUACUGGACUUAUGCAUUUUCCACAGCUGUCUAUCUCAUUAAUAGAUUGCCGACUCCCACUUUAAACUUGUCCUCACCCUACCACAAAAUAUUUCAAACAGCCCCAAACUACUCCAAGUUACGCAUCUUCGGCUGCCUAUGCUACCCUUGGCUCCGCCCUUACACCUCCCAUAAACUUGAAUCAUGGUCCAAGCCAUGUGUUUUCCUUGGGUAUUCUCUUACUCAAAGUGCAUACUAUUGCCUUGAUCCUUCCACCUCCAGAAUCUACGUCUCAAGACAUGUCAAAUUUAUUGAGUCACAGUUUACCUUCUCUUCACUAUCUGGUUCAUCCUCUACUUCCCUUUCCAAUCCCAUCACUACUUGGAUUCCUGCACCAAUUACAGUUCUUUCACCCGCUUCAGAACCACCACUCCCUAUGCCAUCUGCAGUUUUCAAUACUCAGCAACCCCAAAGUGCAGCUCCCCCAUCCAACCCCAUUCAGCUUCCAACCACCAUCGCCACCCAUACAACCUCCCCUUCCAUAACAUCUUCAACAGGUACAACCUCAACCCUCCAUUCCCCACCUAAAACUCCUACCCUUCCCACUCAUUCUAUGACCACUCGCGCUAAAAACAACAUUCACAAACCCAUCACUAAGCUGAAUCUUCAUACCCGACUAUCCACUUCCAGUGAUCUAGAACCAACCACCGUGACUAAAGCCCUUCUUGAUCCCAGGUGGCGUCAAGCUAUGUCUGCUGAAUGUGAUGCCUUAGUCAGAAAUGGAACAUGGGAACUUGUUCCACCAGAUUCUUCACAGAAUAUAGUUGGAUGUAAGUGGAUAUUUCGGAUUAAACGUAACACUGAUGGUUCUAUUGAUAGGUUCAAAGCACGUUUAGUCGCAAAGGGGUUUCACCAAAGACCUGGUGUUGACUAUCUUGACACAUUCAGCCCUGUAGUAAAACCAACAACAGUGCGUGUGGUCCUCAGCCUUGCAGUUUCUCGGGGAUGGACUUUACGCCAACUUGAUAUCAACAACGCUUUCCUUCAAGGCCAUCUCUCUGAGACUGUACACAUGCAACAACCACAAGGUUUUGUUGAUCAAGAUCAUCCAUCCUAUGUCUGCAAACUUCGAAAGGCAAUCUAUGGCCUCAAACAAGCACCUAGAGCAUGGUAUCAUGAACUUCGCACUUUUCUACUUCACUCAGGUUUCAAAAAUUCUCAUACGGAUACAUCAUUAUUUGUUCUCAAUACUGCUGGAAAGAAAAUGUAUAUCCUGGUUUAUGUGGAUGGCUUAAUAAUUACUGGUGACCACACUACCAUGAUCGACUCCUUUGUGGUUGUUCUUGCUCAUCGGUUUUCCAUUAAAGAUCUUGGACAGUUAUCGUGUUUUUUAGGCGUGGAGGUAGUUCACAAUCAGCAUGGAAUUUUGUUAUCUCAAAGGCGUUAUAUUUUGGAUAUUCUAGCUCGAACUCAUAUGGCAGAUGCAAAACCUGUGUUCACUCCUAUUCCAACUAGUCCACCUUUGUUAAAAUCAGGCACUGCGUUGCCUGAUCCCUCUGAGUACAGAACGAUUGUUGGCAGCCUUCAAUAUCUCUUGAUUACCAGACCAGAUCUUGCAUUUGCAGUUAACAAGCUCUCUCAGUACAUGCACACUCCAACAACUGAUCAUUGGAGCUUUGUUAAACGCCUCUUACGCUAUCUAUGUGGCACUAUUAAUGAUGGCCUCCAAAUACAUCGCAGGUCUCCAUUAAAUCUACAUGCCUAUUCAAACGCAGAUUGGGCGGGUAACAAAGAUGAUUUCUCAUCUACCAGUGCCUAUGUCAUAUAUCUUGGUCGCAAUCCCAUUUCAUGGAGUUCUAAGAAACAGAAAACUAUUGCAAGAUCUUCAACUGAAGCGGAAUACAGGUCAGUAGCAAAUGCAGCAGCUGAGCUCAACUGGCUUUGCUAUCUUCUGUCUGAUCUAGAUGUUCAACUUCCGUGUUGUCCGGUCUUAUACUGUGACAAUGUUGGAGCUACCCAACUCUGCUCCAAUCCUGUUUUUCACUCCAAAACGAAACAUGUUGCCAUCGAUUAUCACUUCAUCAGGGACCAAGUACAAAAUGGUGUCCUUCGUGUUGCCCAUGUAUCCUCAGCAAAUCAACUUGCUGAUGCACUGACCAAGCCUCUUCAUCGUAUCCGUUUUCUAGAUCUCAAAUCCAAGAUUGGACUUCUAUCUCGAGCUCCAUCUUGAGGGGGCAUAUCACAUCUCAAUGGAUUGCAACAGAUUGUAACAGCCCCUGUAGUUUCUCUGUUUUGAAUUAUUCAAAUAAGUUGCACAGAUUGCAACAACCCUUAAAGAUAGGAAGCAGUUUUGAACUGCUCUAUAGUUUAGGAUUUCAAAACAAAUGUUCGUUAUCAUGUAUGUGUAUUUAACUGCUGCAAAAUGUAAAUGAAAGAUAUGAUUGAUUUCAUCAUUCCUUUAUCUUCUACUUCUUCUCUCUUAUUCCUUUCUAAAGACAGAAAGACAGAAGAUAAGGCUGGAUUAGGGUUAAACACAAAAAAUUCUAAAACCGUAUUUUAUUUUUUAAUUACUAUUAUGUUCAAGUCGGCCUCUUGAAAAGGUUUACGCUAAAAAAAUUGACCUACACUAGAGAACAAAAUUAGAAUCCCUAAACAUAAAGAAAAUUAGCAUAAAAUCCGAAAUAAACAAUAAAUCUAAAAAUAUCAGAUGAUGCUGGUCCGUGUUUGCCAAACAUGCAUUUGGUUAUGAAAAUCCCAUUGCUCAUGAAGAGUUACGGGAAAUUGGUAGAGCAAUAGUGAGGAUUGUCUGAUGUUCACCUAUAAUUGUAGCUGAAGAAAAGCUAGAAAUGAAACUGCCUGUAUUGGAAGUGAAACUGCUUGCCUACAAUAUAUGUGAACAUUCUAUGGCUUUGUUGCCGCCUUCUAGCCUUUCGGUGUUGCACGGUGCUGCUGCUUUUUGGCUUUUGAUUUCAUACACUAUCAGAAAAUUGAUAAAUACAAACGGAAAUAUCAAGGAAAUAUUUCUGUCGGUAAAUUUUUGAGGGAUUUUACCGACAGAAAUAUUCCCCGGUAUAUACCGAGGGAAUUACCGUGGGAAAAAAAUUAAAACAAAGCAAAAAAAAUGAUGACGUGUCAUUUUUACCAACAGAAUUACCGACGGAUUUUUCAAUUCCGUCAGUAUUUUCCAAAGAGCUCCAAAAUUAUUCACUUUCCAAUUGCACUGUUAAUUGUUAUUCUUUACGGACAAAAUCACCGACGGAUUGAAAAGUCGUCGAUAUUAUUUGGCGGUUUUCUGAAAAAAUUCAAUUAAUUUAAAAUUUUCAUUUAAAUAUUACAGACGGAAUCACCGACGAAUUGAAAAAUUAUCGGUAAUUGUUGGCGAUUUCUGAAAAAAUUUUACAAAAUUGAAAAUUUAAAUUAAAUAUUACCGAUAAAAUUGCCGAUGAAAUAAUUAAAAAAUAUUAAUAUUCAAUUAUUUGUCGCUAACGCGCCUCAAUAAAAAGCCUGAAUCCCUUUAUUUCAGACUUAUUUCUUAUUAUUCUUCUACUUCUACUUCACUAUAUGUAAAAAACAUCAAUAUCUAUUUCUUUCUCUUCUUUUCUCUCCUCACCUCCUUAUCUUUUUCUCCAUACUUGGGUAUGUCUUCUUCUUCUUUCUUCUUUUAUCCUCUUAGUUUUUUUUUUUUAAUUAAUAUGCUUUACGAAAUUUUUUCUCUCUCCUUAGCUUCACUUGCAACUACAUUAAGGUAAGAUUUUUCUUUUUUCUUCUUUUUUCAUGAUUUUUUUCACUAUAUUUGUUUUUUAUUUUAUUUUUAAUUGUUUUUGUUCUUAAUAAUUAUAUAAAUGUUGUUGUGAGAUUUUUUUUUCAUAUGAGAUCAAGUUUUAGUUGAUUUAUUUAUAGGAUUUUUAAAUUUUUAGCAAUUGCAACUUCAUUUUUUUCAUAUGAAUUUUUUUAGUUGAAUUUAUUUUUUCAUUUUAUUUAUUUUUUGCAAAUUUGUUUGAGUUGAUUUUCUUAUUCUUUUUUUCCAAGCAUUUUGAGUAUAUAUUAUAGAGUGUUGAUUUAUGUUAAUUUAAUUAUUUUAUAAUUUUUUAAAAUGAAUAUUUUAAAAAUAUUUUUAAAUUAUUACCGACGGAUUUAUUGACGGAAUAGACGUGUCGGUAAUAAUAUUUUUUUAUUACCAACGGAUUUACCGACGGACAAAAAAUUACCGAUGAAAGAUGCACAGACAGAGCAUUUCUGUCGGUGAUUUUGUUGGUAAAUUAAUUACCAACGGAAUAUGUAUCUUACGCCGAUAGAAAAAUUCCAUCGAUAAAAUUGUUAAAUGUUGUAGUGAUAGAAAUGUUGUUCCCUCUCAUCCCUGGUGUUACAUAGGCAGCUGCUGGCUCCUCUUGUAUCUUUUGGGUUCUGGCUUCGUUUGGUUCAUGCCAUUGUCUGCUCUCCGGUUGUCGAAGCUGACAGCAAUCCUCCAACUCUGUUCUCAUAGUCAGAUGCUUCCUCUGUUUUCUCCUGGCAUUGAAAUUACAGCUCUCCCUCAAAUUUUAUUGAUGAUGUGCCUUUGGUCAUCUUAAUAGCUCUUUUUUUCUUGGGAUAUUUCAUUUGAUUCCUUUUUUCUCUUUUAUUUUAAUUAUUAUCUUCAUAGUUUUAACAUUAAGUCUCUUUGAAAAUAGAAGCAGCCUAUCUUUUAUAUUUGUAAAUCUUGUUCCAAGAGAGAGAGUAGAAGUUUAUUAAAGAAAAAUGUACAUUCUCAUUCGUCACAUUCCUUGUUCGUUUAUAUAUGAAAUGUUUUUUGUUUUUCAAUAAGCGAAUCUUCAAUCGGAAGGGAAAUUAUUUUAGUGAAUAGUGUAAUGGAACUAAAUUUUGGUUAAUUUAUAAUAAAUUUAAAUAGCUUGAAAGUGAAGCUCAUCUUCUAUUUAGUUUUCUCAAAUAUAUAAUUUUAAAAUAAAUUACUUUUAAAAUAAUUUUGAGUAAAUUUGACAUUAACUUUGUUGGAUGAAUUCCAAACCUAUAAUUUGAAACCAAAUGUUUGUAUAUUUUUUUUGUAAAAGACUAAUUUGAAAAAAAAAAUUCUAAAAAAAAUGACAAAGAGUUUUUAAAAAUUCAAGAACUAAUGAAAAAUUACUUUUUUGUCGACAAGGGUGCCUCCUUUUAAGUUGCCACCCACCUUGAUGUGGCUCCAUGUUCCACUCCAAACCAUUCAUAUAGGUAUCUUAAAUAGUGUAGCCUGAGCUUCACCGGUUAUGUUUUUAAUAUAUUUUUAAAUAAAAUAUAUUUUUAAAAAAUAUUAAAAAAAAAACUAACAUUAUUAUACUGUCAAACAGAUAAUCUCAUUGCAUCUAACGCUUUAAAUUCCAACAAUGAGUACCCGAUUAAACAAUAUCUACAUUCAAUUAAAACUUAUGGUAUCAUUCCUUGACAGCGAAAUAAAGAAAAGGAGACAGAGAACCGUACUUUCAGAAGACCAUGACACAAAUCGACGGUUGAAAUCCAAUCACUCAAGGGAUGGUGACACGUUGUCAUGAGUGGGAGACAGCUGGUCUCUAGUACGAAGAGAAACAACAGCGUUUUUAUUGUUUAAAUUUAGAGUGUUUGUUUUUCGGAGUGUCUUUGUUCUCGUGAUAGCUCCUGUGAUGAUGGGUAUCUUAGUAAUUGUAAAAACAAUUGAUUUUUUUUUUGAUGAAGUUGUCCGUGUGGAUGAGAAAAUACUGAGUUUGUAGCUUAGUAAAAACAUGUUGAUGUUACUUUUUAUUAGCCCAUGGUUGGCCCGUAAAUUGUAAUGGGUCCCACAAUCACAAACCUAUGAUUCACAUGUAACUAAAUAUCUUGUUUUUGUUAUCUGCAUUAAAAAUGCAAGAGCUGCUAAAAAAACAAACAUAUUUGAUCGUUGAACAUGUUUUUAAAUUGUUUUCUUAAUUAUUUUUUAUUUAAAAAAACAUUAAUAGAUGAAGUUUAAUAAUUAUUUUAUAAAGAAGUUUUGGAAUAAAAUGAUCUAUCUGCAUGAAAAACAAGGUCAUUUUUACAGGUGGAAGAUAAAACCAAUAAGACCUAAUCCUAUUGAACUGCAUCUUGUUAUUCAAAGCAAACAAUCAGUAUCUUUAAUACUGAUUAAGGAUAUUUUUAUUUUUGCAAUUCAACUGUAAUUUCUAAUAUAAUGAUUUUUUUAUUAUAACUUGCUCCACAAUUAAUCUUUUAGAGUUAAACAAAUACUACGCAACAUUCUAGAAUGUGUAAUGAAGUUUUUAUAAUAUUCAUAGCAAUGGUCAUCAGCUAAUUUAUAAUUUAUUUAUCUACUUUAUCAAUUAAUAAAAGUGAUAAAAGAAAAGGAGAGAAGAAAUAAAGUGAAGUCUUCUUCUGCAUUAUUAGCACAUCACGUGAAAAGAAAGAUUGGCAUUUAAUAAAAGUUAUUCCAAUCAAAUAAAGCAAGGACAAACCAAGUUACUCCAUUUUCCUCUCACUUUUUCAACCGAUGGGGUGUCUUGGCAAAUAAAGCAAGGACAGACCGAGUUGACGCGCUCCCUAACUCCAUUUUCCUGGCCCGCGCAAUUCACGCAUACACAAACACAUCCGGAACAAUAUUCAUAAAAUUAAUUAACAUCCCGUAAAAAUAUACUUUAAUACAGUAUAAGGCUUCCCGUCUACCUCUGUCUUUUCAUAAUUUCGAUCCUCUAAUCAUGUAUUUUCAGUCUAAAAUAUAGUAUAAAACUUUUCUAUACCCAAGAUCCUCUAAUACUAAUAAGACUGAAAAUUUGAGAUUUGGAUAACGAGAAAAGGAGAGACUGGGGAGUGGGAACUAUGUAGUGGAAUGUCAGGGGACUCGGAUAAGGAGACAGUAAAUUUUUUAACUUUUGCAAGUUAAAACUCAAAAUCAAUUAACGAGAACAAAAACGUACAAAAUAACAUCAAUUUAAUCUCAUGUCACCUCACCUUCCACCUUUUUUUAUGUUAGUAACAAGUUCUAGAAAUAAUAUCCUAAUAUCCCACCAAGCAAGACAUGCAUUUCAAGUUCUCUUUGAGUCUUUGUCGUCUCUCUUUGUAGUUAACAAAUAGUUAGUCUAAAACACAAUAUUUCUCUCUCUAUAUAAGUAUUCCUAUCUUUUAUUUUGCUCAUUUGAUUCCUCGCCAUCUACCUCUGUCUUUCCAUGGUUUUGAUUUUCCGAUCAUGCCUUCUCGCCCUAAAAUACAGUAUAAGAAUUUCUCAUACCCAAGAUCCUCUAAUGCUGGUGUUAGUCUACUAAGAUUGAAAAUUUGAGAUUUGGGCAACCGGGAAAGGGGAGACUGGGGAGUGGGGACUAUGUAGUGGAGUGUCAGGGGACUCGGACAGGGAGACAGUAAAUUUUUAACUUUUGCGGGUUAAAACUCGAAAUCGGUCAAACUCGGUCAAACUCGUAAAAUCAGUUCGAUUUUACCGAUUUUAACCGAUUUUGAUCGAUUUCGAGUUUUAACCCGAUUUGACACGUUAUAUACAUGUUGACUCGUAAAAUCAUAAGAUUUUAAGAGUCAACUCGUGAUUUUAAUAACCUUAGAAACAACAACGUUUCCAUUGUUUAAUUUGUUUUUCUGAGUAUCUUUGUUUUUGUGAUAGCUCUUGUGGUGAUAAAGAUUAAAAAAGAUAGUUUAGAUAAAUUAUUUUUACUCGUGAUUUGUUUGAUUUAAAUAAGUAUUUAAUUAAAAUUAUAAUUAAAAAUGUUUAGGUAAAAUUAUGAUUAAAAUGGAUGUUUUAACUUAAAUUACCACAAAAAUACUGCUGAAGGUGGAGAGGAUGUGAGAUGCGAUUGGGUAUCUUAUUUAAUUGUCAAAACAUCAACUGUUGUGGUCAAUAAAGCAAGGACAACCCGAGUAAAAUGUGGGACCUAACUCAAUUUUCCUGGCACACGCAACUCACGCAUACACCCAAACACGCUAUAACACUAAUGUGAGAUGUUUUUUGAACUUCGGAGUUUACAGGCAAAUAAAGUGAUGGAAGAAGGUCUUCUUCUGCAUCAUCACAUCACGUGAAAAGCUUGGCAUUUAAUGAAGUUUUUCCAAUCAAACCCAUUCCUUUCAAAGAUGGAAUUUCUAGUAAAAUGGAGUCCAGAGCAUAACAAGGGCCGAGAGAGAAAAGGCUUUUGCGAGUUCUGUGUUCUGUAUAUUUCUCAAGGGGAAAAAAGGAAGACGAAGAAAGGAAUAUCAUAUUUCUUGUAGGAGUAUGGUUAGCACGAACUAUAAGAGAUGUACAUGAGAGAAAAGAAAAGGGAAGGCCUAUCGACUCUCUUUUUUUCUAUAUUCACAGGUAGUACGGAUCGCUUACCAUGACUAAUCCAACAUCAAGCCUUAUCGUUCAUGAACUGUGCCUAGACUUCUUUAAUCAUUUACAUAUAUAAAUUUGGUUAAUCAAGUUGGAGAAGAUCGUGUCAAGAACCAUGCUGUGUAUGUUUGAUAAUGCAGUGAAUAUAAUUUUACAAGAAUAUUUUUCAAUUAAUAAAAUAUUUCUUAAAGAAAUUUUCAAUAAUCUUGUUAAGAAAUUUGGGUGGCCAGACAUUUUAAAGAAUGAUGCUAGUUUCUGGCCACAAGAGGUCAUGCUAGUCACUUUUUGAUCAUGUCUGUGAUCUUUUUGAAUGCUCUGUUCUCCAUCAAAGCUAAUGGAAAUGUGUAUAAAUUAUCAUUUUAUCUUUAUGAAGCAUAUUGUCAGAUCACUGACCUGCUGGUGAACAUUACCAUGCAUGUUCUGCAGCCGAAGAUUUCAAAGAAGAAAACAUAAUGAUUUUGGUGAAUUGUGUUCGAACUCUUUGCAUUUCACCAUCCUCUACCUUUUAUCAUUUUGAGCGUAGUUGCCACCCACCUUUCUGUGGCUCCAUCAUGUUCCCGCUCCAAACCAUUCAUAUAGGUUAUCUUAAAUAGUUUAGCCUGAGCUUUACCGGUUAUGCUUUUUAAUAUAUUUUAAUUUAAGUAAAAUAUAUUUUUUAAAAAUAUUAAAAAAAAACAUACCAUUAAUGUACUCUCAAAAACAUAAUCCAAUUGCAUCUCACGCUUUAAAUUCCAACGAUGAGUACCCAAUUAAACAAUAUCUACAUUGAAUUAAAACUUAUAGUAUAAUUACCUGACAGCGAAAUAAAGAAAAGUAGGAACCCUGCAUUUGGGAAAUUUCUAUAAGGCCUCCAAUCUGAGGCUGUAACGAGCCCUGGAUCCACACAGAAGAAAUUUCGAGGGAAAUGGGUUGAUGUCAGAGGGAGACAAGGAAGCGUACUUUCAGGAGACCAUGACACAAAUCAACGGCUGAAAUCCAAUCACUCAAGGGAUGGUGACACGUUGCCAUAAGUGGGAGGCAGCUGGUCUCCAGCACGAAGAGAAACAGCAGCGUUUUCAUCGUUUAAAAUGAAGUGUUUGUUUUUCUGAGUGUCUUUGUUCUCGUGAUAGCUCGUGGUGGUAGUGGAUAUUUAAAGAUGAUUGAGUAUCUUAAUAAUUGCAAAAACAAUUGAUUUUUUUUUUUUAUGAUUGACACACAAAACCCUAUUUUCAUAGUUAUGUUAAUUGAAGGAUAAUAAAUGGAAGAAUGACAAAUUGCCAGGUGGAAAGUUAUAGCUCAUCACAACAAAUACUUUCCAGCAAAUUGAUUAAUGGCUGUUACAACUAAUUACAACGAAUACUCUUCAUUUCUUCUCUAUAGUUAUGUUAAUGGUAAAAAAAAGUUGGAAAUUAUAAUUUUGAAAAAUAAAUUAAAAGAUAAGUGAUGAUCAAAUUAGAACUUGAUAUUUGAUAUAAAAUAUAAUUUUUUUUAAUUAAAUCCUAACAACAAAUCACAAAUCAGUUUCAAAUUAGUGAAUGUUGCCGAAGAGAAUGGCAAAAAAGAAGAAAAUUAUAUUUUAAGAAAGUCAUGGAGCCGUAUAUUUUUAUUAGAAAAGAAAAAACAUUAGAAUUGAUUGUUAUAUUUCUUGAAACAAAUAAAAAGAAACAAAAAACAAAAUAUAAAUCAUGGAUGAAUUAAAUCCUCUUGAAGACCUGCUUCAAAUAAGAAAGAGGUAAAUACUAUUGGAAUUUAAUUGAUAUACGUUUCUUGCAUGUUGUUUCAAGUUGCAUAAAUACAAGCAAAAUACAUUUAUACAUAUUAUAUUACAAUUGAUAUAUUUUUGGUGCAGAACUGAUAUUAUCUUUUGAAAUUAAAUCCGGUUCAAGGAUGGAGCAUAAAAAAAUUUGAAUUAUUGAGUCAUUUAAUUAAUCAGCAAGGAUUAGGGGAUGAUAAAAAAAUCAAAACACCGAUUAAACUGAGAAAACUGGAAAAAAAAUAAUUCAAAAAACUAAACCUUAAAAAAACCCGAUUAGAAUAUUUAAAAAACUGGCCAAUUCGGUUUGGUUUUGGUUUUAUAAGCCUGAAACUGAAAAACAAAACCGAACCAAAAUUAAUAACCGAGCCAAACCCGAAAAAACCAAGCUAAACAGAAAAAAACGAGCCAAACAGCAAAAAAACGAGCCAAUCGGUUAGGUUUUGGUUUUUACUCUAAAAUAACCAAACCGAACCGAAACCGGUCGGUUUGAACCGAUUUUGAUUUUUUUGUUUGUUUUGAUUUUUAAAUUUGGUUUGGUUAUUAUUUUAAGGAAAAACCAAACUGAAUAAAAAAUAAUCAUCUCUAGUAGGGAUCAUCGAUGAAUCAUUUUAUUAAAAUAAUAUUUUUUUAAAAAAAUAUUUGAUAUUAUUUUAACUAAAUUUGUAUCAAGUUUUAUUAAAUAAAAUAAAUUAUUAAAAAACCAAUCGAGAUAAUAAAAUUCAUAUCAACAUUUUUUCUAAUUCAAUUUUAAAAUUGUCUAUGUCAAGAUCUGGAGGAUGUGCUUUCUACAUCAAAUCAGUAUGCAGGAUGGAGUUUCAAAACUAUAUUAUAUAUAAAAAAAGAUUUUGAAAUAAAAUGAUCCAUUUAUAUAUAUAAAAACAAAAACCUCGAGGUCUCGGGUCCACCGGUGGAAGCAUGAAUGGCGGUCUUCUUCUGCAUUAUUAGCACAUGUGAAAAGAAAGAUUAUAUUUUCCUGUGCAUAUAAUAAUGUUAUACCAAUCAAACCCUCCUUUUCCUGUGCAUAUUUUCCUGUGCACAUAAGUGUGCUUGUAACGUUUUUUUAUUAAGAAAUGUAUUAAAAUAUUAUUUUUUUAUUUUUUAAAAAUUAUUUCCAUAUUAACAUAUGAAAAUACAUAAAAAAAAAUUAAUUUAAAAUAAAAUUUUUUAAUACAUUUCUUAAUAAAAUAAUAUUUUAAAAACUGAGUUCACAUUGCAGAAAGCCUUGGCAGUUGGCACAAGUGGAAGGCAACCUAGAAACAGGUUUAUUUCAACAAUCCAUGUACUGACAUCUGUGUUUGUGGAAACAAAGUUGAAAAGGGCUACAUUUUCCUGUGAUGUGAUAUUGAUUCAGAGAUUUGUAGAAUAAGACGUGGUGCAGAACUGUAGAAGAUAAGGUACAAGACUAUGAAAGUCCUCAGGAAAACUGUAGAAUUGCACAGUUUGAGUGAGAAGUAUUAGACACCGCACUAGCCGCUGCUGUUUUUGGUAUUGUAAUACAUUCCGUAAUCUGAAAAAAAUUAUUUUAUAAAAAAUAUUUUUAGUUGAAAUUUAUUUAAAAAAAAUAUAUAUUUAAUUAAAAUUAUGAUUAAAAUUAAAGUUGAAUGAAAAAUAGCUUAAUAUAUUUAGUUAAAUUUUUUUUUAAAUUAAAGUUAUAUAUAUAGUUUUAAAUUUAAAUAUUAUAGAUUUAAGUAUUGUUAUUACAUCAUGAAAUAAAUAAUAUUGAUAUCAAAUAUUUUUUAUUAUUUUAUUAAACUAUGUGCAAUUUCAUCACGUUCGAAAUCUAUCCGGCAAGGACUACAUUUUCCAUUGUUUAUUAAGCGCGCAACAACAUCAGGUAAAAAUAUUAUUAAGAACAAAAUUUGAAUUGCAAUCAAAUUCUGCAAAUAUUAUGUCAUCAAACGAUCUCCUUCUAAUUUUUUAAAUAAAACACAAAUAAAAAUAAAAAUAAAAACUGAAUUUUUUAAUCUGGGUCGGACCCGGCAAUAACAAAAUUGGAAUUGCGAUCAAAUUCUGCAAAUACUACGUCAUCAAGCAAUCUCCUUCUAAUUUUUUUAAUAAAACACAAUUAAAAAAUAAAAAUUAAAUAUUUUUUUAACCGAAUCCAACCCGGUUCAAUAUAUUUAGCUUUGGACCGAACCUGGUCGAUCCGAAACAAUAACAGUAAUAGUGGAGAGUGAACUCCAGUGGAGUUCACUCUCCACUGCGUAGAGAAGCAGCUUUUGAUCAACCUGCGGUGCAACCUUAAUAAAAUGAUGGGUCCUAUCAAAAGAAGUUGUGUUUUUUACUUAACCAAACAAGAAAAAUUGUGGUUGCAGGUGAACUUUACCUGCGACCACAAUACCAAACAACUAUAAAAAAAAAUUAUUUGAUAUUAUAGUUGAAAAUGUGUUUUGUUCCAACCACAAAAAAAAAAUAAUGGUUCGGUAACCAUUUGAAACGUAAAUUUUGAAGAUGGGUCUCACUAAAAAUUAAGUUUACACAACCGGUUUUGUGAAGCAGAAAAUUACUGCUUUUCAAUUUACUUUUGCCCGCUGCUGCCAAGGGAAAGGAAAAAGGGCCCACCCAAUUUCUUAUUUGCUUCUUUUCUUCUCAGCUCAAGUAAGAGUAUUUCUUUUACUAUCAUCAUUUGUGCACUGCCAAGUGGAUUUAUCCGGCACUGUUCACGUAAACAGUACCCCUACUAUGAACAGUGUUUAUUGAACUGCGUCCAACUCAAAAAAAUUUAAUUUUUUUAAAAUUAUAUUUAUUUAAAAAAUUAAUGUUUAAUAUUAUUUAAUAACACUAUAUAAAUUAGAAAGAGAUUCUAUAAUAAUAUAGCAUUUGUGAAAUUUGAUCGCAAUUCUAAUAUUAUAAUCUUAAUUUGAAAAGUAUCUUUAAUCAAACACAUUAAACUACUUUUUAUUCGAUCUUAAUUUCAACCACAGUUUUAACCAAACAUAUAUAAAUAUGAAACCAAUCUAAACAGUUAAAUAAAUACUAAAAGACAUAAAUUGAAGUUUUUAUAAUAUUCAUAGCAAUGUUCAUCAGCUCAUUUAUAAUUCAUAAUUUAUUUAUCAAUGAAUGAAAAGUAAUAAAAGAAAAAGGAGAGAAGAAAUAAAGUGAAGUCUUCUUCUGCAUUAUUAGCACAUCACGUGAAAAGAAAGAUUGGCAUUUAAUAAAAGUUAUUCCAAUCAAAUAAAGCAAGGACAAACCAAGUUACUCCAUUUUCCUCUCACUUUUUCAACCGAUGGGGUGUCUUGGCAAAUAAAGCAAGGACAGACCGAGUUGACGCGCUCCCUAACUCCAUUUUCCUGGCCCGCGCAAUUCACGCAUACACAAACACAUCCGAACAAUAUUCAUAAAAUUAAUUAACAUCCCGUAAAAAUAUACUUUAAUUUAGAAAAGAUUUUAAAAUGUUAUUUUUUUAAUUUAAUAAUAACAAAGUUUUAUAUUAAAUUGUUUCAACUAAGUUAACAGGUUAGAUUUAUAAUUCGGGUUAUGAAAUUAUAAUACCUAGUUCCCAAAUAAACAAAUAUGGUGAAGUUUUUCCAAUCAAACCCCCUUUUUUUUUAGAUGUAAUUUCUAGAAAAAUAAAUCAAAGAUAAACAGACUAAAAUUUCAAAAUAAAAGAGAAAGAUGGAAUAUCCCACCAAUAUUUAACCCACUUAAAUUGAGCAUAUAAAAGAGUGUUAAAUGAAAAGUUAAAAAUUAAAAAAUAUUAUUUUGACUCUUUCAACUUUAUUUUAUACACCUCAAAAAAAUAUUAAAUAAAAUGUCAAAAUAUCUUUUCUUUCUUAUAAAUACUAUUUCUACAUGUCUAUUAAAAAAACCAAUACUAAAAAAGUGGAGCCAUCAAAAAAAUAAAUCAAUUAAAUAUAAUCAUUAAAAAAAAUAACAUCAAACUCAUUAAAAAAAAUAAAACACUUAUUUCUCUCACUCCAAUACAAUUAGCUUUUCAAAUAGUUUUUUCCAUUAAAAUAUAUAUAAUAAAAAAAAUUAUAUUUAUAUUAUUCAAAAUACUAUUUUAUCAAUUUAGCUAUUCAAAACAUUGUUAUUAAACCCAGACCGGCCCGACAAAUCGACCGGGUGGCUAGACCGGUUCGGGUUUGUCAAAAGACCGGUCAGUGCAACAACCCGGCAAAACUCAGUUGACCCGAUGAGUUGACCCAUGACCUGGGCGAACCCGGACGAGACCAGUUUUUGUUUUUUAAAUGUGGUUUUUCUCCUAUACCCUUCUUUUUUCAUUUUUUUUUUAGUUGGUUAUUAACACUUUUUAAAGUUUACUAUAUAAAUAUUAUAAAAAUAUUUUAUUUUUUCAAUGUAGGAUUUGAAACCCUUUAGUAUAUAUACUAUAUUUUUUCAAGAAAAAAAUUAUUUUUUCAAUGUGAGAUUUGAAACCUUUUGUAGAUAUAUUUUAUGUUCACAAGAAAAAAAUUAUUUUUUUUCAAAGUGUGAUUUGAAACCUUUCAGUUUAUAUACUGUAUGUUUCAAAGAAAAAAAUUAUUUUUUCAAGAUGAGAUUUGAAAUCCUUUAGUAUAUAUACUAUGUGUUUUUAGAUUAUUUAGAUGUGCUGAUAUCAAAAAUAAUUCUUAAAAAAUAAAAAAAUAUUAUUCAACCAACUUGGGUUAACCCAUUAAGCAUUAUUCUCGUAUCAUGGUUCAGAAUAACCUAAUAGAAAAUAAAUAAAACAAAUCAUGAAGUGUGAACCCCGGUUGAAAAUUAGGCAGAAAAGUAAUCUAAAUGUUUAUACAAUAAAUUUAACAGAAGUACCAAAUAAGCAUUAGAACAAACCAAAUACAGACAAAAGAAAAUAUAUACGUAAAUAUGAAUAAAAUAUUGUUGGGAGUGAGUUACCUGGAAAUAAAAUUAUCAAUAUGUAACUAAAUAAAAUUCAAAUUCACCCAGGUAAAAUUUUUAUAUAGACAAAUGCCGGGAAUUAGGAAUUUUAUCCCGGGAACAUGAAAUUUAAUAUUUGGGAUAUAAAGGGAAUUUGGUAAAAUUUAAGAGUGCGUGUGCGCGCACUCUCGGGUAAAAAGAAAAAUGGAGAGAAAAAAAGGAGAGGGGAAACUACCAUUUACAUGUGAGAGAGAUAGAAUUGUAACAAAAACAUAAAAUCUUAAAGGAAGAUCUUGAGGGAACAUUACCCAAGCCUAGUGAGCAUUAAUUGGAAGGAAUAAAAAUCAAGUGAAGGUGAGUAUAAAAGGAGAGAGGAAGUUCAACCAAGAUUAAAGAAGAGGAGUUGAAAGCUUGAUUUAGGAAGUGUUUAGAGUUUAAUUACUUGCUUGGUAAUGCAUUCUAAGGACUUUUGAUCUGAAUUUUAAUGGCUUAAAGUUCUUAAUUGAUUGAAUUUUUAAAAUUAAAAAGUUAGGGUUCUUGAAUAAAUUAAAAGGAAAUAAAAAUUUAUUGUAAUUUGUCAUGGGGAAUAAUGUGAAAAUUAGAGUAAAGUGAUUAAAUUAUUGUAAUUGAAGUAAAGAUUUUGAUAAUUAAAUAGAGCUAGUGGCCAACCAAAUGACGAGAGAUUUUAUGGGAUUUAAUUGUUAAUAAAUGUUGUGAAUUGAUGAAUAAUGUAGUAAGUAGAACUGUUUUUUGAAUAUCUCUUUAUAACUUUUUAAAUUUCAUGGAACAUUUGUGUUGAUUAUUGAGAUGGUGUUAAAUAUUACUAUCAUGAAAAUCAAAAAAGGAAUUGAUGUCUAGAUGAGGAAUAUCAUUGAAUUGUUGGUUCUUAUUAGAUUUUGGUAUGUAAUGGAGUCAUGAGACGUUAAAAAUUCUUGAGAAAUGUUAAAUUAAUAGCUAAAAUUCAUAGAAUGGUAUAUUUUUUAGAAAUAUAGUUAACUAUGAAAUUUAUUUGAUAAAAGAAAAGCAGGAACUUAUGGUAUAUUUCCUUGACAGUGAGUACCCGAUUAAACAAUAUCUAUAUUCAAUUAAAACUUAUGGUAUAUUUCCUUGACAGCGAAACAAAGAAAAGUAGGAACCCUGUAAUAUCUAGGUAAUUUCUAUACCCUUUUAGGUUAUGUUUGUUUUUGAGAAUUCACUUUCUGGAAAAUCACUUUUCACAUUUUUCUGUAUUUAUUUGCCAUUAGAAAAGUUGGUUAACGGAAAACACUUUCCACUCAAAGAAAAAUUUGGCUUGGUUUUUAGAAAAGUGUUUUCCUAAAAAAUUUGGGCGGAAAACACUUUUCGGAAGUUGUGAAAAAUUAGAAAUGUCAUAUUAUUUGCUGUUUAUAUCAAAGUUGAUCCUCAAACUUUUAAUUGCUAUAUAUAUUUUGUUUUGGAUAUUUAUUUUUCAAUUUCAUCUCUUAAAAUUUAAUUUUUAUAUUAAUUUUGGUCCUCAUUUUUAUAAUUGUUAUUUGCUUUUCCCUUAUCAUUUUUUUAUUGAAUUUUUUUAUAUAUCAAAUUUGGUGCUCAUUCUUUUGAUUGUUACUUAUUUUAUUUGAAAUAAUUUAUGAAAUGUUAAUUAUUAUUAUUUUAAUUUCUUCAUCUUUUAUUUUUUUUAUUUUUUAGAUUUGAUCUCUAUUAUUUUGAUUAUUAUUUAUUUUAUUUGAGAUAAUUUAUGAAAUUAUAUUUUUUUUCAAUUUCAUUCUCAUUCAACUUUUUAAUUUGUAAGAUUUGUUCCUCAUUAUUUUAAUAAACUUGAGAAAAAUAAAAUAUUAAUAAGUUAUUUUUCAGUUCAUUUUCCAUGACAUAACCAAACACCGAAAAAUGUUUUCCAACUUAUUUUCCAUUACACUGUCAAAUAUAAAAAAAUAAUUCACUUUUCUGAAAUUUAUUUUUCUAAAAUUUAUAUUUUUUAAAAAAUUAUUUUUCAAUAAACAAACAGUUCUUAAUAACUACUACAAGCUGAGGCUGUAAUGAGCUCAUGACAGAGGGAGAUCUGAAAGCGUAAUUUCAGAAGACCAUGACACAAAUCAACGGCUGAAAUCCAAUCACUCAUGGGAUGGUGACAUGUCGCAUGAGUGGAGACAGCUGGACUUCAAUACGAAAAGAAACAUAGCGUUUUCAUUGUUUAAUUUGUUUUUUUGGAGUAUCUUUGUUCUCAUGAUAGUUCUUGUGGUGAUGGAGACUUAAAAAAGAUAGUUUAUAAAAAUUAUUUUCACUCGUGAUUUGUUUGUUUAAAUAAAUGUUUAACUAAAAUUAUGAUUAAAAAUGUUUAACUAAAAUUAUGAUUAAAAUGGAUGUUUUAACUUAAAUUACCACAAAAGAUACUGGUGAAGGUGGAGAGGAUGUGAGAGACGAUUGGGUAUCUUAAACAUCAACUGUUGUUGGUGGACUAAAAGCCAUCCGCUUGAUUAAUGGUAAACACUUCAGGCUCCUUUCCCGCCCUUUUCCUGGCUGGAUCCUUGAUAUCUUCAAGGGGUGCCAGCGCCUUGUUCGAGGAUUGAGCAUAAAAGACUAAAAAGAGUUAAAUAAAUACUAAAAGACAUAAAGUGAAGUUUUUUAUAAUAUUCAUAGCAAUGGUCAUCACCUCAUUUAUAAUUUAUCAAUUAAUGAAAAGUGAUAAAAGAAGAAGAGAGAAGAAAUAAAGUGAAGUCUUCUUCCGCAUUAUUAGCACAUCACGUGAAAAGAAAGAUUGGCAUAUGAUAAAAGUUAAUCCAAUCAAACCCACUUUUUCGACGAUGGGAUCUCUUGGCAAAUAAAGCAAAGGACAAACCGAGUAAAAUGUGGGACAUAACUCCAUUUUCCUGGCACACGCAACUCACGCGUACACUAACACUAAUUUGCGAUAUUUUUUUACUUGGGAGUUUACAGGCAAAUAAGGGCUUCUUCUGCAUCAUCACAUCAUUUAAUGAAGUUUUCCAGUCAAACCCACUUUUUUCAAAGAUGGAAUUUCUAGUAAAAUGGAGUCCAGAGCAUAACAAGUGCGGAGAGAGAGAAGGCUUUUGCGAGUUCUGUUUUCUGUAUAUUUCUCAAGGGGAUAAAAUAAUGUCUUGUUACAGAUUUGUUUUUGGUAGAAUUGUUAGAGAUCUUAGCCGAUGCAUCUGAAUUAUAAUUUUUAGCAAUUAUACUAUUUUAUAGCCCUAAUAUCUUAAAAAAAACUUAUUUUCUAGCUUUUUUUUAUGGUAUGAUCAAACAUUGCAUGCUUACUCUCUGGUCUAUAUGACCAUUAACAACAAUCACUCGAAACCCACAGUCAUUGCCAUACAUAUUUAACUUGAUGUUUGAGAAUGUGAUAAUGAUUGUUUUUUAAAGUGUUUUUUAUUUUAAAAUAUAUUAAAAUAAUAUUUUUUAUUUUUUAAAAAAUUAUUUUUGACAUCAACACAUUAAAAUAAUAUGAAAACAUCAAAAAUAUAUUAAUUUAAAAUGAAAAAAAUAAAAAAAAUUUAAAUUUUAGUCAAAAAUAUAUUAGUCAAUAUCUGAAUGCAUGAUUAAUUAUGCACUUUGUAACCAUAAAUCUUCCUUUAAUCAUUCCAAAUAAGAAAAAAAAUAGAAAAGAUUUUCUCUAAUCUGUAUGGUGAGUCCCAAUUAUCACUGGCUUCCAAUUUCCAUCCCGUGCUUUCUAGCUGGAUUGGGUGUUUUUUCUCUUCUUUUCUCUUUGUUGGAAUACAAUAAUGCAUCACAACGGUUAAUUCCUUAUCGGUUCGUGUUGCAGUAAUUAUGAACGAUGAGUCCAUUUGACCUUAAAAGUAAAAGUAUCUGCUGUUCAUAACGACUCACUUAAGUUUGCAAUUGAGCUAAUUGUUCUAUAAUUACUGUAGCUAUGAAAGGUGAAGCACAAUUUCAUCCAAAACAAAACUCGUUAUUUUCAAAAAGAAAAAUUACCCCAAUUUUUUUCUUAUAUUUUAGUAUUUCUUAUAUUUAAAGGCAGUAUAGUUGUAAUAUUUUCAAGUAAUCGAAACAACCACCUAUAUAUCAAUUAUAUGAUAUACUGACUUGACUUUCCAAGUGUUUUGACUUUUGAGUACUAGAAGAAGAAAAUAUACUUCUCUCUAAAAAAUAAGGAAAUUUCGGAUGUAUUUUCUUUUAACUGGCGAAAAAACAGGAAGACGAAGAAAGGAAUAUCAUAUUUCUUGUAGGAGUAUGGUUAGCACGAGCUAUAAGAGUUGUACACGAGAGAAAAGAAAAUGGAAGGCCUAUCGACUCUCUUUUUUUCUAUGUUCACAGGUAGUACGGAUCGCUUACCAUGAACAUCAAACCUAUCGUUCAUAAACUGUGCCUAGACUUCUUUAAUCAUUUACAUAUAUAAAUUUGGUUAAUCAAGCUGGAGAAGAUCGUGUCAAGAACCAUGCUGUAUUGUUUGAUAAUGCAGGGAAUAUAAUUUUACAAGAAUAUUUUUCAAUUAAUAAAAUAUUUCUUAAAGAAAUUUUCAAUAAUCUUGUUAAAUUCCAACAAUGAGUACCCGAUUAAAUAAUAUCUACAUUCAAUUAAAACUUAUGGUAUAAUUAUCUGACAGCGAAAUAAAGAAAAGUAGGAACCUUGCAUUUGAGAAAUUUCUAUUAGGCCUCCAAUCCAAGACUGUAACGAGCCCUGGAUCUACACAGAAGAAAUUUCGUGGGAAAUGGGUUGAUGUCAGAGGGAGACAAGGAAGCGUCUUUCAGAAGAACAUGACACAAAUCAACGGCUGAAAUCCAAUCACUUAAGGGAUGGUGACACGUUACCAUGAGUAAAGAUGGAGACACUCACGUUUGGGAACGCUGCUACGGCUGCGUUCUCAAAAAAUUUGAUUUUUUUUUUUUUACUAAAAUUUAAUAUGAUUUGUAUCGUUUUGAUGUGAUGAUAUCAAAAAUGAUUUUUAAAAAAUGAAAAAAUAUCAUUAACAUUCAUUUUGACACGAAAAGUAAUUUAAAAAACAUCCACAACUACACUGACAAACAUGACAAGGGAGACAGCUGGUCUCUGGUACGAAGAGAAACAGCAGCGUUUUCAUCGUUUAAAAUGGAGUGUUUGUUUUUCUGAGUGUCUUUGUCCUCGUGAUAGCUCGUGGUGGUGGAUGUUUAAAGAUGAUUGCGUAUCUUAAUAAUUGCAAAAACAAUUGAUUUUUUUUUUUUUUUUGAUGAUUGACACACAAAACCCUAUUUUCAUAGUUAUGUUAAUUGAAGGAUAAUAAAUGGUAGAAUGACAAAUUGCCAGGUGGAAAGUUAUACCUCAUCACAACAAAUACUUUCCAGCAAAUUGAUUAAUGGCUGUUACAACUAAUUACAACGAAUACUCUUCAUUUCUUCUCUAUAGUUAUGUUAAUGGUAAAAAAAAAGUUGGAAAUUAUAAUUUUGAAAAAUAAAUUAAAAGAUAAGUGAUGAUCAAAUUAGAACUUGAUAUUUGAUAUAAAAUAUAAUUUUUUUUAAUUAAAUCCUAACAACAAAUCACAAAUCAGUUUCAAAUUAGUGAAUGUUGCCGAAGAGAAUGGCAAAAAAGAAGAAAAUUAUAUUUUAAGAAAGUCAUGGAGCCGUAUAUUUUUAUUAUAAAAGAAUCAAUAGAGAAAAGAAAAAACAUUAGAAUUGAUUGUUAUAUUUCUUGAAACAAAUAAAAAGAAACAAAAAACAAAAUAUAAAUCAUGGAUGAAUUAAAUCCUCUUGAAGACCUGCUUCAAAGUAAGAAAGAGGUAAAUACUAUUGGAAUUUAAUUGAUAUACGUUUCUUGCAUGUUGUUUCAAGUUGCAUAAAUACAAGCAAAAUACAUUUAUACAUAUUAUAUUACAAUUGAUAUAUUUUUUUGGUGCAGAACUGAUAUUAUCUUUUGAAAUUAAAUCCGGUUCAAGGAUGGAGCAUAAAAAAAUUUGAAUUAUUGAGUCAUUUAAUUAAUCAGCAAGGAUUAGGGGAUGAUAAAAAAACCAAAACACCGAUUAAACUGAGAAAACUGGAAAAAAAAUAAUUCAAAAAACUAAACCUUAAAAAACCCCGAUUAGAAUAUUUAAAAAACUGGUCAGUUUGGUUUAGUUUUGGUUUUAUAAGCCUGAAACUGAAAAACAAAACCGAACCAAAAUUAAUAACCGAGCCAAACCCGAAAAACCAAGCUAAACAGAAAAAACGAGCCAAACAGCAAAAAAACCGAGCCAAUCGGUUAGGUUUUGGUUUUUGCUCUAAAAUAACCAAACUGAAUCGAAACCGGUCGGUUUGAACCGAUUUUGAUUUUUUUGUUUGUUUUGAUUUUUAAAUUUGGUUUGGUUAUUUUUUUAAAGAAAAACCAAACUGAAUAAAAAAUAAUCAUCUCUAGUAGGGAUCACCGAUGAAUUAUUUUAUUAAAAUAAUUUUUUUUGAAAAAUAUUUGAUAUUAUUUUAACUAAAUUUGUAUCAAGUUUUAUUAAAUAAAAUAAAUUAUUAAAAAACCAAUCGAGAUAAUAAAAUUUUAUCAUAUCAACAUUUUUUCUAAUUCAAUUUUAAAAUUGUCUAUGUCAAGAUCUGGAGGAUGUGCUUUCUACAUCAAAUCAGUAUGCAGGAUGGAGUUUCAAAACUAUAUUAUAUAUAAAAAAAGAUUUUGAAAUAAAAUGAUCCAUUUAUAUAUAUAAAAACAAAAACCUCGAGGUCUAGGGUCCACCGGUGGAGGCAUGAAUGGCGGUCUUCUUCUGCAUUAUUAGCACAUGUGAAAAGAAAGAUUAUAUUUUCCUGGGCAUAUAAUAAAGUUAUUCCAAUCAAACCCUCUUUUUCAACCGAUGGGGUCUCUUGGCAAAUAAAGCAAGGACAGACUGAGAAAGAUAUCCAGAACAAUAUUCAUAACAAUAUUUAUAAAAUAAUAUAUAUAAUCUUUCUCAACCGAUCGGCAACUCACGCAUACAUAAACAUAUCCAGAACAAUAUUCAUAAAAUUAAUUAAUAUCCCAUAAAAAUAUAAUUUAAUUAAAAAAAAAAAUUAAAAUGAUACUUUUAAUAUAAAAAUAACAAAGUAUUAGAUUAAAAUGACUUGUUAUCAAGUAAUCAAAUAUUAACAUGAUCAUAAGAUUGAGAUAACUUCAUAUAAAAUAAAAUAAAAAUAAAUUAUAAAGUUCAAUUUAUAAUUAAUUUAAUAUUAAAGGAUGAGAUUAAAAAAAUUAAUUUAAAAAAAACAUAAAAAUAAUCCAAGUCAAUCUGUUAAACCCAUAAUUCGUCAUGAAACAAAUAUAACCUCAUAGAAAAAAAUAAAAAAAUAACUUGAUUUAAUUCGCUAAAUCCGCAAUUCUGAUAACGAGAACGAGAAAAUCUCAUAAAGAGCAAGUCAAAAUAUAUUAUAAAGUUUAAUUCUCAGUCGAUCAAAUAUUGAAUGAUAAAGAUGGAAAAAAAUUCAAUUAUAAAAACACAAAAAAACAACCUGAAUUAACUCAGGUUAACCCAUUAAGUAUUAUUCUCAGGUCAUGUGGUCAGAAUAACCUAAUAGAAAAUAAACAAAAUAAAAUUUAUAACUUAAUUUUCAAUUAACCUAAUAUUAAAAGAUGAAAUUAUAAAAAAAAAAUUAAAAAAAUCAAGCCAACUAAAUUAACCUAUCAAAACUAUAAUAAUAAUUAUUAUAAAAGUGAGAUAACAUACAAAAGACAAAUUUAAUAAUAAAAAAAAACACAUUGAUUAAAAGAAAAGGCAAAGCACUUAUUCAAAUAACUGUAUAAAAUAUAGUAAUAUAAUGUAUAAUGUAUAAUUUAUUUUUUUAAUUUAUAACUGAAAGUGAGAAAAGGAAGAAGAGAAAAGAAAUAAAGUGAAGUCUUGUGCUGCAAGAUCACCUCACCUGAAAAGUUUGGCAUUUAGUGAAGUUUUUCCAAAUCAAACCCACUUUUUCAAAGAUGGAAUUUCCAAGUAAAUAAAUCGAAGACAAACCUAGUAAAAUGGAGUCUAGAGCAUAACAAGUAGUUACAAAGCCGAGAAAGAAAAAGCUUUUGCGAGUUCUUUACACAAACUCUUACUUCUUAUGUAACCUGAACAAAAAUCCCUCUUCUUCUUCUUCUUCUUCUUCUUCUUUGUUUACUCUUCCUUCGUUACUUUGCAAAGAGGAUAAACCAUGGCUGAGGCUUUAGUAGGAGGAGCUUUUCUUUCUGCUUUCCUUAAUGUUUUGCUUGACAGGAUGGCUUCUCGCCAGGUGGUGAACUUCUUCAGUGGCCAAAAAAUCAACAAUAGCCUGCUGGAGAGGUUGGAGACAGCAAUGAGAUCUGCCAGUCGGGUGCUUGACGAUGCCGAGGAGAAGCAGAUAACAAGUACAGAUGUGUGGGAUUGGCUGGCCGAGAUUAAAGACGCUGUCUAUAAAGCCGACGACUUCUUGGAUGCGAUUGCUUAUAAAGCUCUACGACAGGAGUUGAAAGCUGAAGAUCAAACCUUCACAUGUCAUAUGCAGAGAUUUCUUUCUUUCUUUAACCUAUGUAAAAAUGGGCUGGGAGAGAUCGAAGAAGAAUUAAAAGUCCUCUUGCAGGAUCUAGAUCGCUUAGUUGAUCGAACGGUUGCCCUUGGUUUGAUCACCCGCACUGGAAAAGAACCAUCAUCGCCUAAAACACCCGGAGAAACUUCUCUGGUGGAUGAACGUGGUGUUUAUGGUAGAGAUAAUGACGAGAAAGCAAUACUGAAGUUACUUCUAUCAGACGAUGCAAAUGGACAAAGCCUAGGUGUUGUUCGCAUAGUGGGCAUGGGCGGGGUUGGUAAAACCACGCUUGCUCAGAUUGUAUACAAUAACAGCGAAGUACAGAGGUGCUUCAAUCUCAAAGCUUGGGUUUGUGUUUCAGAAGAUUUCAGUGUUUCAAAGCUAACCAAGGUUAUCCUUGAGGAGGUCGGUUCAAAGCCUGAUUUUGAGAGUCUGAAUCUGCUCCAGAUUCAGUUGAAGGAGAGGUUGCUGGAAAAGAAAUUUUUGCUUGUUUUAGAUGAUGUAUGGGAAGAAAAUUAUGCUAAAUGGGUCAGUUUGCUUGAACCCUUGAAGUCUGGAGCACAAGGGAGUAAGAUUCUUGUUACAACACGCCAUGAAAGGGUAGCAUCAGUCAUGCCAACUGUUCCAACUCAUCAUCUAAAAGAAUUGACGGAAGACUUCUGUUGGUCCUUGUUUGCCAAACAUGCAUUCGGUGAUGAAAAUUCCAUUGCGGAUGAAGAGUUGCAAAAAAUUGGUAGAGCAAUAGCGAAAAAGUGUAAAGGCCUGCCUCUAGCUGCAAAAUCACUCGGAGGUCUGCUAUGCAACGAAAGAGAUGUCGAGGAGUGGCGGGAUAUUUUGGAAAGCAAUCUAUGGGAUUUACCCAAAGACAAUAUCCUCCCAGCUUUGAGAUUAAGUUAUCAUCAUCUCCCGUCGCAUCUGAAGCAAUGUUUUGCUUAUUGUGCCAUAUUUCCAAAAGACUAUUCAUUUGGAAAGGAUGAAUUAGUGCUCCUUUGGAUGGCAGAGGGCUUCUUGGUCCACUCUGCAGUAGAGAUGGAAAAAGCAGGAGCUAAGUGCUUUGAUGAUCUCUUGUCAAGGUCGUUUUUCCAGCAAUCAAGUGCCUCUCGCCCCUCAUUUCUGAUGCACGAUCUCAUGCAUGACUUGGCUACCCAUGUGUCCGGUCAAUUUUGCUUCAGCUCCAGGUUGGGGGAAAAUAAUUCUUCCAAGGCCACCAGAAGGACUCGACAUUUAUCACUCGUAGUAGAUACGGAAGACGGAGAUACUGAAGGUGUUUUUUCAAGCACAAAAUUAGAAAACAUCCGUAAAGCCCAACAUCUACGCACAUUCCGAACUUUUCCACACAAUCGGAUGUGUCCUCCUGAAUUUUAUAAGGAGAUCUUUCGGUCAACACAUUGUCGCCUACGAGUGCUAUUCAUGACUAAUUGUCAAGAUGCAUCUAUGUUGUCAUGUUCAACUAGCAAGUUGAAGCAUUUGCGGUAUUUGGAUCUUUCCGGGUCAGAUUUAGUAACGUUGCCUGAAGAAGUGAGUGCUCUUCUCAAUUUGCAAACGUUGAUCUUGGAAAGUUGCCACCUACUUGCUAGUCUACCUGAUCUUGGAAAUUUGAAGCAUUUACGACAUCUGAAUCUUCAACGUACAAGAAUCGAAAGGUUGCCUGCAUCUCUGGAAAGGUUAAUCAACUUGCGGUAUCUUAACAUCUCAGACCACACCUUUGAAGGAGAUGCCACCACAUAUAGGUCAACUGACAAAGCUCCAAACGUUAACUGCCUUUAUCGUUGGAAGACAGAGUGAGUCUAGCUUUAAAGAAUUGGGAAAGCUAAGACAUCUACGGGGAGAACUUCAUAUUCGGAACCUUCAAAAUGUGGUGGAUGCUCGGGAUGCUGUUGGAGCAAAUUUGAAAGGUAGAAAACACCUUGUAAGCUUGAGGUUUACAUGGGAUGGUGACACUCAUGACCCGCAACACGUAACAAGCACACUUGAGAAAUUAGAGCCAAAUAGAAAUGUGAAGGAUCUUCAGAUUGAUGGUUAUGGAGGUUUAAGGUUUCCGGAGUGGGUAGGAGAGUCCUCUUUCUCAAAUAUAGUGUCCUUGAAGCUCAGUAGAUGUAAAAACUGCACCUCCUUACCACCGCUCGGGCAAUUAACUUCUUUAAAGGAUCUCACAAUUGAAGCAUUCGAUAAAGUUGAGACUGUGGACUCUGAGUUCUAUGGGAAUUGUACUGCUAUGAAGAAGCCAUUUGAAUCCCUCAAAACAUUACGGUUUGAAGGGAUGCCAGAAUGGCGCGAGUGGAUUUCAGACGAAGGCAGCCGGGAAGCCUUCCCUCUUCUUGAGUUUCUUUCAAUCAAAGAAUGCCCCAACCUUACAAAGGCCCUACCUGGUCACAACCUUCCACGUGUAACAAGACUUAAAAUUAAAGGAUGUGAGCAGCUCGCGACUCCACUUCCUAGGAUUCCUAGGCUGCACUCUCUCUCUGUUUCUGGAUUCCACUCCCUAGCGUCCCUACCCGAGGAAAUUGAGCAAAUGGGUUGGUCACCCUCUGAUUUAGGAAAAAUUAAUAUCAAGGGCUGGGCUUCUCUCAAAUGCAUCUCACUGGACUUGUUCCCCAAGCUAACUACUCUUUCUAUCUCUGACUGUCCAGAUCUCGAAUCACUAUGUGCACAUGAAAGACCCCUCAAUGAUCUCACCUCUCUCCAUUCUUUGGAAAUCGAGCAGUGCCCUAAAUUAGUUUCAUUUCCCAAAGGAGGGUUACCUGCUCCAGUCUUAACAGAACUUACGUUACGACAUUGCAGAAAUUUGAAGCAGUUGCCUGAGAGGAUGCCUUCCCUCCUUCCAUCCCUUGACUUUUUGGGAAUAUUUGGUUGUUCAGAAGUUGAGUUGUGUCCAGAAGGCGGUUUUCCCUCCACAUUACACUUUCUUUGGAUUCGUAAUUGCAACAAACUCAUUGCAGGCCGCAUGCAAUGGGGCUUGCAAACGCUCACUUCUCUUUCAGUGUUUUUUAUUGGUGAAGACGAAAAUGUUGAAUCCUUCCCUGAAGAGAUGCUGCUGCCCUCAAGUCUUACAUAUCUUAACAUCUCUGACCUACAACACCUGAAAUCUCUUGACUACAAGGGGCUUCAACACCUCACCUCCCUUAAACAAUUGAAUAUACAUGACUGCCCUCUGCUUGAGUCAAUGCCAGAAGAAGGGUUGCCCUCCUCCCUUUCUGCUCUUUUUAUUGUAGAUUGUCCUAUGCUGGGUGAAAGUUGUGAAAGAAAAGGUAAAUAUUGGCCCAAGAUUUCUCACAUUCCUAUCCUAAGUAUUAACCGAGCAAAAAGUAGCUUUUCUUUCAAUCGUCCAACAUAUUUUUUGAGGUAUUGCUCCUAGAAAGCUGUAUGUUUUUAUUUGUUGUAUGUUGAAAUACAGAUAAUUUCUUCCAUAAUUAUUGUCUCUCAUUCAUCUCCAUAAAUAAUAAUCAUCAUUCUAUUUCAAUAAUAAUCAUCAAAUGCGGCAAAUAAACAUCACAUGCUUCAGAUUUUGAACUGCCAGCGCCGUCCUUAAAAAACAAGUGUCCAUCUUAAAAGAUUAAAAAAUAUUUAAGUAAUCUGCAACAGAUUUUUCAUUGUUGACGCGGCAAAAUCAAAAUUCAAAAUUUAAGUAAUCAAAAUUCAAAAAUCUCCGUUCUCUCCUUUUCUCCUUUUCCGCAUCUCCAAAAAUUCAAAAUCCAAAAACUUUUGAUUUAUCUAUUUUAUUAUUACUUAACUUUUCUUGAAGUUUACUUUCAUAAAAGAUCUUUUAUAGAUAUAAAAAGAAGAGAUAAUAUAAAAUUCAUCCGUAUUGGAAUCACAAUUCAGAAUCAAGUGAAAGUGGCCAAUGUCACUGAAGAGAAAGGAUUAAAGCACAGAAAGUCAUCAUCUUGAGAACUCACAGCAAAGAGUUCAUUGUUUUGCAGUAGAUACGUAGCUAUAUUAACAACAAUACUUCCAGCAUGCACAAAUGCGACUUCUUGAUGGUUACGCUGCUAAAGACAUUUACAAAUCCCCAUCAAUACUGGUGUUUAUUCCUCAUGAUGAUCCAGUGAGCUCACAAUAAAAGAAAACCUCGGCAUUACUAGUAAAUCGUCACUGCAAGCAUGGAAGAGAUUCAGGUAGGAAUUACCCUUGUCUUCAUUGAGAGGCUUUAACCUCCCUAGCUCCUUCAUCAGCAGGCCCAUUGUUUGAUGCAUCCUCUGAAGCGUCUAAGCAAGGAUUGCUUUUACACUGACUUACAGGCUGAGCAUUGGUCAAGAGACUAGAAAGUUGAGACCCCUUUUGCGAAAAGUUUGGUUUACCUUUCGGAGUCUCAGACAGGCUUCCCGUUGACAGCUUUACUAGGCCAUUGUCUUGUGCUCACACGGGAGCUUAAUUGAAAAAGGUGAUUCAGGUGUCUCAGGAUGCUUCCCAGGAAUAUCCAUCGGUCUAUGAAACAGCAAAUGAGCCACAGUCCGGUCUACGGGAUUUGUCUCUGUUUCCACCUCAGGCAUCUUAACCACCCUGCAGUAUACUCAUAAAAUCCAUGAGGAAAAUGACAGGCAAGUUUGAGAUUGCCAUACUCUAAACAAAUUGAUAAACAAAUUGAUAAACACUUGAUUAAUAAUUUUGUGCAUACAAAUUGAAUAAUUUGAAAUGGGAAGGACGAGAUGUAAAGGAACAAACCCAUUGGAACAAGGAACAAUCACAUUGUCGCUUACAACAAAAAAUCGAGUUUCAGAUCAAAAGAGCGUAUGGUUUUGGCUGGAAGUGUCCCAUUGAGACAUAGAUGAGCCGAUUAGAAGAUGAUUUGAGUUCUUAAAUUUUCUUGCUUAAAAUGUAAUGUAACAUGAAUCUGCAGAUGAUCAUUAUAUUAGAAGGGAAAUUUAAUUUUGCCCUAUUUAUCUAAAGUUGUGCAAGUUCUCUGCAUUGAUGAUUUCAGUGAAUCUGUACAGAUCUUGUUUUCCUUCUAUUUGUCCUUGAAUAAACUUAUUGCACUUGCUUAACAUUCUUUGUCUCUCUCUCUUAGUUAAAUCUAGCAAAAUUUAUCAGGUAUGUUGUGCCACUCAUUUAGACUUGGAUGUGCGUGUUUAGCUCUCCUUUUCGGAUUAAGGUGAUUAUGCACAAAUUCACUGGAAUCAACAUUGCAGAAAACUUGCAUAGAUUUUGUUAAUAUUGGAAAAAUUAAAUUUCCUUUUCUAAUUAAAUGAAAAUCUCUACUAAAUAUUAUGCUAUUUGAAUUGUCACCUCAUGACUACUUGCUGCACUGCACUCAUGAAUGCUGCACCAGGGUAAAGCUACAAAUGUCAGUUUUUAAUAUCUGCCUCUACCUAGCUCGGCCUACAAUACCAAAGUUUCUCUCCUACAAAUGCCAGUUUAAUAUCUGCCUCUACCAUAACAGAACCAGUGGAAGCGAACUACUACAUAUUUGAUCAACAAGGUCAAAUUCAGUCAAGUUUUUAAGGAAAUCCAGUGAAAGAGGAACCUAAAAUUUUCUGUUUAGAUUUUCUUCUACUUCUAAGAACAAGCGCGGCCUUAAUUGAAUUGUUUCAGUCACUAUUCCUCCAUUGUAAAUAGAGGAUACCGCUUUCAAUAUUUAUUUCUAGAAUUAGAAUGGAAAACAGAAAAUGGUGAUGGCAUUAAAAGAUCCUAAUCUAACAUUUCUAUAGAGCAAAAAUGUUUAAAAAAAGAGAGGAUAGAUUAAAUUUGAAAACAGAAGCAUGAGAAAUGCAUUGCCUUAACCAACCUUCUUUGACUGCUGGUUUCCUCUUUUGCAGCAACUUGUUCGUCCCUGCUACUAUUGUUUGUACUGCCAGUAUCACUAGCAUAAUGCCUUUGCAUUGCACUUUGAGCCAGCCGGAACAAGCUAUCCCGAAUACAAAGUCUAAUUCUGACAUCCAACUGUUGUAAAACAUUGGUUUGGAAUCGUAACCAAUUCUUGAAGCAUGUAGAGUACUGUGUCCUCCAUUGAAUAAUCAUUAACCGCCAGAGAGACUGUAUUGGAAUCGUCUUGCUCAAUAGGCGAGUUUGGGUCAAAUGAAGCAAGUGUACUUAGAUCCUCUACUUCAGGGCCAGCUCCUUCAACAUGCUGAAUUUGAUUUUCUUGGGAACACUUUUGAUGAACAAGCUGCUGCUGCUGUUUCUGAAUGGCAAGCAUUGCCUGCAUUUGUUGCCGCCUCCUUAAUUUUUCAAUCUUUUCCUGAGGUGUCAUUCUCUGGGGUUUCACUGGACAGUCAGCUAACUUGUUUAUAGGAUUUGCAUUGCCUGAAACUUCAUAACCAGAAAUUUUAGGUCGAUGAUUAAAUGACUAGAAAUUUUGUUGGAAAGUCAGAAAACUUUAACAGGAUUCGCAUUACCUGAAGAAACUUCAUAACCAGAAGCUAAAGGUUGAUGCUUAAAAUCCCCAGACUGAAUGUGGGACAACCCAGGCAUAGAAUAUGGAUUUGUAAUACUCGUAUGCAGAAGGGGCCACAAAUGGAUUGGAUAUCUGCUGGUACUGCAACUGCUCGGAACCCUGUAGCUGCUUCUGUUGGCUGAGAAUUGAAGGGGGAGAAGAUUGCUUAAUUUGGGGUGCUAAAUGAUCCUUAAGUUGACAGGCUGGGAUUCCAGAUGAAGUCCAUUUUCCAUAAAAAUCUUGGUAUGAUUUCAGUUCACCUUUUUCUUCCAGUUUUUCCCGACCUUUCAAGAUCUUCUUUUGCCUGUGAGUCUGAUCACAGAACUAUAAACAUAUGAAUAGACAAAUUACUUAGAAUAGAUCAACGUUUUAACCAUCUAGACCUGCAGGGGAGAGUGACUAAGGCACAGUUAGUAUUUUAAUUAAGUACAUGGUUUGUAAGGAUAAAUUCAAUGUUAUUUUUUUUUUUUAACUGUAACUUAUGAUCCAAAGGGCUUCUAUUGUUCAGAAUAUAUUGAGGUAUUAGCUAAACUAGGCAAAGCAAACAGAAUUUGCAUGUCCCUGGGAAGAGUGGAUGUCAUGCUAGAAAUAUAAAUAACUGAUGCCUCCUGAAUUUUCACAUGUUAUUCCUUUCUCCUUCCUACUCACAGAAAACCACACAAUGGCUUUACUUUAGGCAAUCGAUAUCAUGGUUAAGUCAUGGGAAGCUGAAAUGACAUCUCUGUCAGGCAUUUCAGCUUCCCAUGACUUAACCAUGAUAUCGAUUCCCAUCUUGAUAAUUAUAGAAGUGAUGACUAAAUCAUGUAAAUCCAUAUUCACCCAACAUCCAAGUUUAUUCUCAUUCCAAAAAAUAAAACUAAAAAUAAUAGCAAGAAAUAUGAAGAGACGAAGAGGAAUUUAAAUAAUAUAAUUUCUCUUUUCUGUCGCCAUUUUCCAUUCCAGAGAAGUACUCGGGAAGUCUUAAUAAGUUCAAGUGUAAGGUAACUUUUACCCUUCCCAGCUCUAAUUAGGUUUCGCUGUCCCUCCAAUCUAAUUUAAGAUCUAAUAUGAGGAAACCACACUGUAUUAGUGAAAGGAUCACAAUAUCAAGAUUUUCCAACUUCAAUUCACUGAUAUAACUUUUCUUGAAUCCUGGACAAAAGAACUUAGAACAUCAAAAGAUCAUAGCAGGAUUCUAAAAAACAAAGAUUGUAUUUGGUGCUUAUUGAGUCUAAAAGUUAUCCUGGAUGAAAAGGGUAAAAAUCAGUAACAUGUCUGGUUCAGUAUCAAGAUUUUGAAAAUAUCAAAAGGAAGAAAAAAAAAAGGUACCUUGUUUGCUAAUUCAUUUGGAAAAGCACCAUUUUCCUCUGUCAGUUGAGAGUUAGCCGCCGUGUUCUUUCCCACAACAGCCAAAUCUGUCUGCAAAAGCACAAUAAAUAAAUAAAAAUAAAUGCUAAGCUUCUCUCAGCUCCUGCACUUGAGCAUGGGGCAUUAAUAAGUGAACUCAUUACUGAAAAUUGAGUUGCUAUACCUGCUCCUUCAGUAUAGGCUUGUUUUUACCUUCAUCAUAUUCUACAUGAUCAAGGCUUGCCUGAGUAUUCUGCAGACCAUGAGAUGCAGGAUCGUUCAUUUUUCCAUAGCCAAGGGUAAACAGCCGGUCCUCUUCUUGUGCAUACUCUUCUCUCGAAGCCACAGAUAUUGGAAAGGGCUUUACCGGGCUUUUAGUUAUAUCUUUAGAAGAAGACUGUUAGAGGUCUAGGCGCGGGGCGCGCCAACGAAGGCACAUUGCCUAGAAUUCGGCAGCGAUGGACUGCGGCAGAAACGAAUUCGGCAGGCAGCGUGCAUGGUCUGUGCAAGUCUUUGAGCUGGCGACUUGGCAUGGACGUGGGGCUUAGACAAUGGACCUUCUAAGUCAGCAGCUGAUGCAGCAGAAAUUGGCAAUUGGGGGCUGCCAAGUAGACAGCCAGGAAAUGGGGGAAGUGGCAGCUUCAUGGGAAGCAAAACGUGGGAGCAUAAAAUGGGGUGUUCUCCAUGCCACUAAGUCCUGGAAACAUGGGAUCAUGGAUGAGAGGUAGUGCUCCACUAUAUCCUGAAAACAUGGGAUCAUGGGUUCGAGAAAGUGCUCCACUAGGUCCCGAAAAUAGGGGUUAAUGGGGGGGAGCUUGCUGCUCAUAUUUGUCUAUAAAUAGGCUGCCAAGCCUCUGUUGUGGAGCUUGCGAUUUGUGCAUAGCACACACCAUAUUGNNNNNNNNNNNNNNNNNNNNNNNNNNNNNNNNNNNNNNNNNNNNNNNNNNNNNNNNNNNNNNNNNNNNNNNNNNNNNNNNNNNNNNNNNNNNNNNNNNNNAAAGAACUGGUCACAAGAGGUUUACAUACCACUUUGAUUACUGACUCAGCAGUUUUUGCCAUGAUUUCCCGUGUGAACAUGGUAUGAGAGAGUUUAGUUUUUUUCUUUUCUUGUCUAUUUUUUUGGUAUUGGUCUGCUUACUAUUUUGAUCCAUCUUAAAUUUUUUAUGGAAAGGUUAUAGUUGGAGCUCAUGCUGUAAUGGCCAAUGGUGGUGUGAUAGUACCUGUUGGGCUGAAUAUGGUUGCACUUGCAGCUCAAAAGCAUGCUGUACCUUUUGUCGUGCUUGCAGGCAGUCACAAGGUAAUUUAGCACAAUAAUAUCCCUUAGAGUUUUGGUAGUGAGCAAGUAAACAAACUGCCAUAUUUGAAUUGCUUGUUCUGUUUUUGCUAUUGAAUGGCAUGCUGCUGUCAUACUGCUUUACUUGUGACGGAAAAUAAUGGCAACUAUAUAGCAAUAAAUGGAAUGUCUCUUCUGUGGCCCAGAAGAUGUUUGUCAUUUCCUUCUCUGCAUCUUUUUUCUGUUAGUGUUGGUGUUUGUUGCAGGGCCAUGUGCCAGCUCAUACUGACCUAAUGAAACCCAAAUAGGCUAUAAUUUGAUUGAACUACAAGCAUAAGAAUUGCAAGUUAUAAAAAAUAAGUCCCGCCUUUGGUGCUCCUAAAAUCUUAACAUUUUGUCUUUUUCUAACUUGUUGCGUUCUUCUGAACUCAGAUCAUUGUUUAUUAUAUUUAUUUCUAGAUUUUUUUUUCUAAUGUUUAAUUUAUAGAAAUCUAGUACACAUAACAGGGAUGAAAAUGCCCAGGGAGGACAGAAAUUUUUUAUGAAUCCAAACACGAAGACAAAUGAAGAAAAACAAAUAUGGAAUUUCUUUGUUUAAUUGUAACUGGAUGGUGUCAAUAGUUAAUCCUUGUGUGUUUUGUCUCUGAUUUUGUGGCCUUGCUAAUUAUACAGUCAGUAAAACGACUUGGAUAAUGUUAAUGACUUUUGUGAUGGUAGACUUUGAAUUUUAAAUACUGUUCUGAUUCUUGCUUUAAUCCUUCGUACACUUGGCUGUUUUUCUUGGAUGGAAGCUGUGUCCCUUGUACCCUCACAAUCCUGAGGUCUUACUAAAUGAAUUGAGAUCUCCAUCCGAGCUUCUGGAUUUUGGAGAAUUCUCAGAUUGCUUAGAUUUUGGGAGCGGUACGGGCUCUCCUCUUCUUCAUGUUGUCAAUCCAGCAUUUGAUUAUGUGCCACCAAAGCUUGUUAGUCUGUUUAUCACUGACACGUAAGUUCUAGUACUUUUGAGGACAUCUUUUAAUGUUAACCACUGAUGCAAAUCAUUGAUUAGAAUAAUACUUAUUCCACUAAACAGUGUUAGGUCUCUGGUGCCAAAUCAGAUGGAUUUGAUAUAAUUAUGUCAAGUUCCAACUUCCAAAUCUUAAAUUAUUUAUAUUUUCAUCUCAUGCAAUUCUAACCGCUGUUAAUUUCUAAUUACUUCACAGUGGAGGGCACAAUCCAUCAUACAUGUACCGACUCAUUGCAGAUUAUUACUCCGCCGAUGAUUUGGUGGUGCGAAGAAGGGUUGCUUUGGGAAAUUGAGCUCAAGUCACUUUUGUUUACAAUAUUAUCUGUAAGUUUCCUCAUUCAUGUUGCUUUGUUAAUGGAAGAAUAGAGUUUGCCAAGUACAUACAGAUUUUCACCAUGAAGAAAGUUUGCUAUCUGAAGCACAAAUCAUGCUAUCUUUCUUGUAGUCUUUCACUGAACAAAUGGAAAUGGAAUCUGUUAGUUGCUAGAAUGACAUUUCUCAUCAUCUCAAUUCCCUUUCAGUUAUUUCUUGUCUUUCUCUGUAUGAAUUUGCUGCCCCCUCCCCCCGCACUGUUGCUGAAGUUGUUUUCAUUUCUCUCAUCUACCGUGGCUGAUCUCAAUUCAGAUUGCUUUUCACAAAUUAUGCAUCGCAAAAGGAUAAAUGUUUGGGUAAUGCCUGCCCUUGUGUUGUAUAUACAUUGCGAUUCCAUUACGGAACAUAAGCUGUAUCCAUAGUGUCCACAUGAGGGUAUCUCAUGACCACUUAAAACUCAACUUCUUUGUUUCUCUUUUGUUGCAAUUAUGUUAAAUUAUGAUAACUUAUAAUGCUUAGUAAGUGGUUGCAAAUACCAAUAACUUCAACUUUCUUGGGACAUAAUAGGGCCAUUGCUUGUUGUCGCCGCUUUUCUGAUAUUUUCCUGUUUUCACCUUUCAGGUAGUUUAGGAGUUACCAUGGUAAGAAGUGAUGGAUGAGGAUAGAGUAGUUUUGUCUCAGUGUAUGGAAGCAUUUAACCAUUGUUUAUGCUGGAAGAGAAGCAAACUUGUUGAUAGGGGGCAAUGCGAGGGGUAGACUAGCCAGGAAAUGACCAUUUUUUUUUAUUAUUAUUGAAGCAAAGGGCUAAGAGCUAAGAGCUACACUGAGAAGGAACGAAUGCCAUGAUGGUUGUAGCAAGUUAUAAACUAUGUAUGCCGUGUCAAAACUGUGAAAAGGAAAGGAAAAAGGAGCAACAGGUUAUAUCGAGUUUAAUCGAAAACUUGAGAACAAUUUGCACGUGGAGAAUGCGAUGGUUAGUGGGCUGUGUCGUGUGAGCACAUUUGAAAGUACUAUGGUUUAUUAGUUUUUGUUAGGAGGAGUUUUCGGUUUCCAAUACCUGAAGUUUUUUUUUUUUAAAUCUUUGUAUUUAUAUUUACUUCUCCUUUUAUCUUUAAUUUCUCAUGAAUAUGAAUAAAAGUACCAGAUUAAUUUGAAAAACUUGAGCUUGAUUAGGGUUGGGUUUUAAGAGACUCUUUUCAAGUGUGUUUUUUAAAAUAUAUUUUUAUUUAGAAAUGUAUUAAAAUAUUUAUUUUAUUUUAUUUUUGAUAUUAAUAUAAUUAACAAAGUAAAUUUAAAAUUAAAAAAAUAUUUUUUUAAAAAAACAUGAUAUAAUUGUAAAAUUAAAAAAAAAAUAUUGAUAAAGUCAAAACCUAGUUGAUCAAUAGGGUUGAUUUAUGUUCUAGUUGCCAAAUAAACCCAGUUCAAACUUGUUGAAUCAAUAUUAAGGAAAUUGGAAAUUUGAAGUUCAAAUUUAUUUGAUCAACAUGAAGUACAUUUUUUUUAAAUGAAAGAUGUUUUAAAAAAGUAAUUAGCUUGAUACUAUGUGAGUUUAUCCAAUAACCUAAUAAUUUGGUUUUUUAGGAGCAGUUCCAAACCACUCUGAUAACAUCCAUGUUGAAUAAGGAGAGAGACUCUUGAUCACCUGUAAAUUCUUCGGAAUGUUCAAACUGACAAAAAAAGAGAGUAUAGAAGUUGAUUUGAUGAAAUAUUAAAAUAUAGGGACCAAACAUGAUUUUUAUCAAAAUAGUAGUCACUCACAUACACGUGCUUUCACCUAGCAAGCCGGCAACACAAUUCCCAGUCCAACUUCCAUCCUUGCCGGUGACGGAAUAUAGCCCCCACCAAUCACAUUCCUCCACCUCAUCCUUUCCCUUCUGUUCCUCUCCCAUCACUUGUCUCCUCUUCACCAUCACCGUUUCUUUCCCGUCAACCAUAAAAAACCCAACACCUUGAGAAAAAAAAAAAAAAAACCACCCCCUGCCCUCUCUCAUCAGAAUCAUCAAAAUCAGAUCUGAUUGUUAUUUCAUCGACUGCCGAUCAUGGAAGACGACGAUGAGAUACAGUCACACUCAAACACCACCGAAUAUUCCUCACCGUCACCACCACCACCGAACGGAAGAAUCACCGUAUCUGCUCCCGCCGCCGUGCAUCCACAGCCGGUACCACCGCCACCGCAACAGAACAACAAGAACCGCUUAGCACUUGUUUUGCCGACGAAGCCGAAAGUGAACGGAGGCGGAGGAGGAGGAGGAGGGAGAGAGGACUGCUGGAGCGAAGGAGCAACGGCGGUGUUGAUCGACGCCUGGGGAGAAAGGUACUUAGAGCUAAGCAGAGGGAAUUUGAAGCAGAAGCAUUGGAAGGAGGUAGCGGAAAUUGUAAGUAGUAGAGAGGAUUAUUCUAAGUCUUCGAAAAUUGAUAUUCAAUGUAAGAAUAGAAUUGAUACCGUGAAGAAAAAGUAUAAAUUGGAAAAAGCUAAAAUUGCUUCAGGUGGAGGGCCGAGUGGUUGGCCUUUCUUUGAUCCUUUGGAUAGAUUAAUUGGCUCCACAGCGAGGAUUCCUGUUGUUGGAAAUGGUAAUGUGGGUGGUAAAAUUCCUACUAGGGUUCGUAGUGGUAGUAGGAGGGGUGGUGUGAAUCAGUAUCAUUUUCGGAAUCAGAAUGUGAAAAUUCGGAUUCUGAAACAUGAGGAGGAUGAGGAUGAUGAGGAGGAGGGUGAGGAAGAGGAGGGGGGUGCGGAAUCGGAUGAUAGUUUUCCGCCGAUGAAGAAGAGGAGAGUGGUGGUGGAGAGGGAAGUGAGGGGGAAAGUGGGGAAGGAAAAAAGAGGAGGAGGGUGGGGGAAUUCGAUCAGGAUGUGACGCAAGCAAUGGUGAAGUUUGGGGAAGCCUAUGAGCAAGCUGAGAGUGCCAAGUUGCAGCAAGUGGUGGAGAUGGAGAAGACGAGGAUGGAGUUCGUGAAAGAGUUGGAGUUGCAAAGGAUGCAGUUUUUUAUGCAGACACAGAUGGGGAUUUCGCAGUUGAAGAACGCGAGAAGGGGAGGGAAUGCUACCAGUAAUCAUUAUCAUCAUCAAUACCAUCGUCAUCAUACUGGUAACAAUAUUAAUGCUAGCAAUAAUGUUAACAACAGUGAUAGUGAUAAUUAAGUGAAUGUAGAGUUGUUGGUUAGUGUUAAAAUUUUAGAAUCUUAGAUUUUAUUAGGUUUGUGUGUUUUGUAGUAGAAGAAUGCCCCAUUAAGGGUGGAGAUUUAUAAUGUUAGCUGUGUUGCUUAUGGUGUUUAAUUUGGAGUACAGUGAUGUGAUUUCAUACUUAUUUGUGUCAGCAUGCAUUUUGCAAAGGGCACUAGCUUGAUUAAUAGUUUUUUAGAGAGUCUGUUAACGUAGCAGAUGUGAAGUUUACAUUUCAAGGGACGAGUUCUAGUUCUACAGUUACUGCUUUAAUUUGUCAGCGGCAUCUUUACUCAAUUUCAGCAAGGGAUUGUCUGAUGUUCAUCUAUAAUAGCAGCAGAUAACUAAUUGUAGCUGAAGAAAAGCUAUUAUAAAGAAUGGUAUGCGAGAGCGAUUUCAGAGGGACACAUCAAACGGGAGAUAAUUUCUGUCUCUUUUCAGCACUGUCUCCUCUCCCCUCUCCCCUCUCUCUUCUUGCUUCCUCCCCAUGAACCCGCAUCCUCCUUCCCUUCUGUUCUUUCAAUCUAUUGGAGAAGAUGUUGUAUUGGUGGUGAAACUGCUUGCCUACAAUAUUUGUGUUCUGACCUUCAUUGGUGUUCUAUGGCUUUGUUGCCGCCUUCUAGCCUUUUGGUGUUGCACGGUGCUGCUGCUUUUUGGCUGUUUCCUCAUCUCCGGUGUUACAUAGGCAGCUGCUGGCUCCUCUUGUAUCUUUUGGGUUUUGGCAUCAUUUGGUUCCUGCCAUUUUCUAUUCUCCGGCCGUAGAAGCUGACAGCAAUCCUCCGACUCUGUUCUCAUGGUCAGAUGCUUCCUCUGUUUUCUCCUGGCAUUAAAAUCACAGCUCACCCUCAAAUCUUAUUGCCUUUGGUCAUUUUCUUGAAUGGUGCUUGGUGUUGUCUUCGAGUGUUUGCAGUGUCGUAAUUUGCUGGAGUUUUUGUAGUAUUUGAAUUGUGGUUGAUUGAGCUGCAGAAUUAGAGGGAAUUGAAUCCGUGCUAUGGGUUAUCAUGUGAUAUCAUCAUUCAUCAACAAUUAAUUGAAUGGGUUUCUACAUGAAAUAUUUUUAGUUUCUUAAUCAAUAAUUUGAAGUUUUUAAUUGGAAGUCAAAUUAUUCUUAGAGAAUAAUAUAAUUAAACUAAAUCUUGGUUAAUUGAUUGCUAGCAGAGGUGUAAAUUUACAUGGCUUCAAAAUGAAGCUUAUCUUGAAUAUCUUCCACUUAAUUUUAUCAAAUAAUAUAAUUUUGAAAUAAAUUAUUUGUAGAAUAAUUUUGAAUGAUAUAAAUCAAAUAAAUGUUAAAACAUUCAGUUUUGUUGUACCUCUCAUUUGAAACUAACGCUUUGUAUGUUUUUUAUAAAAUAAAAUAAAUCCUAAACUUCUUAUGGACUAAAAUGUUUUUAUAGAAAAUAUGAGGAUUAAAAAACAUUCAUGAACAUUUAAGAAAAGCUUUUUUUUAUCUCUGUGGGCUAGGUAUGAUGUAUGCAGGUAUGGAUAUGGGUCUUGGCUUAGAAUGAUAGAUAUGGGUCUAGUAGGAGCACAAUAUUUUUUAAUGGUAACGAAUGAGCUACGCCUACCAGGCUGGUUGCUCAGUCUUGUUUUUUUUUUUUUACUAGAAUUCAUUUCUUUAUAAAGCAUGAAUCUGUAACCAAAUUUGCUUAAUCUAUAGAAAAUAAAAGCGAUAAUCUUUUUUCAAAAAUUCCACCAUCUUCCUCGACCAAUUUUUUUGUUUUUGUUUCUAUACAUAUUAUAAUUAGUUACAAAUAUAAUACCCAAUUUAAUAAAAUCAUAAACAAAAUUCCAAGACUUUCCACACAUCAAUUUAUUUUCUCUUUAUAUUAUGAAUAAAAAAAAUCAAUAAGAGAUGAGGAAAAAAUCAAAGAGGAAAAAAAAUAAAAUUAAAAAUAUCUUAAAUGAAAAAAAAUUAAAGAAAAUGAAAUUAAUUAUCGGUAUAUUAGAGGCCUUUUGCUAUGUGCUCAUAGUGUCACUAUAAAAAAUGAUAAGUCUUAAAUAAUUAUCGUUUUUUUUUAUUCUAAUAAGUAAGAGACAAACAGAUAUGUCUUAAAUAAAAUGACUCUUCGUGAUAUACAAACUCACGGUUAGGCCUCCAAACUGAGGCUGUAACGAGCCGAGUUACAGCUUGGAUCUACAAACCCUGGAUCUACAAACACUGAAGAAAUUUCAUGGGAAAUGGGCUGAUGUCAGAUGGAGAAAUUUCUGUGCUGAUGCCAGCUAUGUUGUUGCCACUGGACAGAGAGACUUCUUCAACCACCAAUCAAAUUAUUCUUAUUGACUUUCUGUGCAGUUUGGCACGGUUUUGCUGUCAAAGUUCAGAAACCCUAGCUAUUAGAAUAGACAAGUGUUUGUCUUUGUAUUUUAAAUUAUUAUUUUUAAUUGACUCCACAAGAGAGAGAUGCCAUCCCCGCAAUACAAAACUCUCGAAAAAAUAAUGAUCGUGCCAUCACCGGUGGUUGUGCUGUUCUAUAAUAUCACAAGCCACACGAGUAGCUGAUUAGAAAGAUUUUGUAGGCAUGGCAUGAUUGACGAAUGAUGGGGGAAGGGGCAAUGGGAGCCACAUGAUCCAUUUCAUGGUUGUUCCUUGCUUGUAGAAAGAAGAUCAUGCCAUCAAGGAUCUUGCGGGAUUGCUAUCUUGCUCGGUGUUGAUUUACAAUAAUGGCUGCACAUGAACCCGUCCAGCAGAACAAAUCCCCACAAGUAAUUGUCUAUCACACUCAAAUUAAUUUGAGAUUUCUGUUUCACUGCCUCCAGAGAAGAAUAUAGUUAUUAAACCUCUCUCUUCUCCUUCAAUAUUACAGUAACGAUGUUAUUUUAAGAUUUUUUUUUUUAAAAAAUAAAACAAUUAUUAAGCUUUCCUUUGAGUUCAAACAAAUCAAGGUUGCUUAUUUGACCUGCCUGCGGGGCUUUGCUCAUAGAAUAAGACAUGUAAAUCUAGGAAAGAAAAAGUUUAAUAUAUAGUUUUAAUUUUUUAUUUGGUUUAAGACCCACCCAAAAAUUUAAUAACCACAAUGUAAUUUGAUGUUUGUGUUCCAUGGCUUCGUGUUAUGGAUGCGUGCUAUUGCAAAAAAAUAAACAAUGUAGCUUGCCAAAUAUAUAUAUAUAUAUAGCUGUGUCUUAAGUUGCUUAUAUAACUAAUUAUAACUUUUAAUCUCUAUAAGCCCAACUACAUCAUUAAAAAGAAGUUCAAUUGUCAUUUCUAAAAUUAAUUGAGUCCAAGUUAUUGAUAAAAGUAUUAGGAAAUCAAGUUUUUAUUUAUUUAUUUAUUUAUUUAUUGUGAUUUUUAAUAUAUUUAUAUAGUGAAUUUUUUAGAAUGUGCAUACAUGAAAAUGAAACAUCAAAUAUGUUAUUGAUGGUUCGGAAAUAAUCCCAAAGUAUACCAAAUAAUUCCUUCCAAUCAAUCCACCCCAUUCUUCUCUGGAUCGUGUUAAAAACCAUGCUGUAUAUGUUUGAUAAUGCAGUGAAUAUAAUUUUACAAAAAUAUUUUUCAAUUAAUAAAAUAUUUAUUAAAGAAAUUUUCAAUCAAUCCACCCCAUUCCCUCCUGCUGUGCUGAUGAUGGGGAAUGGGAGAUAGUUCAAAGGAUUUGCCUCACAUUCAAGUAUGCAACUGUUUAUGGUUAGCCUCACAUAUAAAUAAACAUACAAGGUUACAUAUAUAUACUAUGACAAGUCCUUAAAAUUCCUGUUGUGAUAACCUAAAAUUUUACUCUCUUUUUUACUAUAUAUAUUUUUUUCAAAUAAUAAUAAAAAAAUGAUGGAAAAAAAAAUAAUGAUAAAAAAAUGAAAUGAAUGAAGAAUAAAUUAAAUUUUGGUUUAAGACAACAUAAUUGACAGUUCAGGGACUUAAUUAAACUUUGGAUUAGUUUAAUUAACCAAAUAAAGGGCUUAAAUUGAAGAGUUGUUGACUUUUGAGACUUAAUUGAAAUUGAAAUUAGUUUAAUUAAUGAAAUAAAAGGGUUUAAUUGAAAAAAUAUCAAAGUUUGAGGCUGAUUUGGAUCAAAAUUGCAAGGAAUUAAAAUUCAAAGACCAAAUUGAAAAGGUGGGGGGUACCAUAGGGAGCUUAAUUGAUUUUUCUAGGGGUAAUUUUGAAAGAAUUAAAAGUUGAAGAGUCAAUGAAGGACUGAAUUGAGAAAUUUAGAAACCUAGGAUUGUUUCGUAAAAUACGCUGAGAUGCAGGGGUCUAAUUAAAGUUUAUCCAGGGUGCUUAAUUACAAAACUUCAAGGGCAAAAACGUAAAUGACCAUUGACAUCAAACAAUGCCAUUUCCAGACGUUGUUCAUCUUCUUCACUCGACCGAAAAACAACAGAUGCCCCUGCCAUCGCCAACCAUUACCAUUACUCCUGUAAUAACGGUCUUGAAUGUCUUCAUUGUCAAGGAAAACACAUGACAUUCUUUGCCUAUAAAAGCUAGAGAAGGAACCGAACACAAAAAAGAAGAGGGUGGGCUGACAAAAGAAGAACAAAAACAGAGGAGGAAAAAGGACGAAAACACGAAGAAACAGUGGAGAGAGAAGAGGGAUAGAAAAAAAAUAGAAGAACCCAAAGGAAACAACGAACAUAAAAACAAAAAGUAAGAGGGUGGGCUAACAGAAGAAGAGCAAAAACAGAGGAGGAAAAGGGGCGAAAACACGAAGAAACAAUAGAGAGAGAAGGGGGAUGGAAAAAAAGAGAAGAACCCAGAGGAAAAAUGAACAAAAAAAAAAGAAAAGAAAUGGGUGGGCUGACAGAAAAAGAACAAAAAAAAAGAGGGUGGACUGACAGAAAAAGAACAAAAACAAUGGAGGAAAAAGGGCAAAAACACGAAAAUACUUUUUUUUUUUCCUUUUAUGUUAUAUUUUUUUCACACGGUAAAGAAAAAAUAAAUUGAUAAGAGUUUUUUAUAUUAUAUAAAAGUUGAGUGAUCAUAAUUUUUUUUCAUUUGAGGUUGGGUUAAAUUUUCUUAUUAAAACAUGUUUGUUUUUGUAUUUUAAAAAUGUUUUAAGAAAAAUUGAAUGUUGUUUCUUUAAUUGAAAAUAAUAUUUUUUUAUGUGUAUAUUUUGACGCGAGAUACAAAAAUCCAUUUAAUUCUUUUCUCUAGUUUUAUCUCAUACGGUAAUAGAAAAUAAAUGAUGAGAGUUUCAAUACAUCGGCAACUAAUUUAUUUUUCUUUAUUUUUUUCUCUUUAAUUUUUUUGUUCUCUUAUUGAUUUUGUUUUCAUAUUGUAAAGAGAAAAUAAAUUAAUAAAAGCCAGACUCAAGAAGAUCUCCAUAGCCCUUUUCUUUUAAAGAUAUUUUUAAUUUUAUGUUCUUUUCCUCUUAUAUUUUCUUUUCUUUUCUCUUAUUGAAUUUUUUUCCAAACUGUAAAGAUGAUAUAAAUUGAUAUGACUUUUUUUAUAUUGUACAAAAGUUGAGUAAUGAUAUUUUUUUUUCAUUUCAGAUUGUGUUGAAUUUCCUGAUUAAACCACGUUUGUUUUUGCGUCUUAAAAAUUCUUUGAUUUAUUUUUGCUAAUUGUUAAUUUUUUUCUUUACUUCAAAUUCAUAUUUUUUUAUGUUUUUGUAUUAUUCUUUUAAAUAGUUUAUUAAAAAAUAUAUUGAGAUUGAGUCUGGUUGUAAAGCCAAACCCAAGAAAUUAGAAAAUUCUUAAUUUUUUUCUUUACUACAAAUUAAUAUAUAUUGAUGUGUUUGUAUUAUUUUUUUAAUAUAUUGAGAUUGGGUCUGGCUGCGUAGCUAGACACAAAGUUUUUGGGAUUGGCUCUGGCUAGGCAGCAGGACGCAGCGAGACCUAAUCUCAAUAUAUAUAUUUUUAAAAAAAAUAUAAAAAAAUAUUAAUUUGAAGUAAAUAAAUAAAAAAAAUCAAAUUUUUUCAAAGAAUUUUUGAAACACAUAAAUAAAUAUGUUUUUAAUAAAGAAAUUAAAUCCUACCUGAAAGGAAAAAAAAAGUAUUUUCACCUAAUUUUUAUACAAUAUAAAAAAAUUACAUUAAUUUAAUUUCCUUUUAUAUUAUGAAUAAAAAAUUUAAUAAGAGACAAGAAAAAAAUUCACAUAGAAAUUUCUAUGCUGAUGCCAGCGCUAGCUAUGUGUUGACACUGGACAGAGAGACUUCAACCACCAAUCAAAAUUUUCUUAUUGACUUUUUGUGCAGUUUGGCACGGUUUGCUGUCAAAGUUCAGAAACCUUAGCUAUUAGAAUAGUCUAAAGUGUUUAUUUCUGUAUUAAAUGUUUUUUUUUAAUUGACUCUACAAGAGAGAGAUGCCAUCCCCGCAAUACAAAACUCUCAAAAAAUAUAAUGAUCGUGCCGCCACCACCGCUGGUUGGGCUGUUACGUAAUUGUUUUUUUUUGUUUUUUUUUUUUUAUAGUUGUUAUUUUUGAAAAUAUUUUUUAUUUUUUAAAAUUAAUUCUUAAUUUUUAAUAUUAACAUAUUAAAAUGUUUUUAAAAUAUAAAAAAAUAUUAAUUUAAAAAAAUAAAAAAACAUUUAAUUUUUUUUAAAAUAUUUUUAAAAUACAAAAGAAUUCUAUAACCAAGCCACCACCAAUGAUUGUGCUGUUUUUUAAUAUCAUAUUUAGGACGUGAACGAAGUCUGUUAAUAUAACUCAUAUUCUUGCUCCCUCAGGUACGAAGAGCCCUAGAAUUUUCAUGGGAAAUGGGUUGAUGUCAGAGGAGACAGAGAAGCGUACUUUCAGAAGAUCAUGACCCAAAUCAACGGCUGAAAUCCAAUCCCUCGGUGACACAUUGCAUGAUUGGAGACUGCUGGUCUCUAGUACGAAGAGAAACAACAGCUGUGAUGAAGGAAUCUUAUUUUAUUAUUUUUUUAAAAUAUUUUUUAUAUUUUAAAAUUAAAAAUAAAUUUUUGAAAAUAAAAAAUUAUUUUUAUAUAUUUUUAAAUAAAAAAUAUUUAAAAAAAAAGCUAUGCCAGCACCAGACUCCUUAUAAGAAAGAGGGAAGGUGAUAUUCAUUAUAACUUUACUGCCCCGCCUCUCUCUCCUACCUGCAGCAGCCACUAGAUGUUCAUGGCGUCUUCUUCUUCUUUGCCUAGACCUGGUUGGGUUUACGAUGUAUUUGUAAGUUUUAGAGGUCAAGAUACUCGCAAAAAUUUGACGGACCAUCUUUACACUGCUUUACACCAUGCAAGAAUCCAUGCAUUUCGAGAUGACGAAAAACUUCGUAGAGGUGAAGAAAUCUCCUUACAACUCUCCAAAGCAAUACAAGAAUCCAAGAUUUCUAUAGUGGUUUUCUCCAAGGGCUAUGCUUCCUCCACUUGGUGUCUUGGUGAACUUCAAAAGAUUCUUGAAUGCAGACGACAACCAACCGGGCAGAUUGUUCUACCUGUUUUCUAUGAUAUCGAUCCUUCUGAUAUUAGAAAACAGACGGGGAGUUUUGCUGAAGCCUUUGAUAGACAUGAAGCACGUUUUAAGGAAGAAAUGGAGAAGGUCCAAAAGUGGAGAAAAGCUCUUGUGGAGGCUGCAAAUUUAUCUGGGUUGGAUCGUCGCAGUAUCGCAAAUGCGUACUUCUUUACUUUCCCUAUGUCGAUAGCAAACGCUUCUAACUUUUAACCUUAUUACAUUUUGUAUUUUAAAUUUGCAUUAAAUUCAAAAGAUUAUCUUCCAUCGAUGAGUGAUGAAUUUCUUUUUCUAUGCACAGGCAUGAAUCAAAAUUAAUUCAAAAGAUUGUCGAAGAAGUUUCAAGUAUAUUGAAUCGCAGAAACAUAAACGAAAGGCCGCUGAAGAUGUUGAAGACAACAAUGAUAUCUGGCGGUGGGCUGCAUGACGAUGCUGAGGAGAAGCAGAUAACAAAUACAGCUGUGCGGGAUUGGCUGGACGAGUAUAAAGACGCUGUCUAUGAAGCCGAGGACUUCUUGGAUGAGAUUGCUUAUGAAACUCUACGGCAGGAGUUGGAAGCUGAAACUCAAACCUUCAUUAACCCACUUGAAUUAAAGAGGUUGAGAGAGAUAGAAGAAAAAUCAAGAGGCCUCCAGGAGAGACUAGAUGACUUAGUAAAACAAAAGGAUGUCCUUGGUUUGAUCAACCGCACCGGAAAAGAACCAUCAUCGCCUAAAAGUCGAACAACUUCUCUGGUGGAUGAACGUGGUGUUUAUGGUAGAGAUGAUGACAGGGAAGCAGUACUGAUGUUGCUUGUAUCAGAGGAUGCAAAUGGAGAAAACCCAGAUGUCGUUCCCGUAGUUGGAAUGGGCGGGGUUGGUAAAACCACACUUGCUCAGCUUGUAUACAAUCACAGAAGAGUACAGAAGCGGUUCGAUCUCAAAGCUUGGGUUUGUGUUUCAGAAGAUUUCAGUGUUUUGAAGUUAACCAAGGUUAUCCUUGAGGGAUUCGGUUCAAAGCCUGCUUCUGAUAAUCUGUUGAAGGAGAGAUUGCACGGAAAGAAAUUCUUGCUUGUUUUAGAUGACGUUUGGAAUGAGGAUUAUGCUGAGUGGGAAAAGUUGCUUACCCCCCUGAAGUGUGGAGCACAAGGGAGUAAGAUUCUUGUUACAACUCGCAAUGAAAGUGUAGCAUCAGUCAUGAGAACUGUUCCAACUCAUCAUCUAAAAGAAUUGACGGAAGACAGCUGCUGGUCCUUGUUUGCCAAACAUGCAUUUCGUGGUGAAAAUCCCACUGCUCAUGAAGAGUUACUAGAAAUUGGUAGAGCAAUAGCGAGAAAGUGUAAAGGCCUUCCUCUAGCAGCAGUAACACUCGGAGGUCUGCUACGCACCAAAAGAGAUGUCGAGGAGUGGGAGAAGAUAUUGGAAAGCAAUCUAUGGGAUUUACCCAAAGACAAUAUCCUCCCAGCUUUGAGAUUAAGUUAUCUUUAUCUCCUGCCACAACUGAAGCAAUGUUUUGCUUAUUGUGCCAUAUUUCCAAAAGACUAUUUAUUUGGAAAGGAUGAAUUAGUGCUCCUGUGGAUUGCAGAGGGCUUCUUAGUCCGGCCCUUAGAUGGUGAGAUGGAAAGAGUAGGUGGUGAGUGCUUUGAUGAUCUCUUGGCAAGGUCUUUUUUCCAGCUAUCAAGUGCCUCUCCCUCAUCAUUUGUGAUGCACGAUCUCAUACAUGACUUGGUGUGUCCGGUCAAUUCAGCUUCAGGUUGGGGGAAAAUAAUUCUUCCAUGGCCUCUAGAAGGACUCGACAUCUAUCGCUCGCAGUAAAGACGCGCGCAAGUUACGGACGGUGGUUUUUUCAGCCCAGAAUUAGAAAACAUCCGUGAAGCCCAACUUCUACGCACAUUCCAAACUUUUCCACGCUAUUUGAAGUCUCUUCCCGAAGUUUAUACUGAGAUCUUUCAUAUAUAUGUUGUCAACACUUGGGCGCCUACGAGUGCUAUCCUUGUCUCGCUGUGCCAGUGCAGCUAAGAUGCUUUGUUCAACUAGCAAGUUGAAGCAUUUGCGGUAUUUGGAUCUCUCUCGGUCAGAUUUAGUAACGUUGCCUGAAGAAGUGAGUUCUCUUCUCAAUUUGCAAACGCUGAUCUUGGUAAAUUGCCACGAACUUUUUAGUCUCCCUGAUCUUGGAAAUUUGAAGCACUUACGACAUCUGAAUCUUGAAGGAACAAGAAUCAAAAGGUUGCCUGAAUCUCUGGAUAGGUUAAUCAACUUGCGGUAUCUUAACAUCAAGUACACGCCUUUGAAAGAGAUGCCACCACAUAUAGGUCAACUGGCAAAGCUCCAAACGUUGACUGCCUUUCUCGUGGGAAGACAGGAGCCUACCAUUAAAGAAUUGGGAAAGCUACGACAUCUACGGGGAGAACUUCAUAUUGGGAACCUUCAAAAUGUGGUGGAUGCUUGGGAUGCUGUCAAAGCAAAUUUAAAAGGUAAAAGGCACCUUGAUGAGCUGAGGUUUACAUGGGGUGGUGACACUCAUGACCCGCAACACGUAACAAGCACACUUGAGAAAUUAGAGCCAAAUAGAAAUGUGAAGGAUCUUCAGAUUGAUGGUUAUGGAGGUGUAAGGUUUCCGGAGUGGGUAGGAAAGUCCUCUUUCUCAAACAUAGUGUCCUUGAAGCUCAGUAGAUGUACAAACUGCACCUCCUUACCACCGCUCGGGCAAUUAGCUUCUUUGAAGCGUCUCUCAAUUGAAGCAUUCGAUAGAGUUGAGACUGUGAGCUCUGAGUUCUAUGGGAAUUGUACAGCUAUGAAGAAGCCAUUUGAAUCCCUCCAAACAUUAUCUUUUAGAAGGAUGCCAGAGUGGCGUGAGUGGAUUUCAGACGAAGGCAGCCGGGAAGCCUUCCCUCUUCUAGAGGUGCUUUUAAUCAAAGAAUGCCCCAAGCUUGCAAUGGCCCUACCUAGUCACCACCUUCCACGUGUAACAAGACUUACAAUUAGUGGAUGUGAGCAGCUCGCGACUCCACUUCCUAGGUUUCCUAGGUUGCACUCUCUCUCUGUUUCUGGAUUCCACUCCCUAGAGUCCCUACCCGAGGAAAUUGAGCAAAUGGGUUGGUCACUCUCUGAUUUAGGGGAAAUUACAAUCAAGGGCUGGGCUGCUCUCAAAUGCAUCCCACUGGACUUGUUCCCCAACUUAAAUACUCUUUCUGUCUCUAACUGUCCAGAUCUCUAAUCACUAUGUGCACAUGAAAGACCUCUCAUUGAUCUCAACUCUCUCCAUUCUUUGAUAAUCUGGGGGUGCCCUAAAUUAGUUUCAUUUCCCAAAGGAGGGUUACCUGCUCCAGUCUUGACACGAUUUGACUUAGCAGAUUGCAGAAAUUUGAAGCAGUUGCCUGAGAGUAUGCAUUCCCUCCUCCCAUCCCUUAACCAUUUGGAAAUAAGAGGUUGUUUAGAAGUUGAGUUGUGUCCAGAAGGGGGUUUUCCCUCCACAUUACAUUCACUUGAGAUUUGUAGAUGCAACAAACUCAUUGCAGGCCGCAUGCAAUGGGGCUUGCAAACGCUCCCUUCUCUUUCACGCUUUGCAAUUGGUUUCGACGAAAAUGUUGAAUCCUUCCCUGAAGAGAUGCUGCUGCCCUCAAGUCUUACAUCUCUAAAAAUCUAUUCCCUAGAACACCUGAAAUCUCUUGACUACAAGGGGCUUCAACACCUCACCUCUCUUAGAGAAUUGACUAUAAGUAACUGCCCUCUGAUUGAGUCAAUGCCAGAAGAAGGGUUGCCCUCCUCCCUUUCUUCUCUUGAAAUUUUCUUUUGUCCUAUGCUGGGUGAAAGUUGUGAAAGGGAGAAAGGUAAAGAUUGGCCCAAGAUUUCUCACAUUCCUCACAUAAGUAUUAGGGGAGCAAAAAAGUAGUAGCUAAAAGGAGCUUUUCUUUCAAUCGUUCAACAUAUUGAGGUAUUGCUACUAAAUAGUUUAUUUUCUUUUCAGCAAUCAAAGUCAGUUUCAGUUAAAAUUUGGAUGAAUGAAAUACAGAUAUUGUCUCUGUUGUAUGUUUUUAUUUGUUGUAUGUUGAAAUACAAAUCUCUCAUUCAUCUUCACAAAUAAUCAUCAUUCUAUUUCAAUAUAUUUUUUUUCUAUAAUUAAUUUUUUAAGUUGAAUUGAUUAGUAUUUUACUUUUCUUAUUCUAACAUUUGUGGUUAGAACAAAGUAACUUUCACUGGGAUGAGAUGAUUUUGGUUCAAUGGGAGCGGUGAAACCUUUGGCUUCUUUCCUUUGAAUCCAAAUUCAAAUCCUACUAUUGUUCCUCUAUCCUGUUCUGCUGCAAAUAAACAUCACAACAUCCUUGUUUUCGAUCUUGGAAUUGCUGGUUCUACUAUCUUGUUCUGCUGCUGGAGGAUCAUCACAUACUUCAGAUUUGAAUUUAGUAAUAGAAAAUCCAUUGCUAAAAAGGAUUAAAAAAAUAUUGAAUUAUUUAAGUAAUCUGCAACGGAUUUUUCAUUGUUGACGCGGCAAAAUCAAAUCUGCUACUGAUUCAAAAAAUAAAUUAAACCCUUAAUUAUAUAAAAUCUCCCUUAGUUCUCUCCUUUUCUCCUUUUCUGCAUCUUCAAAAAUUCAAUUUUUUUUCUCCAUCUCUUUCUCUAGUCUAUUCCCCUUCUCCAAAUCCAAAAACUUUUGAUUUAUCCUUCUCUUUUAUUAUUUAAUUUUGAAUAAAUUUUUUUUAUUCCUUAUAAAGCUGAAGUUAAAAAACAAUUUUGGAGUGCAGGUAAUGCCCUUCCCAGCAAAAUUUAUGGUGUUUGGGAACUAACAAGUAACAUCUUAUUAGUUGUUCUUCAAACAUACUUUGAUAAAAAAAAAUUGAUACUAAAAGAAGAGAUAAUAGAUAAUUCAGGAUCUAUAAAAAAAUAUAAGAAUAUCUUUAUUUAUAAUUUUUUUUCUAGUUAUUAUAUCUUUUUAUUUUUUAAAUAAAAUUUAUAUAAAUAACUAAUAAGAUUAAACUAAUUAUCCAUGAACACCAUAAUUAUAUCUUCCCAAAGAUGUAAGCCUUAUAUCACGGAGGAAUGUACGAGGGAUUAAAAAAACUCUUUCCUUUGUCUUUUUAAUUCUUUUUUUUUUCAUUAGUUUAUUUAUUAAGGCGCUUAUUAGCUUGAAAGUUUUCCUCGCCUUGUCCAAUCUUCGCUAGAAGGGCUUGUUCUCAGAACGAGGAAUUUAAAAGAAGAAGUGGAUGACCGAAGAGGGGAAUUUAAAUAAGAGCUUUGGCUUUCCAUAUCUUAUACUAUUUCGUUUGAUUCCAGUUUUGCUUCAACUCUCAACAACACUCCCUUCUUUCGUUGCUCGACAUCAUUUAAAUGAACAUGGCUUAAUUACCUUUUUCAAGCAAUGAUGGAGUAGUAGUGCAGUUAAAGAACACACCCUAGCUGUUUGACAAAAUGCCGUUGAAGAUGAUAGUCAUUUUAGUGCUGCUGCUAGUAACAACCCCGGUAAGAAAACUAACGACCUCUUGAUGUGUUUUUUUAGGAAAUACAUUAAAUGUUUUUAUUUGUUCAUGUGUUUUCUUCAGGAGGUGGUGCUAACCAGAGAAAGCUAAAGCAGAGGAGGAUGGCCAAGAGGUUGCAAAGGGAAAGGAUGAAGCCUUUUGUUAGAGGUCUAGGUGCUGGUGCACUAACAAAAGCACAUUGCCUUGACGAAGCCGAAAAUAUUGGCUGCUCAAUACAAACAAGGGCCGAAAUCGGUAGGCAACGUGCGAGGACUUUCCCUGGCAUUGGGUGUAUCCUGGCAUGAAUGGUGGAUGGAUGAUGAAAUGCCCAGGACAUUGGGCUGUCCAAGCCGAGGCAGAAACACAGCAACAUUGGAUGCAUAGGUGCUUGUAGCUGGCCAGUUGGUUUGUGGGGGCUGACCCAAGUACAAGCAAAUCUUAGGGUGGACUGCCCAACGAGUGCGGGUUGCUUAAGAAAAGCAUGAGGGAUGAACUGCCUAAGAGAUGCAUGGGGUAGAGUGCCAAUGUGCUGCUGGAAUAUGUAACCUUGUAUAAAUAGGCUUGCUAAAGUCAGCUGUGUAGUAUGCAAGACAUAUUUUGCAUAACACACACAGAGAUGGUGUAUUCCUUUCUUAUAGAAUUAAUAAAAGGUCGGGAUACAUACAGAGAGAUCAUUUUGGUAAAAUUAUUAAGCAAAGCAAAUUCUCUCAUCAGAUAUGGGAUUUCGAAGGAAAAAUAGGGAUUCAAAUCUUUACGGACCAUUCGUAAACCAUUGAUCUGAGAGAGGGAUAUUUGGAUUUCGUGCUUGUUUCAUAAAUAAAUAAAUUAAAUUUUUUCUUGAGGAUAUGUAAUAAAUUAUGUUCGUUUGGAUCUACGAAGGAAAGAGGAAGAAGAAGUGGAAUGGCUAAUGGCUAAGUUCUUAAAUUGGAUGACCGGCUUAACAAUUAAAGGGUUACUGGCUACUAAAAAAAAUGAUAUGAAUUAUUAACAACAAAAAAUUAAAUAAAAAAGAAGCUGAUAACUGAAAAAUCAGCAACGAAAAUCCAAUGUUCUUUGGAUUUACUUGGAAUUGCUUCAACUGACGUGAGAAACCUACAACCCAAGCCUUCAGAAGCAAGUGAACAAAACCAUAGUUCAUAACAAGGAAGCAUCCGCGUUUUGGAAUCAAAAUUCAGAAGCAAGUGAAAGUGGCCGAUGUCACUCAAGAGAGCAGGCACUUAAUGAUUUUGCCCUGUUUAUCUAAAGUUGUGCAAGUUCUCUGCAUUGAUGAUUCCUGUGAAUUUGUACAGAUCUUGUUUUCUUUCUAUUUGUCCUUGAAUAAACUUAUUGCACUUGUUGAACAAUCUUUGUCUCUCUCUCUUAGUUAAAUCUAGCAAAAAUUUUCAGGUAUGUUGUGACACUCAUUUAUUCUUGGAUGUGUGUAUUUAGCUCUCCUUUUCGGAUUUUACCUUUUCAAUUUCUUUUGUGCUUUUGUAUUCAAGAGUCGAAGUUCAAGCAGGCAAUUUACAUAAAUCAAUGUAAAGUUGAUCAGGAAAUAGUUUACGGCAAAUUUCAGAAAGAUGGAAAGCUAUGUAAGGUUGCGGCGGCCUUCAUAUCCCUGGGUGAGAGUAUAGGAAACAGUACAGGUGUGAUGCCAGUAUUACUGGGUUUCUUUUUUUUGUUUUGCUGAGAAAACUACAAAUCCUAAAUGCAAAGAGGAAUAAUACAUAAACUUGCAAUGUAGUUAAGUUUAACAAGGAGGUAGCAUAAAUAAGCAGCGCAACAUACGAAAUUUUGCUAGAUUUAGCCACUAGAAAGAGAGAUGUCUCAACAAGUGUGGAAGACAAAUGUAAAGGAAAACAAGAUUUGCACCCAAAGAAGGUGAUUAUGCACAAAUUCACUGGAGUCAACAAUGAAGAAAACUUGCAUGGCCAGGGUAAAGCUACAAAUGCCAACGCUGAUGAAGAGUUACAAGAAAUUGGUAGAGCAAUAGUGAGGAUUGUCUGAUGUUCAUCUAUAAUAGCAGAGCAGAUAAAUAAUUGUAGCUGAAGAAAAGAAUGGUGUGCGAGAGCAAUUUCAUAGAAAUGAAACUGCUUGCCUACAAUAUUUGUGUUUUGAUCUUCUAGCCUUUUGGUGUUCUAUGGCUUUGUUGCUGCCUUUUAGUCUUUUGGUGUUCCACGGUGCUGCUGCUUUUUGGCUCUUGAUUUAAUAGAAAUGCUGUCCCCCCAUCCCUUGUAUCUUUUGGGUUUUGGCAUCGUUGGUUCCUGCCGUUGUCCGUUCUCCGGUAGUCGAAGCUGACAGCAAUCCUCCGACUCUGUUCUCAUAGUCAGAUGCUUCCUCUGUUUUAUCCUUUGGUCAUUAAAAUUACAGCCUACCCUCAAAUAUACUAAGUUGAUUUUGCAAAUUUUGUUCCAAGAGAGUAGAAAUUUAAAGAAAAAUGUACAUUCUCAUUCGUCACCUCCCUUGCAAAUUCAAUAAGUACCUCAUAAUUGGUUUAUAUAUGGAAUAUUUUUAGUUAUUCAAUAAGUGAAUCUUCGAUCAGAAGAGAAAUUAUUUUUAGUGAAUAAUGUAAAGAAGAAACUAAAUUUUGGUUAAUUUACAAUAAGUUUAUAUAGCUUGAAAGUGAAGCUCAUCUUCUAUUUAGUUUUCUUAAAUAUAUAAUUUUAAAUUAAAUUACUUUUAAAAUAAUUUUGAGUAUAUCUUACAUGUUUAAACAUUAACUUUGUUGGAUGAAUUCCAAACCACAUAAUUUGAAACUCAUAUAGGUAUCUUAAAUAGUGCAGCCUGAGCUUUACGGUUACGUUUUCUUUGACGAUGAUUAUUGUUAAAUUAUUUUUUAUUUUAAAAUAUAUUAAAAUAAUUUUAUAUUUUUAAUAAUUUUUAACAUUAACACAUUAAAAUUAUUAAAAUAUUAAAAAAAAAAAUUUAAUAUAUUUUUAAAUAAAAUAUAUUAAAAAAAAGCAUACAUUACUACUAUUCUCUCAAACAUACAAUCCUAUUCAUCUUAAGACCUGAGCUAUUAUUAAAAUGGUUAACUCAUUAAAUUUACACUUGGUUAUGGAGUUGGAUAACUCAUUAAAAACAUAAAUCUUAUAUUAAAAUAAACAAAUUUUAAAAAUAUUGAUUAGAAGAACAACAAAACACUUAUUCAAGUAGUUGUAUAAAAUAUAAUAAUAUAAUGUAUAAUUUAUAAUUCAUAAUUUAUUUAUUUACUUUAUCAAUCUUCUGCUGCGUGAUCACAUCACGUGAAAAGCUUGGCAUUUAGUGAUGUUUUUCCAAUCAAGCCCCCUUUUUUCAAAGAUGGAAUCUCGAGGUAAAUAAAUCAAAGACAAAACCGAGUAAAAUGGAGUCCACUCAGUCCAGAGCAUAACAAGGACCGAGAGAGAGAAGGCUUUAGCGAGUUGUGUGUUCUCUUGGCAAAUAAAGCGAGGACAAACCGAGUAAAAUGUGGGACCCAACUCAAUUUUUCCUGGCACACGCAACUCACGCAUACACUAACACUAAUUUGAGAUAUUUUUUUUACUUGGGAGUUUACAGGCAAAUAAAGUGAUGGAAGAAGGUCUUCUUCUGCAUCAUCACAUCACGUGAAAAGCUUGGCAUUUAAUGAAGUUUUUCCAAUUAAAACUUAUGGUAUAAUUUCUUGACAGCGAAAUAAAGAAAAGUAGGAACCCUGUUAUAUCUAGGAAAUUUCUCUGCUCUUUAAAUUAGGUGUACAAACUGAGGCUGUAACGAGCCCUGAAUCUACACAGAAGAAAUUUUGUUGGAAAUGGGUUGAUGUUAGAGGCAGACAGGGAAACGUAAUCUCAGAAGGCCAGGACUCAAAUUAGCGGCUGAAAUCCAAUCACUCAAGGGAUGGUGACACGUUGCCAUGGGUGGGAGACAGCUGGUCUCCAGUUCGAAGAGAAACAACAGCGUUUUUUUUUUUAUUAAAAGUGAGUGUACGAGCUACAUCCAUAUAUUUUAAUUAAUUUUAUUAAUUUAAAAAUUAAAAAUUAUAUAAAUUUUUAAUGAUUCUAAAAAGAUUUAAAUUCAUAAAAAAAUUUGAAUUCAUAAAUAUUAAAAUACAAAUAUAAAAUUAGAUGACCCACAACAGUGUUUUCAUUGUUUAAAAUGGAGUGUUUGUUUUCCUGAGUUUCUUUGUUCUCGUGACAGCUCAUGAUGGUGGGGGCUUUAAAAAAAAUAAAAAAAUUAUUUUUACUUGUGAUUUAUUUGAUUUAAAUAAGUAUUUAAUUAAAAAUAUUGUUUAAUAAAAAAAUAUUUAAUUAAAAUUAUAAUUAAAGAUAUAUUGUAACUAAAAUUAUUAUAAAAAAAAGAUCCGGUGGAGAGGAUGAAAAUAAUGAUUGGAUAUCUUAAUAAUUGUAAAAAAGAAAGUAUCUUUUUAUGGUGAAGUUAUCGGUAGAUGAGAAAAUACUGAGUUUUGUAGCUCAGAAAAAAAACGCCAUUCAACUAAUAAAAUGAUCCAUCUACAUUAAAAAAAAAAAAAACGUCAUGCCCACGUGUGGAAGAUAAAAUUAAUCAACCUAAUCUUUCUGGAUUGCAUUUUAUUAUUCAUGUCAAACAAUCAGUAUCCUUAAUACUGAUUAAGGAUAUUUUUGUUUUUGUAAUUCAACUAUACUUUUUAAUAUAAUAAUUUUUUAAUUUAAUUUUUUAAUUAUUUUAAUAUCAUUUUGUUAUUUCUAAUUGUUUGUGUUUACGAGGUUAGUCAUAAAUUCAUGAUUAGAAUCAUCGAUUCUAAAAAUUAAUGUAAAUUAAUUUUUAUUUUUUAAAAUUAAUUUAUUUAAAUUUUAUCAUUUAAUUUUUUUUUCAUGAUUUCUUUUUAAGAGACUAACCCUUCAUCGACAAACACUAAUGUACUCUGAAAAACAUAAUCCUACUGCAUUUGAUGCUUUAAAUUUCAACAAGGAGUACCUACACAGUGAAAUAAAGAAAAGUAUGAACCUUGCAUCUGGGAAAUUUUUAUUAGGCCUCCAAUCCGAGGCUGUAACGAGCCCUGGAUCUACACACAAGAAAUUUCGUGGGAAAUAGGUUGAUGUCAGAGGGAGACAAGGAAGCGUACUUUCAGAAGACCAUGACACAAAUCAACGGCUGAAAUCCGAUCACUCAAGGGAUGGUGACAUGUUGCCAUGAGUGAGAGACAGCUGGUCUCCAUCUAAAUGUUUAAAGAUGAUUGGGUAUCUUAGUAAUUGUAUAACAAUUGAUUUUUUUUUUUUGAUGAAGGUGUCGGUGUGGAUGAGAAAAUACUGAGUUUGUAGCUCAGUAAAAACAUGUUGAUGUUACUUUUUAUUAGCUCAUGGUUGGCUCGUAAAUUGUAAUGGGUCCCACAGUCACAAAACUAUGAUUCUUCACAUGUAAUUUAUGUUUUAUAACUUUUUUAUUUUUAAUUAUUAUUUUUUUAUUUUUAUGUUAAAAAUUUAAAAAUAUUAUUUUAAUAUAUUUUUAAAUAAAAAAUAAUAAUAUCAAACAGCGUGAAUGUUUUAUAAAUUCUUUACAAUCGCUUUUACAUUUCUUUAGAUCACAUUUAAGAAUACGGUACACCACAAUAAAGUCUGUUGUUGCUACAUGAUUAAAGGUAAUUGUCUUGCAUUUACCUUUAAAACUGCUAUCAAGAAUUAAUUAAUUGCGUCAAUUCAAUUCUUUCUAUUGACAUUGAUACCAAACAUGUUAAUUCAUGAUAUAAUUAAGCAAUUCAAUACAAAUUUACUAAUAUAAUUUAUUUCGGCUUAAACCUUUGAAUAUAGCCAAAUGCAGAGGCUAUGCAAGUGAAAUACCUUAAUAAUUUUUAGGCUUUACAACCCUAGGAGCCACUCAAAAUAUAAUGUGUUUAUACCUAUUUAUUUGUUAGAAAAUAAUUUUUUUAUUAAAAAAUGGUUUUUUUAAAAAUAAAUUGGUAAAUAUUUUUUAAUAUUUAAUUAUAUUACAGAAAACAAGUAGAAAAAUAACUUUUUACUUUUUUAAUUUUUUUCUCAGGUUUAUUAAAAGACAUAUAACAAUAUUGAAGGAGGAUAAAAUUAAAAAAAAUUAUAAAUUAUUUCAAAAUGAAAUAAAUAAUAAUUAAAAGAAUCAAGAUCAAAUGUAACAGAUAAAAAUAUUAAUAAAAAAAUAAAACAAAAAUAAAUAAUAAUAAUAAAAAAAUUAAUAUUAAAAUAAUAUUAAACCAAGAAUUAAAUUAAAAAAAAGAAAGCAAAACAAAAUGUAUAAAAUAUAAUAAUAUAAUUUAUGAUUUAUUUAUUUAAUUUAUCAAUGAAAAGUGAUAGAAUAAAGAAGAGAAAAGAAAUAAAGUGAAGUAUGCUGCUGCAUUAUCAUAUCACGUGAAAAGCUUCGCAUUUUGUGAAGUUUUUCCAAUCAAACCCUGUUUUUUAAAAGAUGUAAUUUCUAGGAAAAUAAAUCAAAGACAAACCGAGUAAAAUUCCAAAAGAAGAGAAAGAUGGAGUAGCGUUUCAGUUCCGGCUUGUAUCCGUGUUUUAAAAAUAUAUAUAUAUUUUUAAUUUUAAAUUAAUAUAUUUUUAAUGUUUUUAAAUAUUUUAAUUUAUUAAUAUUAAAAAUAAUUUAUAAAAAAUAAAAUAAUUUAUUUUAAUAUAUUUUUAAAUAAAAAACAAUAGACACCCGUGACCACUUAAAUGGACUCCUAAGCAUAACAAGUUAAGAGUUAAAGAGCCGAGAGAGAAAAAGCUUUUGCCAGUUCUUUACACAAAUUCUUUCCCCUUCUGUCACCUGAACAAAAUCCCCACUUCUUCUUCUUGCUUGUUUACUCUUCCUUCGUUACUUUGCGAAGAGGAGAAACCAUGGCCGGGGCUUUAGUAGGAGGAGCUUUUCUUUCUUCUUUCCUUAAUGUUUUGUUCGACAGGAUGGCCUCUCCCCAGGUGGUUGCCUUCUUGAGAGGCCAAAAAGUCAAUGAUAGGCUGCUAACGAGGUUGGAGACAGCAAUGACAUCUCUCAGGGUGGUGCUUGACGAUGCCGAGGAGAAGCAGAUAACAAACCGAGCUGUGCGGGAUUGGCUGGACCUGCUUAAAGACGCUGUCUAUAAAGCCGACGACUUCUUGGAUGAGAUUGCUUAUGAAGCUCUACGGCAGGAGUUGGAAGCUGAAGAUCAAACCUUCACAGGUCAGACGCAGAGGCUUCUUUCUUUCAUUAACCCACUUGAAAUAUUGGGCUCGAGAGAGAUCGAAGAAAAAUUAGACUUCCUCUUGCAGGAUCUAGAUCCCUUAGUUGAACGAAUGGAUGCCCUUGGUUUGAUCAACCGCAAUGUAGAAAGACCAUCAUCGCCUAAAAGACCAACAACUUCUCUGGUGGAUGAAUCUAGUAUUUAUGGUAGAGAUGAUGACAGGGAAGCAAUACUGAAGUUGCUUCAACCAGACGAUGCCAGUGGAGAAAACCCAGGUGUGGUUCCCAUAUGGGGAAUGGGCGGGGUUGGUAAAACCACGCUUGCUCAGCUUGUAUACAAUAGCAGCGAAGUACAAGAGUGGUUCGGUCUCAAAGCCUGGGUUUGUGUUUCAGAAGAUUUCAGUGUUUUGAGGUUAACCAAGGUGAUCCUUGAGGAGGUCGGUUCAAAGUCUGAUUCUGAUAGUCUGAAUAAUCUCCAGCUUCAGUUGAAGAAGAGAUUGCAGGGAAAGAGAUUUUUGGUUGUUUUAGAUGACGUUUGGAAUGAAGAUUAUGAUGAAUGGGAUAGGUUUCUUACCCCCCUGAAGGACGGAUCACAAGGGAGUAAGAUUCUUGUCACAACACGCAAUGAAAGUGUAGCAUCAGUCAUGAGAACUGUUCGAACUCAUCAUCUAGAAGAAUUGACGGAAGAAAGCUGCUGGUCCGUGUUUGCCAAACAUGCAUUUCGUGGUAAAAAUCCCAAUGCUUAUGAAGAGUUGCAAGAAAUUGGAAGAGAAAUAGUGAGAAAAUGUAAAGGCCUUCCUCUAGCUGCAAAAACACUCGGAGGUCUGCUGCGCACCAAAAGAGAUGUCGAGGAGUGGGAGAAGAUAUUGGAAAGCAAUCUAUGGGAUUUACCCAAAGGCAAUAUCCUCCCAGCCUUGAGAUUAAGUUAUCAUUAUCUCCUGCCACAUCUGAAGCAGUGUUUUGCUUAUUGUGCUAUAUUUCCAAAAGACUAUUCAUUUCGAAAGGAUGAAUUAGUGCUCCUGUGGAUGGCAGAGGGCUUCUUAGUCGGCUCCGUAGAUGAUGAGAUGGAAAAAGCAGGUGCUGAGUGCUUUGAUGAUCUCUUGUCAAGGUCGUUUUUCCAGCAAUCAAGCUCAUCAUUUGUGAUGCACGAUCUCAUGCAUGACCUGGCUACCCAUGUGUCCGGUCAAUUUUGCUUCAGCUCCAGGUUGGGGGAAAAUAAUUCUUCCACGGCCACCAGAAGGACUCGACAUUUAUCACUCGUAGUAGAUACGGGAGGCGGUUUUUCAAGCAUAAAAUUAGAAAACAUCCGUGAAGCCCAACAUCUACGCACAUUCAGAACUUCUCCGCACAAUUGGAUGUGUCCUCCCGAAUUUUAUAAGGAGAUCUUUCAGUCAACUCAUUGUCGCCUACGAGUGCUAUUCAUGACUAAUUGUAGAGAUGCAUCUGUGUUGUCAUGUUCAACUAGCAAGUUGAAGCAUUUGCGGUAUUUGCAUCUUUCCUGGUCAGAUUUAGUAACGUUGCCUGAAGAAGCGAGUACUCUUCUCAAUUUGCAAACUUUGAUCUUGAGAAAGUGCCGACAACUUGCUAGUCUACCUGAUCUUGGAAAUUUGAAGCAUUUACGACAUCUGAAUCUUGAAGGAACAGGAAUCGAAAGAUUGCCUGCAUCUCUGGAAAGGUUAAUCAACUUGCGGUAUCUUAACAUCAAAUACACGCCUUUGAAAGAGAUGCCACCACAUAUAGGUCAACUAACAAAGCUCCAAACGUUGACUGCCUUUCUCGUCGGAAGACAGAGUGAGACUAGCAUUAAAGAAUUGGGAAAACUACGACAUCUACGGGGAGAACUUCAUAUUAGGAACCUUCAAAAUGUGGUGGAUGCUCGGGAUGCUGGUGAGGCAAAUUUGAAAGGUAAAAAGCACCUUGAUAAGCUGAGGUUUACAUGGGAUGGUGACACUCAUGACCCGCAACACGUAACAAGCACUCUUGAGAAAUUAGAGCCAA